GGGGAGGGUCUCUGUUUUCCAGUUUGUAAAGGAACAACUUUAUUGUAUCAAAGCCCACCCUCUACAUAUACUUAAUUUCCGAAUUCCUUUUAUCUUUAUCUUCUGCCAAGUCCUUGUGGAAUAUUUUAGUUGGCCAACCACUAGUUAAAAUGAACUACUAUAUGCCAUCAGAAUUGAUAGAUGUAUUAGUUCAUCUUUUUCAUGGAAAGCAUAUUUAUUUAGAUUCACAAAUUCAAGUGGAUAAAUCUAAGAGAAUACCUGUCAAAAAAUCAAGAGUAGCUAGUAAACAGAAGAUAUAGAUGUAUAAUUUGUAAAAGUUGCCAAGAAAAGAAUAAUUAUGUUCUAACACAAAAACAAGGUGUGUGAUAGAAAACAUUAAAUCUAAUAUAUUUGUUGUCUGAAAGUGUCCAAGUCUUCAAGGUAUUAUGUUGGUUUCUAUUUUUGGCAAAUGCAUUUCUGUUGCAUUCUGGAAUUGUUGUGGCAUGCAAGGAUUAUACCAUAAAAAAAUAAAGAGACUCGUACACUUGACUAAAAGCCAAAGAAAAUUCUAGGCUGAUUGUUUGACUGAGGUUUUACCAAAGCAAGGGCCUUCGUUCAAAAUAGAUAAACUAUAUAAUCAAGUGCAAGAAACUGGAUAAGCUUUUAUGACAAAGUGUUAAACUAAAAUUGUGUGUACCAAAAUUCUUGGAACAUGAAUUACAUGCAAUAAACCUAAAAUACUAUCUACUAAUCAAAACUUAAUUUCAAUGUUUAGAAAAGAAGUAGGUGAGAAUAAUAAUCUCAAAUCAAGCUUUGACUGGCUUGAUCAACCUUUCCUCAAAAAGAAAAUAUUUACUCAAGCAUACAAUAAACUGAGAAAGCCAUACAUACUUGUGCAAUAUUAUAAGUAAAAGCACUCAACAAUGUAGUAGCAAGAUCUUCAGGUUUGUAAUCUGAAAGUGUCCUUUUUGAUGUUAUCACCUUCCCAAAGCUUGAAGCAAGGGUUGAUGCAGAAAGACCUUGCUGGGGCAAUUUGGUUAGACAUAACCCAGUUAGAUAAGUACAAAAAAGACGAUGUUGGACCACCAUAAGUAUUAUAAAUUGCCACUUGUCAUAUAUAUAUAUAUAUAUAUAUAUAUAUAUAUAUAUAUAUAUAUAUAUAUAUAUAUAAUAUUUUGAGCCAGUGAUUCACCAGAUAAUUUAUGAAACUAAGCAUCUAUUCAUGACAUCCAAUACGUUACUAGAUAGCAUAACUAUCUUGAGCAUCCAUGACAUAAUAAAUAACAUGUCUUCCUCCUUUAUAGAAUUAGGUUAUAUCUUUUAUCUGCAACUUUAUAUCUGUUCAGAGCUGUCCCAGCAGAAAAACAGUAGUUAGUUGGGAACUAGCAUAAAAGUUUGUCAAAACAAACAUAAAAAAUAGACCAUUAUCAAAUACAAUGGAGCAAGAUCAUCAUUAUGAAGUAACAUGUUGCAUCAAUAAUACAUUUCAAAACACACUAAAUGUGACCCACAACAUUAGUGAACAAAUUCAGUGACAACUAAGAUUUUAGCAUGAGGAUUGCCAUCAGAGAGGUUAGUCCAAGAUCAUAAAUUUAAAAUAGAAACAUAAAAUAUAAAAUCAGUAAAAAAUUCAAGAUAUGACUGAACUGAAUCAUAAUAAAUGUCAAAAUAAAUCACAUGUUUCAAAAAGAAGCUGAAUGCCCAUUUAUUAGAUUUCUCGGGCUCUUAAGCCAACUUAACUCUUUCAGAAGGAAACAAAAUCAAACAAAGUUUGCAUAGUCUACACCUACCUAAGACAGACUCCUAUUUCUAUGGUGAAAAGUUCUACAUUCUUUAAUAUCACUGUCAAAACUUAACAAGAGUAUCAUCAAAAUCAACCCCUAAAAUCAUUAGAAAUAAAAAAAAAAUUCAAAGUCAGAUCUAGCUCAAAUGAACUCAACUUAGAUCCAACUAGACAGUAAACGAACCUAAUAUAGAUGUAAUCGAUUUGCAUAAUUCACUAUCUUGUCCUUAAGAUAUUCACAUGUCUAAGUCCAUGAUCAACACAAGGAGCUCCAGCAAUCAAUAAUGCAUUGUGGUGCAUGCACUAUGAUCUGUUGAAUUGAACAACUAAUUUUCAUCUGCAACCAACACAACAAACCUUAUAAAAUUUGAUCUCUGUGACCUUGAGAUAUGCAUUCAUCUAUGAUAGAUAAAUUCGGUUUAGAAAGGCAAACUAUAAGAAUUUGGUCCCUUAACCAGAAGCAGCUUACAUUGUAACAUCUUGACUAGUAAUUGAACAAUUUGAUUCCGAAUCUUAGAAUUCAAUUCAUCAAUUUAAUCAUGUGGUAGACCUCUUGUUUCCCUCUUGCUGUCGGAUGACUUCUAGCACUUCAUAUCAUCCUCAAUGGGAUGACCUACAUGACGAACACAAUAUAUUGAUCAGUAUUAAAAUGUGAAUAUUCUAUGUUCAUAGAAUGAAAUGGAGAGUCUCUAGAUAUUUGAGUGUCCUAUCUUCAAUUAAUGAUACAGAGAUAUGGUUCAAGUCUCUCCACAUCAGGGAUUGUCUUAAUAUUAAGAAUCUCUAGAAUGUUGUCUCAUGACCACUUCAUACAUGUUUCGAUGCUUUCAAGAUUCCACAAAUUCUUCUUACAAGCUCGAAAUCAAUGUUGGCAUCAUCCCCGAGACCCUCAUGGUCACCAUCCAUGGCCAUCACAUAUGUCCACCUAUCCAUGGCCGCCACAAAGGACUAAUAUUUGGUAAUUGUCCAGCAUUGAAAUUUUGAACCAUGACUAAAAAAAGUUCUAUUACAUAAAAGUGAGUCAGUUCAGGCAAACUGAAAUAAGAAUCUUCAUAGGAAACAAUUAUCUCCAUGUGCCAUAUGUUGAUAGAAUAUUUGAAGCUUUAGAAGCAGAAUGAAAGCUAAUGGACAAAAAUUUGUUUGUCUUUCGGAGCUACAAUCCACCUGCUUGCUUUCCUAUCUUCUCUGAACCAUACUACACUAGCAUUUCUACUUCUGGUAAAGUUUUUCUUUUCCAUUCUGGGCUAAAAAGAAGAGAAUGGUGAGACCAUAUGUUUGAUCAAUCACUGGAGCAUGUAUUUCUGAUGCAGUUUCUUUGGAUCUACAAUGGAGAAAUGAGGAAAGAGCCUAUGAAUUAGAGGAAGAGAAGAGAAAAAAAAAACAAGAAAGAUAGGGAUGGACAAGAGAGAGAUGCCCAAUCAAAAGAAGGGCUCAAUGAUGAAGAAAACUUAAACAUCAUAUAUGGUCUCAGUGCCAUUCACUCAACACAAGAGAAGUUAAAUGACAUUUAUAACAAAUGAUUCCUUCAGCUUUAAGUUAACUAAAAUUAUUCAAAAUGCAAGUAUAUAAUUAGAUAGAGUUUUUACUUAAUUUAACUUGUCUAAGACAGACUCACUUACAAUAAAGACCCACUAGAUCUUAUACUUUAGAAGGAUAAAAUAUCAAAAAAAUCACACCAAAUAUUACCAAUAAUAAGGUUUCAAAUAUUGGUUGAUAUGUAUUGUAGCAACCAGUGUUUACUAGUCUGAGCAAGGAUCAUGUACCGACUGGUAUUUACUAGUCCAAGCAAGGAUCAACAUCAGACCAUAUGGUCUGGUACUGAUCAGUAUUUAAAUUUUUAAUAUUUUCUUCAGCUAAUAAUAGGUGGUAUGAACUAUGAAGUACACGAGUAUUAUGUCAGUCUAGUAGAUCACCAAAUCCAGUAUCGAACUAAGAUUUAAAACCUUCUGAACUUAUAAAGAUUACAAUCAAACUCUGAUCUAACUCAAACAAACCUAACAUAAGACUAUAAUAUAGCCCAACUUCCUAGCAUAGAUGAAACUUGGAAGAAGCUGACAUUAGUAUAGUGUGAAGAUUGAUGACUAAAGACUUUAAAAAUUGGCUAAAGUUCUUGGGGAAAAUAAGUGUAAUGAAGCAUCUUGAAAGUGUAAAAGUUAACGAGUGAUAAAAUCCAAAUGUAAUUGAAGAUAAAGAAAAUGUUAAACAUCAACUUAUUAAGUGCUAAAACUAAGAUCAAGGAGGUGCAAUAAUUAUGAGAUAAGAUGCAACUAGCAAGGACCUAGCUUUUGAUGUUAUCCAUACAAAAGUUUACAAGAUUGAAAAUCAAUUUGCUUAAGUAGUUACAAUCAAAAUUUAAACAACUACAAAGGAUGCCACCUUACAAUUGAAGGUGUAGCAUUUGGGUAUACUGUAAGAACAAAGGAUACAUAGAACUUCACAACUCAUCAAGCAAUUAAGUUGGGCAAUCAUAUAUAACUUUGGUUGAGAGUGAAUGAACCAAGAUUAAACGAUAAUUAUUCCAAAAUUAAUUUUGUGUUGUUAAUUUAGAUAGAAGAGAAGUAAAAAAUCUUAAACUAUUUUAACAAACAUGGAAAAUUUUAAUAUAGUUAUUAAAGAAAUAAUGAGAGAAAUUUUAAUCUAGAGAGGAAUAAAACAUCCUUGUAAUCGUAACAUGAAUUAACAAGUUUUUGCUAUUGUAAAAACAAGAAAAGGUGACAAUGAGUAAAAUUUCUAUUAUUACAGGGUUGUAUCAAGAGCAAACCUCAAGUCCCUUACCUUCUUAUCCAUGGUGAAUAAAACUUAUUAGAAUUGUUUAUGAUGAAGUCCCAUAGUGCACAGUUUCAUUAAAGAAAAUUUUAUAAUCACCAAUACUAGAAGAACCUCUAAAUUACUCUGGUAGACAACGGAUUUAAUUAAUGACCAAGAUGGAUUUAAGUUUAACUUAUAUCACAGAAAGAGAGCACAUCUAAAAUAUGCAGUCAAGUAAAUUCAGAAAAAAAAAAAAAGAAGAAGCUUGAUACUAGGAACUAUAGUUUGAGAUUGAGGAACUAAUUUUCAUAUGCAAAGAUUGAAGAAAAAAAUACUUCUCUAAAUUAAGAUAUUUAAAAUGUUAAAGUACAAUGUAGAAUACACCUUAGAUUAAAAUGAAAGUUUCACUAAUCAGUUAUAUAACAAUCUAUUCUUUUUGGUAAGAGUUGAUAGUGGAAGGGAUAAUUUAUGAUAGAUGAGGAUGUUGAGAUAACUCUCUGGAACAAGAAACAUUGACCAAAACAUCUAUUAAGGGUCCACAAAUGCACUGAUAGGACAAGGACAGUGAUAUCAGAGAUAAUAGGAGGGGUAGAAGAAGAUCAAAUGGAUAAUUAGUAAAGAAUACGAUGACAAUUGGAUUGUCCAGUUUCAUGGACCUCAAUAGAUAUUAAAAGAAAGAAAGAGUCCAUAUAAUCAAUCCAAGAUAUUAGGGAACAACAAAUUGUGUAUAACUGAUCCAAGAUGUUUGGGAACAGUUAAGCAACUAUAUAUGAAGGUCAUGGUCCAUUUGUUGGACUUAACAAGAUUAUAAACUAUUUCUCAUGUUACUAGAUUGUUCUAAGCAAGGUAUGCAAUUUCGUAUCGUACCGGAGUUUUGACGUUCACUCGGUACGGUACGAAACUGUAUACCGAGCGAUAUACCGCUCGGUAUAUAUAUAUAUAUAUAUAUUUCAUUCCGUCUGGUAACGGGCGGUCCGUGUACCGAUAAGCUGACGGACCGGUACAUACCGCCUGUACCGGACGGUAUUAUUCGAAAUUGCAUACCUUGGUUCUAAGUUCACAACAAACAAUGACAUGCUAAACGAGAAUAAAACACAAGGUCUAAAAUCAUGAUCUAAACCCCAUCUCCCAACACUACUGUGAGUUGGUAUCACCCAGACCAAGAGAAAAAGGGAGAGAGAAGGGGAGGAGGAGAGAAAAGGAGGAAGGAAGAGGAUUGAUAAAAGGCAAGGAUGAGCCGAGGAGGAGGAGGAGGAGGUGGAAGGGGAGGAGAAGCAGAGAAUGAAGGAGAGGCAAAGUUGAAAGAGGAAAAGGUAGAGGAGGAGAAGCGGAGAGAUAGGAAGAAAUCACAGAGGAGGUAUUGAGGAGACAGGAGGUAAGGAGGAGGAAACCGAGGAGCACUAGAAGCGGAGGAGGAAGCAACAAUGCAGUGGGGUAUUGGCAAUGACAUGGUGGGGUGGGUACUGUAGAUCCAUGAAAGAGACUGAGAAAGAAUGAAAGAGAGAGAGAGGAGCAUAAGAAGAUAGAAAAUUAAAAUAAAAAGAAUAAAUUUCAAGGAAAAAUUAAAAAUAAUAGGGGUAUCAAACAGUGGACCUACUGUUUGGUGCCUCCAGUUUCAACCAUUAAAAUUGAUGAUAUGCCUGGUACAGCAAGCAUACUGGCCAUCAUACUUUAACUAGCAAACUUUAUUAUAUAAUCUCAUACCUGUUCACUAACUAAAUCUCCACAGAUAUCCUUCACAAUUAAGUCAAGUACUAGAUUAUCCCCUUGCUGACUCAGCUUCAAGAAUUCAUCAUAACUGUACACAUUCAGGUUACAUGAUUCAAAACCAAAUCAAAACCUUUGAAUAAAAGCAUAUGAUGGAAGCAAAAUUACCUCAAGCAACCUGUUAAAAGUUUUGCUAAACCAAACAUUGUGCCACCACCAAUAUGUGUUCCGGUUACCCGUUCAAACUUCCUGUUUCCUGUAACCUGCAUACCAUUAUAUGCAAACACCUUAUUGGAUUUAUGCAAUUAGCAAAUGGUUGGUUGAAGUAUCACAAAAUAGUACCAUAUGCAAGUUACCUUUAUGAGACCGACACCUGAACCAAUAUUGACAAGGAGGUAGGGAAAUAAGUUGUUUCUGUCAAUUUCUACAGGUUGCCUUUUCCCAUCCAUGUGUGUAAAAGAUUCUCCAGGGAUUUCCUGCCCAUAAAUAACAGUUAAUGAUUUAAUCUAAAGAAGCUAUCAAAACUCCUGAAGAAUUGUUCCAAUAUCAUACAUGUAGAAACAUUUAUGCUUAUUUGACUGAUACAGUACCAGCAAAGUAGUAGAAAAACAUUACUUUAGCAAAAAAAUUCUGAUCUAUAAAGUUAUGAUUAGAGCAGUAUAACAAAUACAUUAGUUGUUUAAGCAGAGUUAUUCAGCUUUAAAUUUGCUUACCUGAGUUCUGACAUUCCACUCACCAUGUUUAACAGUACAACAUGAUAUGCAAUGAGAAGACCUGCAGUCUCUAAGUGUUAUCAUCAAUGCUAAAAGUAUAACACUAAUACAAAAACACAUCAAUUUCACAAAGAAAGAAGACGCAACUCAUUUAAUGGGAUAAUCAACCUGAUCAAUCAUUAGUAAAAGAAUUGACUACUAUAUUGUAAUGCAAAUCAGUAACACAAGAAUCAUAUGAGAGUUUCAGCAGUAGACCUUCAACAAAAAGUUGGCUCCGGCUACAACACUAUCAAUUUCAUCCAGCUUAUCAAGACUGACACCUAGAAUCUCCUUGAAUCUGCCAGUAAAUUUAAAUGCUCCACCACCUGUAGCCUAAUCAAGCAUUGAGAACACAUUAAUAGAAAACCAGGUCCAAUCACUCAGCUACAAUUUUUUUAAAAGGAGAACAGUAUGCAAUAUUCUAGUAUAAGAGAGGCAUUUAAGCAUUUAAAAUCUAUGUCGAACAAUUACCAUUAUUAACAUGUCUAGGUGUCCCAAUUUUAAAGUUGAGAUGAGAGCUUUUUACUAGAUUGCUUGAUAAGAGACUCGAUAAUGGUGGAAAAUAAAAAAACAUAGAUCAUGUCAACUUUUAUUCUCUCUACUUUCUUUAUUCAAGAGCAUGUCAAUUGAGAACACCAGUGUAUCUUAUCAAAAUUUAUAUGAAAAUUAAUUGAGUGCCAUUGUUGUGAGUCCGACUUAUACAGAUUAUUCCUACAUGCAUAAGGUCCUAAAGAAACAAAGGAAAAGAGCUAGUUAGUCAGUGACAAUUGUGAUAAUUGAAAGUUUAGCAUUGUCAAUAUGGGCAGGGGUGAAACAUUAUAAAUGUUAUUUUAUGUGUUCGUAAAGUUUCUCUUAUACAAAUGAAAGUUUAGUUCUGUUCAAUCUGGCAUAUGUCUGUUUCUGAACAAAAUGUCAUAAUUUUCAUUCUUUGUUAUGGUCUACGUUUGCUGUAUCACCCAAAACGGUACGUACCAAUCCGGGCAUAGGCUGAUAUGUGGACCUCCUGUUUCGGGCAAUCUAGUUAAAAUAAUAAAAAAAUUCAAAAAAUUGGUGGGGCCCUAUCCAAAGCAGCCUUAAAAAAUAAAAAGAAAAGGAUUAGGGCUUGCAUUCACGAACCCUCUUCUUGCAUAAGAUGUUGCCACCUUGCCAUCACCGCUUCACCACUACUACUUCGACGCUUCCUCGCUGCUGCUGCUGCCACUUUGACACUACCGUUGUCUUGCCGCUGCCACUUCACUCUGCUCUUUUCCUUCUCUUCUUUCUUCUACUUCCUUCCUCCCUCCUUCCUCCUCUAUUCCUCCACCGCCCCUUCCCCUUCUCCCCCUUUUUCUUCUUCACCAAGCCACCGAUACACACCAGCAUACCAUGUGUCAAUAUACCGGUAUAGACUGAUACUCACCGGUCCAAAAAAUAGCCGAAACGGGUUUGGUACCCAAAAAGGCAAUCCUUGGUUAUGGUUGUCUUUCUAAGUAGAUUCUCUGUGUAAACUAUUUUUAUGCAUUCUCUUUGCUACUAUGUGUUGCCUUAAUUGUCAAAGUUUUGAGCGUAACUUGCUGAUGGAUAAUGUACACUUCAAAUACAUUGAUCUAAUGGUAGUGGAGCUAGAUCCACUUAACAAAACUUGAAGGUUUGGAACCUUACCUGAAAAUUUGAAGAUGUCAGUUAGACUUUUAUUGUUUCAUAACAAGGUCUAUUGAGUCUUAUCAUAUUCUCACCACUUAUCAUUUGUGAAAAAAAUGAUGGAUAAUGUGUCCAGAAAACAAGACACUAAGGAAAAUAAACAAAACCAUGUAAGGAUAUAAACAACUACCUGUUUUUUUUAAGUUGAAUUUAUGCAACAAUUUCAGCAAUAUAUGGCUUUGGAGUGAACAUAUCAUACUACACUUAGCAUAUGGUGCAUGAAUCAUAAUAAUCUACAUCUAUUUAUCGUUGAAUACAUGAAAUAUAUAUAUAUAUAUAUAUAUAUAUAUAUAUAUAUAUAUAUAUAUAUAUAUUAUUCAUGAUACUUCUCUUUACUUGUUUCUUCAUACAUAUCACAUAAUUUGUGUCAUGUGAACACUAAAGGUUAACGAACUUUCUCCAAACUAUUUAGAAGAACAGUCACUACCAGGUAUGUUUUUACCGCCCAAUACAUACUCGUUACUGGGCUUGUACUAGGUGAUAAGUGUUGUUUAUAGGAUUUACCUGGAGGUGAACCAUGUACCAGACCAGAACCGCCCAUCUGGUUAGGAUUGGUCCAUGUCCUAGCAACUGAACGAACUGAUAAAUCAACAGCAGUCCGCGUGGUUUUGCAAUCUAUAGUCAUGCAUCUCAAUUACAAGGAUCAAAGUAUGCUAGACUUUCUUUUGAAAAAAAUUUAUUAUUGAGACAUUUGCUGCUUUUGAAAAUAUUUUCUUAUUUCCUUAGUCUUCAUUAUCUAAAAGCCAACAACUAAGAAAUAACUUGCUUUAUGUGUUAGGUUUGUUUCCUUACACCAGGGUUUGCUGUACCGACACAUAUCGCCUAGUACGGGUGGUAUAUAAUGGUCCAACAUGGAACCGGUACGCGAACCACCGUAUACUAGGCAAUACCAUUACAUAACCCCAUAUCAUCCGAUACACAGUCUGUACUAGUCAAUAACGGUCAAAAUCUGACCAUUACCGACCAAGGGCUGAGAUUGCCCUAUUUCAAAUAGUCAAAUUGACCGUUUGAACAAUUGAAAAAGGUUUUUAAACCCUUUCCUCCCCCCUCUUUCAACCCAUUUCACUCUCUCAAUCUCUUCAACUCUCUCAAUCUCUUAAACUCUCUCAAACUCUUUCUCACUUACAUCUCUUUCUCAUUCUCAUAUUUUCACUCUCCUAAGCUCAACAAAACUAUGAUUUAUGGAUUAGAUCAAAUUUGAGAGGCUAAUUUGGGAGGAUUAAAAGGAAGAAUACUCUAAUCAAGAGAUAUGUAUUCUCUUUCUAGAUUUUUAUUGAUUUAUGAGAUGAUUAAGCCUAUUCUAUGUUGUUAAUGACUUAAUGUCUAAUAUGUUGUUUGAUAUGAUUUUAGUGAUAGAAUAGUAUUAAUUAAAGAGUAAUUAAGGACUUAAUGUUGUGAUUAGUGUGUUUAAUGCUUAUUUUUUUGAAAUUAGACACUUAAUGAGUCAAAUCUUUGUAUUUCAUGCAUAUUAAGGUGAUUUAUAUGUUUGUGAUGAUCUAAUAGGUGUAAUUAGAUUUUAAUUAAGAUUUUUAAUACUGUGAUUAGUGGUUUUAAUGAUGAUUUAAUCAAAUUUUGAUCAAUAUUGGGUCAAUUCAAUAUUUUUAAUACCUAUUAGGAUGUUUGACAUGUUUAUAGUGAUGAAAGAGGUCUAAUUAUGUUAAUGCUGCGAUUAGUGUCUUUAAUUAUGAUGAUAUCGAAAUUUGACCCAUAUUGGGUCAAUUAAAUGUUGGUACACCUCGAUACGUACCGUACCGACACAUGGUCGAUACAUUGGUACAGACCAGUUCCGCAAUCCUUACCUUACACUACAAAUAACAACAUUAUCUAGACAUGUGGUUGAUAAUAUAAUCCUUACAUUACCUUUAAAUAUAUUAAGCUUAUCUAAGACUAGUAAGAGAAUAAGUAAAAAAUAUUUAACAUUCAUAUGCAGGAGUUUUUGAAUAAUUUCUGAGACAAAAGUAAGUUUAACUAGAAGAGGAUAACAUGGUACAUGAGUUAUCCACCAAUGUGAUGUUGGGGAAAGUCAGUGUAGGCCCCUACAAGAAGCAAUGUUUCUGUGAAUCCAAACCUUGGCCAACCAGAUUGUAAAAGAACAACCUUACAGUUACAGAAAUGCUCACCCUCACAAAAGUAAGUUUGACAACUAAUUUCUUGUACAAUCUUGGUAUCAACAUCCUAACAGUAUCUAUCCUGCAUAAAAGUACUCAGCACUAAAAUAGACUAACAUCCUAUGAUAGAUUAUAAUUAACAAUUACUCUUGUUAAAGGAAUUGUCAAAUCUAGAUCACAUUUCUCGAGAUAAAAUUCCUUACCAAUUUUUUCAAAUCCCACCAAACACUAGUUCGAUCACACAACCGGUUCUACAAGAAAAUUUAUGUUCCAAAAAGCAAAAUAAAUUUUUACAAGGAAUUGAAAUAAUUUAGUAAUUGGUUUUUCAUGUAACAUAACAAAUUUCUAUAUGGAAAUUUUGAAAGGGAAAAUUUAUUUGCUUUCUGUAACACAUAAAACAAUAACCUCAUCUGAAACAUCCUGCUCCAUCAUGAUUCAUGCAAGGAGAUUGUAAAUCAUGUAUGGAGAAUAACAAUCACAGAAAUACAAAAAGGAGACAAAAAAGUGUGUAACCUUUAUUGUUGCAUGUCCAUUUGAUGGUUCCGCAGAAAAACCUGCCAAAAUGAGUUAAGACUUAAUAGUAUUCAGCAAACUGUAUCACAAACUAAUGAGUGAUGACAUAUGAAAAUUUCAAUAAAAACACUAAGCAGAACACACAUAUUCUGGUUCCAUUAACUGUAAAACUUAUGAUAUAAACCGAAAAAAAGAAGCCUGUGAUACUUGGAGAAGAACAUGGGAAUACAUGUCUCACACAACUUGCUUGGGUCCUUACCAAGUUUAUAUGGCUUCAUGAAAGCAUCCCUGAAAGGGGAUAUCUGACAAUAUGUGCUGGUGAGCUAAGGUGAAGAUGUACAUAAAAAAAAAUGACUUAUGAGCAUGACCUUUUGUCUGCUGAACUAUCAGGACAGGAUAUGUUUGACUGCAUGAAAAUAACAGGUUAAGAAGUACAAACACUGAGGAUUUCCAACUCAAGACUACCAAAUAUACUAGCAUUUAAUUCUUUAAUUCUCUCUAGAGCUAGGUUACAUUUAAAUUAUUUAAUAGAAAAUCAAUGAAUUAACAAAGAAUCCUCCCUCUAGUUCGAUGAUUCCUCCAGAUCCUGCAUUUUAAUGAUACCAUUUAUAAUUCAGUAUCUUAUUCCAUUAUGAAGUUGAUAUGCCCAUUGGUCAUUACUACACCUCCAGCAAUUUGUUGAUUUCCUCAAUGAUGUAGCAUGGAUCAUGCGUUUUCCAGUCCUUCAUUAUAUCUAUGUUGCAGCUUUGCAAGUCUCUUCAUUUUUACUAGAAUCCACUUGGUUCACUAUCAUCAUGCAUAUAAGUGAAUCAGUGAUGCCAAUCUUCCACAUGCAUCUCUCGUGUAAGGCGGGGAAAAGAGUGCCAAAAUACAGUUAUACAGUCCUCCAGAAUUCUUCAAGAACUGUGAUAAAUCAUUUCGUAGAAGCAGGUAGAGAUUUCUGGAAUUUGUCAUAAGAGACAACUAGAAUUUGACUGACUCAGGGCAACCACUUGUGUAAAUAUGCUGAGGUUUAGUAGUUCUCUUCUUGUUAUAUGCUGAUUUUUGUGAAAGAAUCCAUUUUACACAUUUUUGUUGGAUAUUUGGCUACUUGCAUUAGUUCAUUCAUAUUAUCUUCAACUGCAGAAUUAGUGGAUCUUUCUAUACUAGCUAACCAAGCUUUGAAUCGUAUAGAUCAGCCAGGAAAAUUGUACACUCCUGGCACAUCUUAAUUGAAUUUUCACUAAAGUUUUAAACUAAAAUGUAUUAACAAAACAUGACGUGAUCGUGCGCAUCACAUGCUGUCAUAUUAUAUACCCUUUUAUCGUAUUUACGUAAAAUUGUAAUAUGGAAAAAAAAAGGUUAAAAUUGUAAUAAGGAAAAGAAUAAAAUCACACCAUUGGGGGAUAUAAGCUUUUUGGACCGGAUGAAAUCCAAGCAAUCAUGAAGGCGCCUCCGUUCGAACUUCACAAAAUGUAGAAGCCCUUCCGAGAAAUACACCAACUUAAUCAGAGUCCCUACGGUCACCAAGAAAUCAUGUCAAAAAAAUUCAGAUAGGGGGAUUCCUAUUUGAGGCUGAUUACUAUGCGAAUCCACGCUAGGAUCGAAAAUUCAAAUACCAAAGCAUGCCAAGAAAUCAAUUGCAGCUACCUCCAAUGUCGAGCGCAAGGAGGGAUGAAUCCGGAGGCUGAUUGGGGAGGAAGAUAGGAGGAUUCCUCUCGUCGGGAUCGCCACGAAUCUCCGCGCCGCCGAGGUUGAGAUUCGCGGGACAUCCUGCCAUGAUCUCAGAGCUGGAAACAGAACAAUUUUUAGUUUGGUGGCAUUGGCGAUCAGCAGAUCGGAUCCGAAAUGGAGAGGAGCGGGCCAAACAACUACGGUGGGAGGUAGGGUUUCUGUAAUCAUCAUCAUCAUCAUAUUAAUAGGAAGCAGAUAAGAACCGAGAAGGUGCACCUACCAACAUCGUUGAAUUCAACAUGCACAGAAAAAUACAGUCGAUCGCUGCAAGCAUUGACCGACGGACACAACCCUUCUGAAUAAGGCAACCGUACGGUAGAAGACAGUUGUCAAAGAGUACAUCCCCUUGCAGCAAAUCGGAUAGCAGAAGUCUUGUUUUGGAUCCGAAUGAAACAUUUCUGGAAGCCAAUUAACGCAUGUGCGAUCAGACGCGCUUUGACGGCAAGUAAAUGCGGGGAAGAAAAGAAGAAUCAGACUGCAUCUAUCGCACAUCCCAUCAUGCGUUUCCCAAUGCAUUUAAAAUCAAAUAUGGUUCAAUGCAUAUAUAUAUAUAUAUAUAUAUAAAACCUGGAUAUUACAUUACAAAUGCUACCUCACUUAAUAUUAUCUAAAAUUACAAAAUAACCAAGAUGAACAUGAUUUAUAUAUUCUAUAAUAUAAAAUUUUAUUUAUUUAUUUUUUAAAACUUUUCUUUAUAUUUAUCUAUAAGGUUGAAAUUUUAUUUAUUGUAUAUCUAGGUCAUAUGAAUUUUUUUAAAGAUUACAUAUUUUUAUUUACUUAUUAAUUUAAAAUAAAAUAUAUGUAUUCACUCUUCAAUAAAUAUUUAAAAUAUUAGAAGGAUAAAUUUAUCAUAUAAUCUUUAAUAUAUUUUUUAAAAUAUAAUUUUGUCAAACAACAUUUACGUGAGUACAUACUUCAAAUAUAGUUUUCAUCUAUUAUUUACCAAUCACUCAAAGCACUUCACAAAAACACAUUCACUCAAGUCUUCUUAUCCAAAUGCAUAUUAAAAAUAUAAGCAUAUUUCUAAACAUACAUGUAUGUAUAUACAUAUAUACAUAUAUAUACAUAUACAUAUAUACAUAUACAUAUAUAUAUAUAUAUACUAAACACAUUUAAUGGUGGUUAACUAGGCUUUUCAGAGGGAUAUUAAGGGGAAAAUAUAUUAGUUUUUCUUGCAGGGGUAUAUGUGUCAGUGAAUUCAGGGAAAUACCAUACAUUUUGAGUUUUUCUUGGAUGGAACCUUUUUUAUUAUUAUUUUCUUCUCCUCAAACUCCUUUUUCUGUCUCUUCAGUUAAAAUUCCCCUCUUCUAAAAGCUCCAAUUCAUUAAAUCACUGGCUAUCCUUAAAUAUAUUAUAUUAAAAAUUUUAAGAAAAUAGUUAUUAAAUUUUGAGAAAAAUUCUUAUCCAUAUCAAAUAGUUAUAAUUGGUAAGUAAUUUUUAGAUAUUUUUAAUUGAAAACUAAGUUGCAUGGGAGGCAUUUUCUAUUAGUUGGAAUGAAUACACUGAAUCCAAUACCAAUAAUUCCAACAUUCCAACAUUAAUCACUAAAUCAAUUUUAUAUUUAUUUUUAUUUUACAUUAUAAUAAUAAUAAUACAAGCAUGAAAGAAACUAAAUCGAAGAUAUUAAAUAGUAAAAUUACAGGAUCUUCAUCACUUACCUUUAUAAAAAAGAAAAAACAACCAUCAUUGAAUGUAAAUGAUAGAAACUAUAUUUGUUAAGGCAGGAAGAAUAUAAAUGAAACUGUGACAGAGUAUUAUUGCAUGUAUAUUGAAUGAUAUAAACUGCGAUUAUGUUGGCGUCUAUGCGAAGCUCAAGAUAUGUUCAACUUAUCUUGUUUGCCACAGCCAUGCUCAUCACACAUUAUGAUGAGUGAACUCCAAUCCAUCAUGCAGGAGUUGUCAUGUUUUGAGAAACAAAAACAGAGUUGAAAGCUCCAUCUCAAUCUACCCAUACUCUUGACUUAAAUUCUUAGAAAGUGAACAACAUUGUUUCUAGGGUCAACUUAAAUGUUGGGACCAUUGAAAUAAAUGGGCAUGUUAGCUCUCUCUGGGGAGAAACUUGGUUGUCCUAAACACCUGUGUUAGAGUGCUGCUCUUUCCAUAUUCUUGACUUAGUUUCUGGGAGAAGUGACCAACAUUGUCUCAGCAAUUAAUUCAAGGUCAGCUUACAUGUUGGGAACAUUGACAUAAAUGAAUAUGGUAGCUAUUUGGGAAGAAACUUUAUAGUUUUAAACACUUCUCAUAUAAUUGAUUUGAUAGUUUCUGAGAGAAGUAAACAACAUUGUCUCUAACUAUCAAUUCAAGGUCAACUUACAUGUUGGGAACAUUGAUGUAAAUGGAAAUGCUAGCUAAUUAGGGAAGAAACUUGGGAGUCUUAAAAGACUUCUGCUGGCAGUCCCCAACAUGAGAGCCAAUUCCAUCAUUCAUAUCAUCACCAAGAUAGUGAGAGGCAACCCAAUCCCUUAGCAAACAACAAAUGAAAAUAGUAUAAUAUAAUAUUCAGCUGAGUGAUCUGAGGAACACAGCAGCUUCAUGUGGUUGAGCAAAUUAACAAGCCAUUAUCCGAGCUAAUUUAAUCCCAUGCCUUAACAUGGUUGAAAGAGACUUCAUUUAUCAUCAUGGUAAUUUUUAUAGAUCACAAUGACAAUUUUACGAAAUCAUUUAUGAUGAUGGAAAUUGAUUGUCAUACUAAACAUGCUCAUGCCUUGCUCGUCUGUCUUAACGCUACAAUGUAAGAGCUUUCUUCUCCAUGGCACUUAUAUUUUAUAUGCUAUAUAAGAUAAUAAUUAAAAAUAUAUGAACAUAUUUCUGCCAACUCAGUUAUGGAGACUGACAAGGUUUGAAUCUUUAUUCCACGUAUUCAAAAAGCAUAGCUAAUUUUGACCAGUAAGACCCUGCUGGAUCAUAAAGUUUUGGAAUCAAAACUUCAUCAUUUAUCUUAAAAAAAUAAAAAAACAUCUGUAUGAAUCUUAUCUUUAAAAAUGACUUAUUGUAAGCUCCAAAAUCUCUAAAAUUUCAAAUAAUACUGAUUAAACCUAACAAAGUAUUAAUUAUGUCAUGGGUGGGUGCCAUUUCCACUUGGUACAUGAGAACACAUUACAUGAGUCAUUGGUAAGAGGGUGGAGUAUCAAAAUACAAGUAGAAAAAAUGAUAGGAAAUGCUACAAUCGAAUCCACAACUUUGUAGUAGUUUCGGAAAUAAUAAGAAACAAAUGAAUAUUCAUAGCAAAAAGCAAGUUGGUUCAUAGUAUAUAUAUAUGCUCACAUGUCUCUCAAGCAUGAAUCACCAUUGACCCAGAAAUAGGAAUACAUUAGACCUUUUUACCAGUUGAGCUCAAAAUAUGCUUCUGCACAAACAUUUGUGAUCUGGUAUAUACAUUAAGGGAAUAUUUUUUUCUAAAUCAGCACUGAAGCAUUUGUGAAAAAUCCAGACUAUACUAACUUCUUGUUGUGUGCAUCCUUUUUCCAUCAACAGGUUGGUUGAAGUUAACAAUCAACCUUGUAGGUAUGCUCAUAAGCUCCACAAAAGAAUCCAUAUAACCAUUGCUUUGGUUGGAAUGGUAGAUCAUGUAAUCAAACAUGUAGUUCUGCUACAAAUAAGAAAUUAUGGGCAAUAAACUGCAAGCUGUCGAACAUGCCUGGAACAGUAGUCAAGAUGUGGGCAACAGCCUGCCAUUAUACAUCUUCUCUAGCAACUUUCGUGCCUCUGGUCGCCGAAGAAGCCCCUUGUUGUUGGGCAAGCCUGUGCCAAGACAAACUGGGCAGACCAGCUUUCCACGACCUGAACCAUCAUGUAUAGCAUUCUACUCAAUGAGUCUAAAUUUAAUAAAGUGGUCAAUCCUUUUAACAAUAAAAAAGGACAUGUUCCAAAGUUCAUGCAUGAGGUCGAUUUUCCAGAACAAAAUGAAGCUGACAAAUAAAUAAAUAAAUAAAUAAAUACAAGGGCAUCUUGUAGGUGAAGGAGAACCAUUGAGUCCAUUAGAAACUUCAAUUUUCAAUGAUGGCUAAAGGAGCAAAUGUUUAAUAAUAACAAAUGCACAUAACAAUUUAUGACCUAAACUAUAAACUUUUAGAAUUUAGAUAAAUGAGGAAUGCUAGCAGAAGUUCAUCACAAGUUUAUAGCUGCAUGCUGAAUCACAAGCUUCUUUUAUCGCUACCUCAUCAAAAUUCAAAAUAUAAGCAUAAAAUUUGUGCAGAUAAGAGUUAAGUGUGACAGGAUGAGUAAAACUACCAUAUAAAGCUUCAAAACCGAUUGAGAAUGGGUAAAGUCAACAAUAUAUAGAAACUUAAAUAGAAAUCUGAAGCAAGACCAUAGAAGAAUUUAACUUGUAUAUUUCUGUGUCAGUAGAACAUGAUACAAGUGAACAUUUUAUCUAUUAUGUAAAAGUGUUAAACAAUUAACAAAUCCAGAUAAGUAACAAGCCACACAUGUGGUCAGAUUUAAUAGUGAGAAACAUAAAAAAUUACAACACAGGAUUACUUUGUCAAUCUAAAUUAUAAAUGGUGCACCAUUCUUUACACUGUGGAUAUGUAUUGACUGUGUCCUGGUAAAACUCUAUAUGUGGACUAUGUGAAAAUCCUUUUGCUGGACUAAACCUACUCCUUGAUUCCAAACACUCUACCUCUGCAUGCCAAAGAGGUUUGCAAGUGUGGAUUUUGUACAUACUGAAUAGUUUGCAUAAGCUAUGACUGGACUUUUCCUUUUGUGUAAUCAUAUUUGUAUAGUUCCAUUCAUUGGCACCCAGCACAGUGAUCAUGGGAAGAGAGAUGAUUAAACUGACAGAGGAAUUUGACAGAUCAAAGAAAACUAAGUACUAUACAUCUUAAUGUAGCCAAAAACGAAGACACAAAUUGCCCAAAAACUUAAUGAAGCAUACUUAAAAAGACAUGCGGAAUAUAUGACAAAGGCUCAUAAAACUACAUACAAAAUUUAUUAUACAAAAUACCAAAGACACACCAUAACAAUUUGGGCACUCAGUAAACUCAUAUACAUCCUUUGCUCGCUUUCGGUUGAGUGCUUUCCAUUUUCCUGUGCCGCCACACAUGUCACCUAAGUCAAAGCAAGAGAAGAUAUUUAUCAGAAAAAGUCCUAUGGUAUCAGUCCUUGAAUAUUUCCAAAUGUUGUCAUUUACAUGUUGCAUUUUGAAUGGAAUGCACCAAUUUAAUAUCUCAUGUGUAUGGGUUCAUUCAAUGCGGAAAUAACUUGUGAGCAUGUGUUAUCAUAAACUGUAACCUCUUUGGCUCAAAUUGAAGAUUCAAUGCUAGAGUGGCUUAUCUCUUGCGAGACCACAAAUCAACAAGGGAAUAUGAAAUUUGUGAUCCAUCAUCUAGCUUCUUGUGAGCUUGUGAUUGCAACAGUUUGCUAUCCAUUUCACUGUGAGGGAAAUAGGGAAUCAUUUAAACUCUUCACAGACAAUCUGAUCAACUUGAAUUCAAAUUGAAGGUAAGGAUACCUAUCCUUGGAACAGAAGAUUCUGAACCAGUGCCUAUAUUCAGAAGUGGGAGAGAUUAAGAUUAUGUACAUAUGCUGUGGAAGCCCUUGCUCCUUAUACCAUCCAAGCAUGCCACAGUUAUCUUAUAAAUCACAAUUACCAGUUCCCGAUGCCAUGUUUAGAUUUUUCCUGCUUCAUACUACAAUUGAAUUCCUAUCAUUUGAAAUGACCUGUUUACACUAAUAUCACAUUUAAAAUGUAACUAGAAUAUCAACCAAUAAUAAGAUAAAAGGUUCAAACAACAUAUUUUAGAAAAGGUUGUUCCACAAUUAGGAGAAACAAAAGACAAAGCAUUAAGAGGAAAUUACAAAAAAACGCUAGAGAUAUGCAGCCCAAAGAAGCAAAUCCACUCGAACAUCAUCGGCUGUUGACAUGCAUAAUUUGUUAUCUGGAUGGAUCCCCCCUACAAUAUAAACUAUUAAGUUGCUACAUUGAUUAGUACUCUUAAGAAUGUGAGGAACCCUCUCUCUCCUUCAAAGUACAUAUUUGGCAAUAACCGAUCUCCACACAGGAAACAAAAUUAACUUCAUUAAGAAAACUACAUUAGCUGAAUAAUAGUGUGUGACAAGGUUGUAUGACCAAACUAUAGCUAAUAUGAGUUCUUAUGUGACUUCAACAAUCAUCAGGUAUUGAAAAUCCAACUAAAUUUCAAAAAGGAAGUAACAUGAUUUAUAUCCAGACUUAAUCCAAGUUUGUUUAAUCCUAAACCUCACAUGGCUCAACUUGAAAUACCAGUGGACUAAUUCUGGCACUAAGUCAACUCAAGCUAAAUCUUAUGUUGCAUAAACUCAUAUCUAAGACAGCAUUGUAAGUGUCUUGCACUUAAAAAGAAUAAAAACAAUAACUUAUAAAAGCAGACAUUGUUUGUGCAACAAUUUACGAAGUCUAUGGAAAAAGUAACACGACUUUUUAACUGAAAAUUUAUGUAUUCAAGUUUUCAUAGAAAAUAUUAGGUUCCAUUUUUGUCUCGGGUAUGGAAUCCGACAUACAGGAGAGAAAUCCAGCGUUUGACAUUUUCCUUUGGAGAGGGAAAAGGUACAGAAGGAGGAGCAUAUUGAAGGCAAAGGAAGUGUGUGGGAGGGAAGCAAAAAGAAAAAAAGAAAAAUACAACUAUCAAAAGCUCUUAAACAAGAAGAACAAUAAGAUUAUAGGAAUACUAUGUGGUUAAGCCCUGAUAACCCUGGAUUUAACCAUUUAAACCGAGCAGCAUGACAAUAUGGUAAUUGUAGCCAAUAGUAAGGGACCAGGCAUGUACAGGAACCUGAUUGGAAAUGUAAAUACAAGUUGAUACAUACUGGUCUACUGAUUUUUUUAAUCCUUACUUUAACAUGAGGUUUGAUUAGCUACAUCAACUGACAUUAAAGUUACAUCUUAUUGUCAGUUUUAUUAUGGGCCAAUUUGUCUACUUGAGUUCAGUUAUAGGGCUGGUCAGAUUUGGUUGGAGUCUUUAGCGGAUCAUGUUUUGUUUACUAAAGUUGAGUCAGGGUCUAUGUUCUAAAUGCUUCUAUUAAGAAAUUCAUAACCGUCUGGACGUCUGUCUCCAUUUUCAGUACCUAAACAGUCCUAUUAGUAUAAAACUCCAGUUAAAUUACAUGAUGGGGUAUUUUAGGGAGAUCUUAACUGUAAGAUGACUUUAGUUUAGUCAAGUGUAAAAAUUGUAAGCUGUAUUACUAUUACAACAGAAGGGGUUCUUUUACUGACACAUCACAGACCUUCCUUUCAUGCUAGUUAUGUUUUCUAUGCUUCAAUCUCUCCAUCACAAUAUGCAACACCUCAUUCUGCUAAAAGUUAUCCUACAGGAGAUCUUUUAUAAUUAAACAGCAGAAAUGAUGUUUCUAUAAAGACCUGACCUUAUACAGCUUUCUUGAUAUAUCAAAAGAAAACAUAAUGUGUAUCAAUACAAUUCUUACUGGACAGCUUUCUGCUGGUCAGACCUAACCACAAAACCAAUCUUAGUGUCAUUGGAUCAACCAGAGAGUAGGAAGUGAGUUUAUUUCAUCAAAACUCACCAUUCGUGUAAUAAACUGCCAAGGCUUCUUGCAUGUUUUCAUUUGAAUCUCAAGACCUGGUGAAAUACCUAAUUACUAAUUUCAAUUAUCGAAACCUGAAAAUAUCAGUGUGAAAAACCUAAGGAUUCCACAUUUACCUCUUACAUCUAAUAAUAUAAAACUUUGAUUUCAUAAAGCUGAUAGGUAGUAUUGAAACAGAAAUAUAUAUAAGGUAGUAGAACCACUUGAACAACAUAAUUAGAACACAGGAAAAAAAAUAUAAGAAAGGAAGAUGUCUCACAUAAUACUACGCCACUUCCAGCACAAUUUCGACAUACAGAUUUUAAUUUACUAGAGGAGCCCUCCAUCUUCUCUGAGGCAAGUCCAGUGGGUGCAUAGAAUGAAGGACCAGAGAUAUUUAUUACUGCUAGAGAUGCACAUAAACAAGUAAGGCAUUUACGUCUUGAAGGCAGUGACUUAGUUUCCUGCAUGAGAAAGUAAGACAUUAACAUGGUCAUAUUCCAAAACAAGAAGAUUUAGAAGGUUAUCAAAAUUUUAAACAUCUUUUAAACAAACAAGGUAUAAUCAUAAGAGUAUCUAUUAUAGUAAUGUAUAUUUCUGUACAUCUAAUGAGACAAAAUAAUAGUACAUAGAUGAUCCUGAAGCUAUUUCAGCAAUUGGCCCAUGAUAGCUCACAAUAACAAUAAGGGUCCUAUCACAAACUAUAUCGUCCAGCAGUUGUCAGCAUAAUUGGUUGACAUUCACCUUGACGCAUACAAAAGUUCAUAACCAGCUUUCUUAUAAACUAUUAGAAAAACAUGUCUUGUUAACUAUAACAUGCAUUUCAGAUAGAGUUGCCAUGAAUUGGACAAAGAAACUGACAUAGAUCUAUUUGAUCUAGACUUCUGUAAUGAUGACUCAAAUCCAAUGAUUGAUUCAGUAUGUGCACUGAAGAGCCUAACAGCAGAACCACAGGUCCAUCUUGUUUCAUUCUUGAGGGAGUCGAAGAAGAGGUACAGUAGAGAUCCCAGGAGAUUGAUCAGGACACAAUCAAUAAAUAUCAUUGACUACCUAGCUUGCAGGAGUCAAACUGAUGAAGGACCGAUAUGGGUCCCAAAUGAUACUUCAAACCUUGAUAGAGAGACUCUUGAGCAUCAUCUGCCAUAUUAUUUAAGUGGUCUUUCUACCUCCUAAAACAAGUUAGUUAUAAGCUUGUACAUCUAGCUUGUGUAGAAUAUUAAGUUGUAUUGAGUUGAGCACACGGAACUCCCUUUUGCCUGGACGUACUGGUCCAGGUGUGAACUGGUACAUGGACUGAACCCAUUUUGAGCUGUCUAGUCUGGCUAUAUAUAUAAAAAAAAACAAUUGCAUAUCCUCCUACUCAUGCUCGUGAUCGAGCCCUAGUCACAAGAGCCUCAUCGUGCAUAGUCACCCUCUGUCAUGCACUAGGAUGCCAUUUAGGUGCACUCCUCUUCUCCUCUUCCUCCUUCCUCCACCGCCUCCUCUUCCUUCCUAUUCCUCCUCCUUCCUCCUACACCACCUUCUCUUCUUCCUUCUUCUUCCUUCCUCUUCCUCCAUUAACUAGUCUUCUUCGGUACAUACUGGUCUACCAAAGAGAAAAAUUCUAUCUAGGUCUGCAAAAGAGAAGAUUUGACCCUGGAAAACUGACAAGUUUCUCUCUGAUAUUGGAAAGAGACAAGCUACCUCUAAUUUGAAAAGUGUAGGAAAAUUUUUAAUCUCUAACCUGGAAAAAGGAACCAGGUAAUGUUCUUGAUCUUGGCAAAAUGCAAAAGAAUGAAUGUAGAAUUUACUCUAGAGAUAGGGGUACAAUUUGUUUGAUCUUCACCAAUGGAAGAAAUCUUAAUGAACAGGUUACUUCAAAGAGUAGAGGAGCCUAACAAUGGAUGUAGUCAAGUUUUCUGAGCUAGUAUAAAUCUUGCAUCUCCUAGAUCUUUUACUUGAUCUUUGUAUAUAAGAUUUGUGCUUCUUACUAAUCGGGCUUUGGGAAAUUUAAAAUUUCUUUUAUUUCACUCCACAAAGCACAAAUUGACUCCCCUCUUGGUGCAUAAAAGGUCCAAUAAGCCUUUCUGGAACACCACUUCUGUUACAAUUGUAAUGAAGUUGGGAGCUACACAGGAUGCAGAAACAAUGAAAUCCUCCCACCAACUAACCUUAUCCAUGGAAGCAUAUUUUAUGUAUCAGCAACAUAAGUUUCUUCUAAGCAAUAGACCAACAAGUCAUUAGUUGAUUUUUGACUUGCUCUGGAUUGUGUUUUACACAGCUCCUUCAUGGUUCAUCAAGGAGUUUCUGUGUCAUGUUUGAGUGCAACACUUAUAUUAACAAACCUUAACCUAAAUUGAGGAGCAAUGAUGCAUCUUUUCAUCAAUGUGAAUCUAGAAUACCAAUUGUUCCUAGUGCGAGAGCUCGUGUAAACAAUGAUAAUAGUUAUAUACAACUGCAUAAAUACAAUAAAUGAUAUCCAAAUAUUUACUUUGCACAUGGUUAGGCAUUUUUUAAAAAGCUAUUUCAAGUUGGUUCCAUAUUUGUGGAACCAGAAAUUAACUAUACGUUGGUGCCAAACCCAUUGUAGUCACAGGAUAGCAGUCUCUGGUAACAUACUGUAAUGUGUCAUCUUUAGAAUUCACAAUCAAGUGCAGAAAGGGAUUAAAAUUUGAAAAAGUAGUCUAAAGGUCAUGUAUGCAUGCUCAGUUCAUAUUGGAUUCAAUAGUAAUCUUAUGCCUCGGUAACAAAAGAAGGAAAAAAAGAAGCUUAUAGAUGCAAUACUUCCGUGCACAGAAAAACCCUAGCAGAAGAGAGACAAUUUUAGUGAAAGACAAAUGUGAAUAUAUAUAUAUAUAUAUAUAUAUAUAUAUAUAUAUAUAUAUAUAUAUAUAUAUAUAUAUAUAUAUAUAUAUAUAUAGUCAAGAAUUUAAGUUUUAAAGAGCUCCAAAAAAAAGCAGAUCAUCUAACCUUCAUGUUAAUUUUGCCCGAUGAAGAUUCAGGGUCAUUGUGCUUCAUAGCUUCUUCCUCCAAAUUGGAGCUGACAUGAAAUUUAGCUGUCAUUGGAUUAGUUAGUUUUGACAUGCAAAAGCAUGAAGCACUUUGGAUGCUGUAAAGAUCUAUUAUUUAAAAUUGAAAUAAAUGGAACCCAUAAUAUAUAUCGAUCACACGUCGAAAUAAGUGACAGGUACUUCCUGCAGCAAGUAUGAACAACUUAAUGGAAGAAUAUACUGAAUACUUUGUUAAGAAGACAAUGCAGUAAAAACACCAGCAAAUGAUAGAUGACUUUCAAAAAGUACACAAAAUCAACCAUUGUGGUUUUACAUAAAAACAUAGAAGAUCAACACUACAGCUUUGAAGCCAGUUACUUGUACAAUUGAUUGUGAAAAGAAAAGGUACAACAUCGAACCAGAUUCUUAUCUUGCAAAACCAAAUUCAAGUCAAGUGUUUUUUCCAUUACAUACUGUGAUGUGUAUGGAUAUACAGUUACAGUGUAGCCAUGAAAGAUUUUAUUGAAAGUUGAUAGUUCAAAUUCUAUGUUUCCACUUAUACUGAAAGGCAAGUUUAUUAUCAAUCUUUCUUAAAGAAUUUUUUAUCACUUUCAUCUAUGCAACUUUAGGCCCUCUCCUUGUUCUGUUUAUUUAGUGCACUUCCAAACUGAUGUUAUCAUAAUACAGCUUAAGUACUCUACUCAUGUUUCCUACUUUUCCACGUUAUCCAAUUCAAACCUCUCACUUAUCUCAUGUUUUCGUUUCCUGAUUCUAGUAUGUUUUAACAACAGUUUCACAUAAAGAUACUCAUCUUUCAUAUGCAUUUGUAUGAUAGUAGUUUCUCAACAAACAUUGGCUUAUGCCCACAAAACAACUGAAUCUCCUCAAGGAGAAAGGAACAAAUUAUUGCAUCAUUCAGGUCAGGCACAAGUUCACAACAUCUGGGUAUGCUCAAACGAAACAGAAUUAGAGUGCCCAAUUUUCUGCAAAGAAGAAAACAAGUCCGCUAUCGGGUGACAGUUACAGUUAAUUGUCGUUCCUGUCAUCAUCAUCGCUUUCCACUAAUUUAUACUUCGUAGACAAAAACCCAGUACUAUUUCAUACCUCAAAUCACCGACAGAAACAAAAGAAAUUAACAGCUAAAAACAUACAAGAAAUCUGCAGAAAGAAGAUGCCUCAGAUCGUGCAACCUAAAUUUACUCAAGAAACCUUUUUAAUGAUAUUACAAAAUGGUAUCUUCUGCCACGAUUAAAGUGGGAGAGAAACGAACUCACCGCCACCACUCGCGAAGCCACCGCUUCUGCUUCUCCAUCGACUCCUGCAGAAGACAGGAGGGAGAGCGGCCGAGAGGAAGACGCUACAACUGCUCGCCAACUCCAUUCCCACCUUUCCUCUCCCACUCCGCUCUGGCGUCUCGGCCACACUUGGGUGCGAAGCAGCAGAGCCCGCCACAACCACAGGCCGGGGUUAUCUUCGGGAAACCACGCAUAGAAGUGCCCACGCGAGACUCCACGUGGAGUGCCAGCUGCCGUCGAAUGGAUCGCCGUAGCCGUUAACAGCAACCCGUUACAUCCGAUUAAAACGGCCGCUAUGGAUCCUCCCCAUAUCAUAGUUAAAAUCUCAUUCAGCCAAUCUCCCAAAAACAUUUUUCUUUAAAGAUAACUUAACAAUAUCCACUAGAUAACACCUUAAACAUUGAUUGAUGAUAAUAUACCAAACUCUUUUAUCAAAAUGGAGGGUUUGAGAUAUCAACUAAUAUAUUUUUAGCAUGUAUCAGCUACUUGGUAAAUAUAUUGAUAAUUUAUUAUAAGAUCUCGUCUUUAUCAUUUAUUCUAAAAAAAUCUACAAAAUAACUCGAGAUAAUAAAUUCUUAAUUUAGAAAUAUAUAUAAAUGUGCACCACCAUUAUAUUAUAAUUUUUUUAAAUUUUUUUUAGCCACCACUUAAAGUUGUAAAUAUAAAGUUUUUAGGGAAACCAAUUAUAUAUCUCUCGAUAUUAAGAUGAAAUUAGAAAAAUUAAAAGAGUAAGACUCUUUUACUCCUUAAGUUUGACCUCCGAGAAUCCAAGAAGUUAAUUAUAUAUUAACUCUUAUAAUUAGUUAUAUUUAGUAUUCUAAUUUUAUAUUUUUAAAAGUUAUAUUUGGAUUCUUAUACUUAUGAAAGUGAAAUAUUGAGAUCGGUUAAAAAGAUAUUUUCAUAAGAUUAAAAAUAAAAGAUUGUAUCAAAUGAAUAUAAAUAAAUAAUUUAUUUUAUUAAAUAUAGAGAUCUCAAUACAAUUUUAAUAGUAUCAUCAGAUUAUAUAUAUAUUUAUAUAUAUAUAUUCUAAUUAGGUGAGUUUAUCUUGCGAUUUGAUAUUUUGAAGAUAAAAGGAAAAUUAGUACCAUCACGAUCAUAAAUUACAUCAACAGAAGAUGACACAAAUCUUACAGUUGGACGGUAGCCUCACACUAAUGCUACGGAAGGACCAAAGUCUCAAUAGAACCCUCCUAAAAGGAAGAAAAGUGGAUUCGGUCCACCUAAAAAAGCAGCAGUAGUACUCCUCCACUAUACUCCCCUGCUUUCUGAAUCUGACUUGGUCAAACUCCUCAGCCUUCGAAGAAACCUCACCCUCCUCUCCCACCCGGCUCUCCUCUUCCUGCCUCUUGCCUUCUCCGGCGAUUCCUCCCAGCUCCAUGCCGCCGACCCCUCCUCCUCUUCCUCUCCUCCUCCUCCACCACCGCUGUCACCACUGCUUCCCACUCUCGCCUGCAGCUCCGCCACCAUUUUCCUCACUGCCUCCUCUGGCUCCUCCCUGUGCCGUAACAGCACCUCCCCUACCUCCGCCGGUGUCAUCUCCGCCCCUGCCCGAAUACAACUCUCCGCCACUCUUAACAUGUCAUGCUCCGUCGCACCGACGUACCGCUCGACUAGCUCCCUCAUUGCAUGCGCUCCACAUGCCCCCAGCCUCACAUGCACGUCCAUCCUCCCCGGCCGCAGCAGCGCUGGGUCGACUGCUUCCGCAUAGUUAGUCGUGAACACUAUUACCCUCUCCUCUCCGCAGCAUGACCACAGGCCGUCGAUAAAAUUCAGCAGCCCUGACAAUGUCACCCUCCCAUCAUUGCUAUUGCCGCAGCACUCAUCUUCGGAGUCAGAACUAUCGUUGCUGAUCGAAGGUUGGGGUCGCUUUCUUGCUGCUCUUUUCCUGCUGGCAGCAAGAGCUGCUGCAGAGGAUUUCGCGGUACCACGGCGGUCGCCAGUGAGGUCGAGAGAGCAAUCGAUGUCCUCAAUGACGAUUACAGAGCGAUUGCUUGUUUGGAUGAGCAAGGAGCGGAGGUCUGAGUUGUGGGAGACUCGGGUCAGCUCCAAGUCGUAGACGUCGUAGCGGAGAUGGUUGGCUAUCGCAGCAAUGAGCGAGGACUUGCCGGUGCCCGGUGGGCCAUGCAGAAGGUACCCGCGCUUCCAUGCACGACCAGUGCGGCGGUAGAACUCGCGGCCCGCCGCGAAUGCAUCGAGAUCGGCGAGGAGGCUGGUCUUGACUGGGGGAUCGAGAGCGAGCGUUGCAAACGUAGCCGGGUGACGGAAGGGAACAGAGGACCACGACGGUGGCCCGCCGCGGGGAGAAUUGGUGUAGAGGCGACGGGGGCGGGAGGAGCGCUCGAGGUGGUCGGCCUUGUCAGAUAGGUGGGAAAGGUAAGAGCCGAGAAGAGCAGCAGCCGCGCGCUUUGGCAAGCGGAGGGAGAAGGAGCGGCGCUCCUCGAGGGAGUCCUGGAGGGUGUCGGCUUGGUGGGUCCAGAGGAGCCUGUGGCCGGCGAAGGAAUCCUCAAGAGACUGGUUAGGGGAGAGGGAGAGCGAGGGAGCGGCGGCGGAACCGCGAGGGAGAGAGAGGGUGAGGCGAGGAGGAGCCGACACUGAGACGGCAGCAGAGCUGAGGAGGGACUGGUGGAGGUAGAGGUGGACAUGGCGGUAGAGGUCGUUGGGCUCGACGGCGGAGGAGCCGAGGAACUCGGGAACGUCGAAGUAGGAGUAGGGGGUGAUGGAGUCUUGGAGGGACUGCCACAUGGAAUGGAGAAGGGAAAGAAGCUGAGAAGGGAGAAUGUUUUGGAGGAUGGUCAGUAAGCCCAAGAGUGACCACAUCUGCGAUAGCAGCUCCAUUUUCUUCCACUGCAAUCGUUGCUGCUGCUGCUGCUGCUGCUGCUGCUUCCUCCAACUAAGCUUCGAGUGUUUGUAUCCUUGUGGAUGAAGGUUGGUAGAAAGUAGAGGACGAGGGGGCAAUGUCUAAGGCGUAUAUAAAGGGUAGUGAAAGAGAAGGGUGGCAUUGGAGGGAAUCGGGCAGCAUGGGAAUAUUGGGAACAGUCCAUGGAACGAGAGAAAAGAAGAUAAAGGCAUUAAAGUGAAAGGAACGGAGCAGCUGAGAACUCUGCUUUGUGUUUUGCUUUUCUUUGCUUCUUUUUGCUUUUACUUUUUCCUUUGUUUUGCUUUCGUGCCUCGAGGGAAGGAGAAGGUGAUAGUGAUGGAGGAGGGAGAAGAAGAAAUGCUUGUUUGAGCCCAGUCCGUGCACACGAAGAGUAGCUGACUUGCUGAAACUUUCUAGCUUCAUUUAUAAUGCUUCUUUAGUUCAUGCACAAGAAAGAUAAUAUGGAGUUAGCUCAAUUCUCAUUGAUACAUCAUCUAAGAAAUGCAUCUCGUUGCUAAAAUGUUUGAUAUUUGUGUGUAAACGAAGCCCCAUUAUAAUUUGAGGAUUUUAUUUCUUAUUUUUUAAUAUUAUUUACAUCGAUCUUAGAAAAGAGAUCACAUAAUCAAAAAAGAAAAAAUCCACAAUAUGUGGGGUUGGAUUUGGGAACAAUGAGACCAUGGAAAGUCAUUGGAAGUGGAGCAAGGAAAGUUAUAGCAUGUUAGAACUAAGAGAAUACACGAUUUAGAGUAAUGUUGCCGUCUACAAUGUGAGAUAGCCUCCCUAUCUUCAGGAGAAUUGACAUUAAACACCAUAAAACAGAAGGUUGGAUGAUCCAUAAAGUCUUCUAUGGGUGGUAAGAUUCUUGUUAUAUUUGCCAUUGUAGUCCAAAGUAAGAACAUUCAUUCUUGUUAUAUUUACCAGCUAAACUGAAGAUCCAACAUAGUUGAUCUAUCCAGGAUAUGUUCAUCAAUUAACUAUAUUUGAUUCGCUUUAAUUAUUUAGUAUGAUUUAAGGAUCGAUUGCUUUGUCGUAAACAUGUAACUUCAAUUAAUUUUAAAUUUAAAAUUAUCUAAAUUAUUAGUCUAAUUAAAUUAAAUUAAUAAUAGUAGGCAAUUUACUCAUUCUUAACAUAUGAGGAGGCAUAAUCCAAUAAUAACUAUGUGAACAAUUUAUCGCAAUCUAGUUUGAGGAUUACUGAUCUACUAAGUUAGUCGAGUUUGGAUCAAUGAUCUAAAAUAUUUAUAUACUCAUAAAGUUGAUAUUACGAGUAUCCAAUUGUGCGAGGCAAUUGCAUCACCCAUCAACCUGCUUCAACCCUUCCAACUGGCCAUAAAACUCCUGCAUUCUUCUUCUCAAGAGGAGAAGGUUUUCCUGCCAUAAUCUAUAGUAGUAGUAAUCCAUCAUGGCUUGCACUUAAAGAUCUUCAUAUAAGAACAAACCUUUUUCCAUUGUUCAAUCUCACCUGUGUGAAAAAUACAAAGAAAAAGCAUUUAUUCUCUUCCCUCUCGUAUUUUCUUUAGACAAAGCCAAAGCCUUUAGUCUCCUCCUCGUAUGCCCUUUGUUGACAUACAACGCUGCUGGCCGAGGAAAUUGGAUGCUAUUUUAGCUGCGUUACAAAAGCUGAGAAAAGGAUGAGAGUUAUAGGUCAGUCCACGUGAAAAGGAAUCAAUGUUGAUAAGAAAGAAAUAGACCAAAGACAAAACAUAAAGGAUUAUAAAGAACAGCAACGAGGGAAUGUCAAUAUUCUUUGGCCCAGACUUCUUUUGUUCCCCUCCUAAGUCACUGAUAAAAGAGAUGAUGUUGUGAAAACUACGGUGCUGUGACGAAAUUUGGUCAAAAAAUAAUUAUAAUUGAUGAAAAUAAUAGAAGAUAAGAACAAUUAUUAAAGAAACUUUAUUGAUGAAAAGAAAAAACUUAAAUAUAUUAACAUGUCCCUCUCCUAUUUAUACAAAUGAUGCUCCUGUUAAGAAUAUCAAGUAGAGCAAGAGCAGAUCGUUGCUGUUGCUGUGAGGGCACAAGCGUUCCUUUAAUUUCCCUUAAGUCCGUCUUUCGUUCUCCUUAAGUCCGUCGACCUCUUAGGAAUUUGACUGUUGUGGCAUUAGUCAUUGACCGAAGGCAAAGACGAAGCUUUACUUUUCUAAACGGCGUUGAUCAUUGGUAGUUAAGAAAAUCUUAUCUUCUAUCAAUAAUAAGAGACCAAUUAUAGUAUUAGAGUUCAAAUGCUUUAGAUAGAAUAAUGAUAUAUCUGUAUCAGAUUUAAUUCGUCUCCUUUUAUUCCACAGAUAUAAAUAUUUUCAGCAAUUACGUACUGUAGGUCUCUAUUAUAAGUGUGUCAAGUGUGUCUUGCAUCAACGAGUGAGUCACGUUUAGAUUUGAUUGAUCUGAAGUCAACCUGUCUGUAUACCUCUUGUUUGGUUUGCAUUGGAGAUGGCAUCUUCAGCACAUGAUUAGGAAUCCGAUUAAAGUUUCAUGAUAGCUUUCUCGUGGGCUUGUUUUAUUCCUUUAGUUUCGAUUCCUGCAACUUUCUAUCCCUUUCAUAACCACACUCCUUAUCUUUCUCUUGUCUUUAGGCUUCUCCAUCAGUCUCUGCUGCUAAAGGUGCUUAGUGGCAUUGAGUAGGAGCUAAAGCUUUAAAGAAAGUUGAUGUCCUCAAACCAAUACGACAUAGUGGCUCAAGAAUCUAUCGCUCACAAGUCUUAUAUGCUCAUAAUUAUGUUGCUCUCAAAUAAAUCCUCCUGACUGGGAACAUGAACACAAAUAGGUGACUGCCAAUGAAGUUACCAAAAGCAAGAGCUUGUAUUAGAAUAGCUUAAUGGAGUUUCACGCUUGUAAAAGCUGACUUGCAACGAAAUUAGAAUCUUAGGUAUGUGUGUUAUACUGCUGCAACAGAAGAAGAUUACACAGAAAUGUGCAAGCCAUAUGCUCGAGCAGCUGUCAUGUUGUCAUUAUCUUUAGCUAAAAGCACUUUAGCUUCGCUCGAGUUAAAGAACACUUUUCAGAGGUGAAUCCUUUUAGCUACAAGACAAUGCUCGGAUAGGACGAGAAUGACUGAAACCUCAAAGUCAAGAGAGCUUUUCUUUGCUUGGAAAUGCAUUAGUUGUUGUACACCUGAAUUAUUAUGCUUGAAGAGCUGCCGAAGAGAGCUCUUCUUCAUGCCUUGGCCACGAAUCGCUUGUGAUUAAUGCAGACCAGAGUUCUUUGCAUCAAUUCGCUUGUGAUUAAUUUGUAGCAUGGAAUCUUAUCCUAUUAUUUGGAAAGAUUGUGCUGUAUGAUCGAGAAUUUAGGACUGCAAUCGAUUGAGUGCUCGGUCUUUUCCUUUGUUUCUGACCCCUGCAACUUUUCUCUCUCUUUCUUAACCACUCUCCUUAUAUCUUUGGUUUAUCUUUAUGCUUUUCUACUUGGGCUGUUGAUAAAAGCUAUUAGGUGCCAUUGAUUAGGAGCUAAAGCUUACAAAAGCUGAGAUGGUCAUAGUUGCACAAGAAUCUAUCAUCAGGUAUGAAGAUGAUAUGCUCAUGAUUAUGUUAUUUCCAAAUCCAUCGUAUUGGGAACAUGAACAAAAAGGCAGAACCUUCUCCUCUACUAGUUGAGUAUAUGAACAUGGAGAGUUGAAGCAUUUGAGAAGCAACAUCUGCUGUUACAGGAAAGUCAUCAGCUGUAUAAUGACUGCUCUUCAUUUCAAACAAGAGAUCGCCUUGACACAAGAUUUGAAUCAAAUGAUACUCAAUGUAGCAUUCAAAUCUGCUGGUUUUUUAGUGUCAGGCAGGUGAAUGGCACGCAGGAGCACAUAGUUAAAGCUAACAAAGAGGUAACAGCUUGUAUUGGAACAGAUCAAUGGGACGCAUGCUGGUAAAAAGUGGAUUUUUAGACUCAGAUUAAAGUCUUGGCCAUGUGUGUCAGACAGAUUCCAUCUCUAAGAUUUCAAGAGUCCAGAAAUGUGCAAGCCAUUUGCCCAUUCAGAGCAAUCUUGAUGUCAAUGUCUUUUGCUAAGAACACCUUUAGACCCUUUUUACUAGAUGCCAAUGCAAUGCAUUCAAUCUUUCAUGUGUUGAUGUGUCUCUACCAUUAGCUGCUAUAUUGACAAGUUGGAUGAAGUUCUUUGGUGUGCCAUUUUAUGAGGAUGAAACAUGCAACGAAAAUUAGAAGUCUAAAAUCUGUAGAGAGAGAGAGAGAGAGAGAGAGAGAGAGAGAGAGAGAGAGAAUUAGGACACAUAUUUCAAAUCAAUGAUGUUAUCUCAUCUACAUGAAACUGCUACUCACCCAGCUUUUUUCUUGAAGGCAUAGAAACAGUGAGUGGCACGCAUUAGCAAAUCAAUAAAGGGAAACAUCCUCUAUUGCAAAAGCUCAAUGGGGCCGCAUGCUUGUAAAAAGUGGAUUUUUAGACUAAACUUCAAAAUCUUACCCAUGUGAGUUAGAUUCCAUGUUUAGGGGAACCAACAGAAGAAGAUUGUACAAAGAAAGAGAGAAAGGGAAGGAAAAUUAAAGAUUCCUGAAAUGUGCAAGCCAUAUAUGCUCCACAGAAGUUUUUUAUCCAUAAAAGUCUUUUGCUACAAGAUUGAGUGAGUUAUAUAGUUCUACAAAAUUGUCACAACAUGGGCUAAUUGGCCGUCAACUUUAUCGUCUGAGUUAAAUCAUUGAUUCGACUCCAAUUGUCACUAAACAAAAUGUUUAAAUUAAUAUUGAUAAAAUUAUAUUCAUCAGAUCCUAUGAGUCAAUCUAAGUGUGUCAUUUUACUUAAAUUUUACUCAUUUAACCUCCCCAUAAAAAUUAAUUUUUCAGUAAAAACUGAAAAUUGGAUAUAAUCUUAUGGUCUUUUGACAAAAACAAAUGUAUUGGUAUGUUCAAUGUAAAAAAAAACAAACAAACAAAAAUUCAUAAAUUGACUGAAAUUUAAAUGAGAUGAUAACCUUAUCGAUUCCGUCAAUAAAAUUUUAUUGAAAAAGUCCUAAGAUUUAAUUAUUCUUUGCAAACAAUAAACUGAAUCAAUCUUGACUCCUAAGAAACAUCAUACAAUUGAAUACAUAUGACAUGAAAUCAUAAUUAUCAAGAAUCGGACUAGACAUUGAUUCGAUCUCAUCUUUAGUCAUUGGGUCAUUGGUUGAGAUCGAUUGAUCGACUGAUCCUAUCGCAAGUUUAAUAUUUUUUAAAAUAAAAACAAAAAUAUAUUAGAUUAAAUAUAUUGAUAAUAUUAAAAAAAAGUUUAUAAAGAUGAAGUGGUUAUGAUCCCUAUCAACUUAAAUCUGGACAUCAAUCCAGCCAUUUUGUAGCUGUAUCUGUCAGGAUUAUUAAAGACUACGAAUGAAGACAGUAGCAAUUGUGAGGAGAAGAGCUUCGACAUAGGAACAUCCAUCCGUCCCAUGAAGCCAACGUAUUGUACAGAACACGCCUAGCUGCUAUUAUUUUGGCCAUUGUCAUCAUCUCCUUGGAGUAGAAUAGCAUGUAUCCACUCGGUCCCUCGGAUCAAUCGAUGAACUCGUUUGGUUCCCAUGAAGCAUUCUCGUCCAACGAAUACAAAAAGAUCCACUUUCUGGUUCUCCUCUCUCCUCUUUCCUUCUCUUUGCUUCGGUUUCGAGGAACAGAAAGGCAUGAGUUCUGAGCAGGAUGAUCAGCAACGUCGCGGCUGUUGCAGUAGCCUCGCCGGUUUCUUUUCUGUUCUCUCGGAGUCUCAGCACACAAGCAUGCCAAGACUCGAUAAGAAGGUAUCCGACAUCCACAAUUAUGUUUGUGUAUGUCUGUCUCUAUUGCACUGGUUGUUAUAUAGUCUCCUAUUUCUGGGCAAGAUUAAUGAGCUCAAAGAGGAGGUUCGACGACAGAAAGAGCUCAAGGAGACCUACAAAGCCCGGCUCGAGAGGACGCAGGAUUAUCUCAGGUACUGUUUAGAGGUGGCAAAGGAGAAUGGAUUCUUGCACCACAUGUCCGACGAUCAAGAAAGCACUCUCCCCACGCAAACCGACCAUCAGCAGCCAAGUUUACAGGCAGUGGAUGUGGUGCCGAGUGACCCUCGUUUGGCCGCCGUGAUGGAUCAAGCUAAGCUGAAUGGUUGGUACGUUGAACCGGAGGAGGUAAGUGCCGUCGUCUCCUCUUCUUGCACAAAGCUCUUGCUUCAGCAAUUAAAGCUCACAAUUUUUGCUUUUGUAGUUGUAAUGAAUGCAACCAAAAAUGAUCAACCUACACUAAUUAUAAAUGAGUUUUGAAUACUUAAUUUCCAAAAACACAAAAAUCUCGAAUCCGGUCGGUCCUUUGACUCCUUCUUUGUUCAUAUGCUUUAACAUUAAUGACGUCUUGUUCAUAUGCUAGCAGAUAGAGUUGCAUGAACAAAUUGGUAGAGGAACUACUGCCGAUAUAUACCGAGGGACAUGGAGAGGGCUUGGUGUUGCCAUCAAAUGGAUUCACCCCAGCGUCUUCGAUGCCAACGGAAGCGGCCAAGCCUGGUUCGCCGAAGAACUCCACACUCUGUCACGCCAACGCCAUCCCUACGUGCUGCAUCUCAUGGGCGCAUGCUUCCACACGCCACAAAAGGGAUGGCUGGUCACCGAGCUCUUGAGUGGGAAGACGUUAGCGGAAUGGCUGCAUGGGCACAAGGAGAGGCGAAGAGGACGGUCUGUGCCUCUUCCUCCUCUGGCGGAAAGGAUAGAGAAGGGACUGGAGGUCGCCAUGGCGCUGCUGUAUCUUCACCAACAGAAGCCCAGGGUCAUCCACAGGGAUCUCAAACCAAGCAACAUACUUUUGGACGCCGCUACGCACGCUCGAGUCACGGAUUUUGGACAUGCUCGGCUUCUUGCUGACGGAGAGCAAGCUCUCACCGGUGAAAUGGGUAAGACCGACAGACCAUGACUGUCACAGUACACAGUAGUCUGAUUGAUCGAUCGCGUGUUUCGUUUUGGAUGAUGAUUAGGGACUUUCGUGUACAUGGCUCCUGAGGUGAUCCGUUGUGAACCCUAUACGGAGAAAUGUGAUGUUUAUAGUUUUGGCAUCAUACUGAAUGAGCUGAUCACCGGUGAGCAUCCCUACAUAGAGACGAGCUUUGGUCCCGCUAAGGUACGAUUCAUUUACCUGCUCCGGUCCUCGAACGAUAUAUGUAUGUUAACGAUUCCUUCCAAAUAUGUGGUCUAAUCGCCAUGAAUGACUGAGAUCUAGUAGUCUAAUCUGUGCAUUUCUUCAUGGCAGAUUGCGCUCGAGGUGAGUGAAGGCAGGCUUCGGCCAAAGCUGCCCGAGCAUGAUCAUGAAUGCAGAGAGCUCACAGAGCUUAUAUGCUGUUCUUGGAGUGAUGAUGCUUCAGCUAGACCCUCCUUUGCAGCGAUCAACUUGGCUCUUAGGAAGAUCAUUGACAAGUUAAAGUAGUGGCCAAGUCCAAUUUGCAAGGCAUUUUUCUUACUGUUCUACAAGGAGAGGGAGAGGGAGAGAGAGUGGGAGGGAGGGAGGGAGGGUACAGUUUAUAAACUGACAUCAUGACAUGCCAAAUGAAAUAUGGUGCAUCUAUCUACUUCAGUUAGAUUGCCUUCAAGCAUAAGCCAAUACUGUUGCAAGGCAAAUACGAUACUGGUUUAUUUCGCUAAGAAACAAUAUUUCUCUGUUUAACUAACAAGAAAAUCCAAUUUUUAAUCCAUGUCAGUAUAUAAGUAUCAAGAAACCCUUAAACUGCUGGUACAAGAGGAUCAAUUUUCCAUUGGUAAUUUAGCGAAAAGAACCUUUCUGUAUAUAUGUAAAAGAAAUAUAGUGUAGAAUAGUACUUUGAAACAUGAAACAGGGAAACAUUAAAUUACAUGUAACAAGAUUGUUUUCUCCAAGCCAGACAUAUAUUAACACAAUAAAAGUUACUGCAGUAAGUAAAUUAGAAGAUACCCAAGUUCAUUCAAUAGUGAGCAAACCAAGUGUAGUUGGAGAGAGAAGUAUCAUCACAGUUCUAGUUUCAAGAAAACAAACAUAAUGACAAAAAAAUGGCAGUUAAUUACCACAGGUAUGGAAGUAUUGGUACUGGAAAAAAUUAUUGCAGUAUGCCACUAAAAGGUUUUAAGAGCAAUGUUUUUAUUAAUUUGUGAAAAAGUAAGUUCAAGGUUAAAUCACUGCAUAAAUUUUAUCAUGAAGUAAAGCGAACCAAUGGACUAGUGAACCAAGGCUCAGCCGGCUCAAUUCUCAGUCCGGAUUUGAUAACUAAGAUCAUUAAAGAAGUAAAUUGAUCUGAACCUUUUCAUGCAUUCUGCAACAUUAGCAACAUUAGAGUAGAACAAUAUCAACAAUUAGGCUAGGAUUAGGGAACAAAAUACUGCUGAUGCCUCGAGUCAAAAAGUCAAUCUAGUUAUAAAUAUGGGGACACCAUGGUAGGAGACGCAAAUGGAUUUCAAUUUCUCCAAAUGACUUUAAAGAUAUAGUAAUACUAUCAGAAGAAACAAUAUAAGUCAUGAAAACUGCAUUAAUAAAUAAAUCCAACUAACGCACCUGCUCCACAAUUAGCACCGCAAGUACAACACCAACUUUUGUGAAAAGAACACACGAGCUUCCAUGAUCCAGAAUGGAUCAUUUGACAAAGAAUUUAAGUUGUUUAACAAAAAUUCUCAGCUUCAAUGUCUAUAACAGAGAACAGCGCUUCGCUCAGAAUGGUACAUCUAUCUGAUCAAGAAAUAUCUGCAUAGAACUCAGCGAGUUGAAGAUCACUUCUGACUGAUGUAAAAAACCAAACAAUAUCUGAAGGUUGAGAAACCAUGGUGUAUAUUUUUUUUCAUAUGCGAAAGAACCAUAAAUUCUGAAUGAUGAAUUAAUAAACUGAGACCUCAGCAUCAAUAAAAAUAUCCUUGGUCCACUGCAACUGAAGCAUGAUAAAGCUCGAUCCAGAUUCUGGCAGUGAUAACUUUCAAGUUAAAAGUAAAAUGGUGGUUGUAUUAGACCAGAAUUCAUAAUUCAUUCUCCCCGUGUGCAUUAGAAAGAUACGAGAAUCCAGUAACAAUUAUGUACAGAGCUUUCCAAUCAAGUCAAGGAGGUAUUUGCUCUCCAUGGAAGGAUUAACUGUGUCUGUCUUCACAACAGUUAUUUUCACUCGCUGCUCUUCACCAUAGUGUUCUUCCUUGAUUUUGAGCCUAAAUAGGUACUGCUCAAAGAGGCAACGCCGAAUGAUGUCUCCAAACUUUUUAUCAUCAUGCUCUUGAUGUUUUAGCUGAUAGAGCUCCUUCGCGGAGCAACCAAUGAUCUCCUCUCCAGACUCCUGGAAGGCUGUCACCCAAGUCACUCCUGUAUGGUCCUGCACUUGUGCCUGAAGAAGAUACCGAUAAUCACAUUCUUCAAAUUCUUUAGAACAUCUAUCACAGCACCAGUUCCCACUAGCAAGCUUUGUCACCUUCUUAUUACAUGGCCUAUCACCAAUUAGUAAAGGACAAGCUGUGUAACAGAAAUUAUCUGUCUUGAUGAAUGAGAUGGUGGCUUUGACAGUCACCCAGUCAGGCUUAUUCCCCCUUCCAAGACCCUCAUCUUUGAUCUGCGACACGGUCUUCCGGCUAUCAUUUAAAGCAAGCCCAGGCAUCAUAUCUUUAGAAAUGGAGUGGCUGGAAGCAUCCUUUCCUCCUCCAUCAAACCAUUCUCUCAAGAUAUAAGUCUCAGGAAGAUCAGGAUCUAUAAAGAGUUGGGUGGAAGAAAUUGUGCCAACUGACUUACCACUGAAGUCACUAACCUUUCCUGCCUUCACAGCUAAUGCAGGGAAUAAACCAGAACCAAGCUUCUCCUGUAGUUGUCUACCUUCUCUGUUGCAGAAGUCUCCCCAUAAAGUUAGCUCAACACUUCGACCAGACACAUCCUUCAAAUUAAGAAUUCUUCUUUGUGUUUCCAUACCAUUCUUCCUCAGUAUUGUCAUCGAAGGGUUAAUAGAUUCAACAAUCCCAAUAAUAUCGAUGAUUGAAUUGUUCUCUGCAUUCUCUAUAUCAAUGAUUUGUCUGAAAUUAAAAUGUUGUGUUGGAAUAGAGCUGUCUUCAUCUGGACAACACUCCAAAGUUGUUGUCGACUCCAAAAAUAUUUCCCAUUGAUUGUUGAGGUGGUUAAAGUUCUUCUGCGCAGGUUUUAAGCUUCCCUUUGAAAUUAGGUAAAUCUUUCCAACCUCCACAGCUUCAUAGAACCGGUCAACAACAGCGUUGAAACAAGUUGCACGUAUCUCUCCUCCAUCUGAAUCAAGGAGAUCAAAGGAGAACACUUUGCCAUCUCCCUUAGCAUUAUUAUAUCGCCGGAUGUCUCCUUUGGCUGUCACUCUUGCUUUGAUGGCCCAUCGCCCCUGAUAAGGAUUUAGAGCAGCUAUCGGAAUUACCCUAGCAGGUGCUUCAUUUUUCAUGAUUGACCCAUAGCUCUUGUAAUUGGAUGGAGGCCGAUAGACGGAUUGCACAUUGAAGUUCUGGACUUUGUUGCCAGAGUUCAUUGCUGAGCUGGAAACAAGUUUUGCAGCCGGGACUAGUGACUGAACUCUUGAAUUCCCAAAAUUGCUACUAGAUGAUAAGUCAAGAGUCUCUGAUGCAAAUUCUGGAUGUAGUUUGCGAUUCCCAAUAGUCUCACAAUCUCUAAUUAUAAUCUUCAUUUCCAAAAUGACAAUGAUCCUGUGUCAUGACUGGAUCCAUUAUUAGUAAAAAAGUAAAAAAAUCUGAGAAGGCAUAUUUAAACAUAUGAAAUUCUCAGAAAAAGAUGCAUCAUGUAUAUCUCCCUACUAUAUGGGGUUGGCUACACCGACCUUUUUCUGCUAUUGAGUUCUAAUUAAGGAACCAUCAGAAUUAUGGAUGAAAGAAAGAUACAAUUUCUGCUUCAUUUUGAAGAUGAACCAAAAAAUGAUUCAUCUGAACUCUAACAAUAUUUCCACAUCAGACAUACUCUUUCUCCAAUUUGCUCCUCUACAUAUAACGUACUUACCAAAUACAAAAUAAGGACAGAUAUACAUAUAUUUACAAUAAAAGAAUAUAUUUUUUAAUUAUUUUCAGUGCAAUUCAAAAUCUCCAUUUGUAUCAAAGAGAAAGGGGAGAAUCAAAGAAGCGAUCGAUAGACAAACCUCUGGUUCUUGACGGUGCUGCAAACGUACUCCAGCAACUGGACGACGGACCCACUCCUCACCGCGCCGCUCUUUGCGGCCUCAUUGAAUUUGACAGCCAGCAGCGCUUUCUGCGCCGCGGAGCCGUCAGACACCACCGCCCGGUACCGCUCCUGCGGCUCAGCUAUCCGCUUCAAAUCCAGCACCUGCACUACAGGCUUCAGGUCGAGAUCGCCAUCGUUCACCGCCGCGAUCGCGUUCGCCGUCAACCGCGCCGCCAUCCCCCGCGUCCAACUCCCGCCUCACGAGCCGAUAAUCGAGAUGGAAGGCUGGAUCUGAUUCUUGCAGCUCCAAUCGGCGACGAGAAACCGAAUAAUAUGGGCAAGAGCUGGGAAUUCAGGGAUUAGAGAGCUUAGAAAUCGAUAAUUUAGGGCUCGAGGAGAGCCAAUGAGGUAUGGAGGAUAACCGAACACGGAGUUUCUCGGGGCCGUGAUUGUUACGGUUGAAGUGAAUUAAAAACUUAAGCAUAUAUAUAUAUAUAUAUAUAUAUAUAUACAUUCUAAGAUUUACUUUAAAAUAUUAUAAAUAAUCUAAAUAAACUAUUAACAUCUACCAAACUUACUAUGAGUCUAAGAAUAUGAUAUUAUAAUGAUAUAUGAGUAAUGAUAAUCAAUAAAAAUAAUAUAAUAUCACUGAUGAUAUUUUUUAUAAUAUUUACAGUAUUUUUAAUGUAUUAAUAAGAGAUUAUAAAUAUUAAAAAAAUAAUAUAAACGAUCCAAAUAAAAAUAUUGUAACAGUUUCAAUCGGUAAAAAUAAAAAAAUAAAAAAUUUAACAAAAGAUUUUUUGAUGAGUAUUUUUUUAAAUUAGGGGUAUUGUUUGAAAAAAGUAAAAAAAGGGAUGUCUUUUAAAAAAUACUUUUUUUUUAAAUCACACACACACAACAUAUAUAUAUAUAUAUAUAUAUAUAUAUAUAUAUAUAUAUAUAUAUAUAUAUAUAUGGAUACAAAUGCCUAAAAUGUAUUUAAAUAAUUACCUAAAGGAUACAAAUGAAUUUAUAUGGAUACAAAUGUAUUUAAAUAAUUACCUAAAGGAUCUUUUCUAUAAUAUAGUCAUGGUUAAAUGCCUAAAAUGGUAUACACCUUCUUGAUUACAAGUGUAAUUAUGUAGCAUUAUGAUGAUAUAUCGCGUGACGAUGAUGUGUGUGGAAUGAUUCACGUGCUAUAAUCUACCUAUCAAAUAUGAUACUUAUAUAAAAAUCUUAAGUUUCUCGAUUUCUUCCGUUCUAAAAUAUAUUUUGGGUGCUGACCUCAACGUUUAAUGUCUUAUCAUAAGAUAUUUAUUUUGAUAGACUAAAAUAAAUCAUUUAUGUCCAUUAAUAUAUUUGAUUAAUAUGAUUGAUGGUCAUGUUGUUGUGGCAACUCCUCGAGGCUUAUCAGCAAAAUUAAGGUGACGUAAGUAAGUAGACUCAUCGUGUGAGGGGCAUCGAGGUUUGACAUAAAGAAAGACUCAAAUAUAAAUGAUGUCAUUAAUAUCCACUAAUUAAGCAUGGCAAUAUUUGGUAAAAGGAGUGUUGAUGCCACGGUAAAAAUGGCAACAAAGGCAAUCAUCAUAGAGUUAUCCUUCCUUCCUAAGCGACAUGCUAUUGAAAACUUGAGUUGUCCGUAAAUGUAAACAAACGUACACGAGACCAUGGAAUUCGAUGCGUAGGGAUAAAGAUCUAUUACCGAUAACGAGGGGGUAGAACUCGCCGCCUGACAUGGGGAGCACUGACCUGCUAUCACAGGCAUACGAUCGGCGGUGGAGUAACUCGGGUACCCGAUCAUAGUGUCUAUGCCCCUUCUAAUAUUCAAAUAAACACUUAAACACUUUGAUAGGAAAUUAAGUUAGACCCAAUUCCAACCAAAUUAUAUGUUAAUUACGAAAUUUAAGACAUACACUAAGUUAAAUAAAUAUGGUAAGUCUAGGUUUCUUCCGGUGAUCUUCCAGUGAAUUUUUGACGAUCUCUCGGUAAUGUUCCAGCGGACUCCCGACAAACUCUUGGAUUUCACGACGAUCUUCUUAGCGAGUUCCGAUGAGCUUCGUUGGCUAGCUCUUGGAUUUCUCGAUUAAUUCCGACAGAAGUUCCGAUAAACGUCCGGACUUCCGACGAACUCUUGAACUCCCAACGAAAUCUCGUUCUUGACUCUGAGACUUCAUAUUGUUUUAUGCCUUGCUAUCGUAGUUAAUCCUGCACACUAAAACCCAUUUCGAUCUAGACAAUUAUUACAAAGCUUAAAUUAAGUGUUGUCCGGCAUAUCAUUGGUUUAUCGACGCUUCGUCUGAUUAUUCAGCGCAUCGUCCUCUCUUGCGGCCUAUUGCUCAAUCGGUCAGUUGAUCUCCGCAACUCCGAUUUUCUUAACGUAAUUUUCGCUCUUCUUGGUCCGAUGCCUGAACCCAUGGCUCGAAGCCUUCUGCUGUCAAUACAUCGAUCGAUUCUUCGACUUGACGUCCAAUUUUCUAACAUAUUUUUCUUCGGUCCAACAUGAUUCUUCCUACUUUAAUUAUUUUUACCUGAUUAAAGCUUCCUACGUCACUCAAAACACAGAUCAAAUAAACACUCUCAAUUGGUUUCAUCAUCAAAAUCCGAGAUUCAACACUAAUAUCCAAAUAAACCCCGCAAAUCAUCCAAAUCAACGGGCUAUAAUAAAAACCUCGAGUCCAGUUUAUCUAUUAAAUUUGAAAUCAGAUUCAAAAUAAUUAUAAGCGAUUUGGUUCAUAUAAAGUUUUUAUCCGAAAAUCAUUCAAACUAAAAGACUAUAAUGAGUUGAACUAAAAUUGAAACGGAUUGUUUUAUUUUUAAUUUUUUUAAAAAUUAUUUAUUUAUUAAAUUAUUAGAAGAUGCAUAUUCGCUAUUUGGGGUGGGGGGGGCAUUUAAUUGUUUAUAUUUUUGUUAUUCUUGAAACCUAAUUGAUGUCAUCGUUUCUUGAUCGGUUUGAUUCCAAUUGGAUUCUUGAUCGGAUCUACUCUAUGUAUAUAGCUAAAACCAAAACAAGACGGUAAAACGUCACCUCAUAUGUGGCUCUCGAAGAUGAAGUGACAUGAUGAUUGGAAAUAUAAGGCGCAAACUACCAAAGCCGUAUCCUUACAUUCAUAGUUGUCCCCUUUUGAGCCCUACCAAAAUGAUCGCAAUGUGACAACCCAUCGGACUGUGAUGUUUUGUUUGGGUUCCAAAUCGAUGGCCGGACCGGUAGGUUUCCAUCACGAGCGAUCACAUCUUCGUAGAUAUAUUAGUAUGAUAUUUCUCGCAAGUUUUCUUUACUCUCUCUUAAUGUUACCAUCUUUCAUUGACAAGAGAAAGUGAAUUCAUGAUGCAAAUGAUGUUCUAGUUAUCUAUAAAUAUAAAUACGAUAGUGAUCUAAGCAACUACUACUAGUCGAUUAAUAGAUGGGAGUGUUCACUACCUACUUUGAACAACGAAAUAAAUGUGUAGCUAUAUGUGGAAUAUGAAAGAAUAAUAAAAAAUAAUAAUUUAUUGGAGGAGAUAUCAUAUAUUAUUAGGAUUAUUUUUUAGAACAAUGGGUAUGAACUCAUGAAUGUAGGGAGAUUCUACAUCUACCAAACCAAAUAUAUCAAGGUUGGCAUAAUGAUUUCCAAAAUAUUAUUUAGGUUUUUUUUUUUUUUGCUACAUAAUAUUUUGGAAAACACUCAACCCACCUUCUUAAAAGGACUAGAAGACACCUUAUAUUUUGAUGAUUUUUCUUUCUUUUUUGAGUUCUUGAAUGUAUGAUGGCAUAGUGAUUUCCAAAAUAUUAUGUAGGUUUCUUUCUGACUUGUUAAAUAUGGAAUCAGAUGAAAUAGGAUUAUAAUGGAAGAAUAAAAAUAAUAUUUUGGAACCAUUAUUGAACCAUAAAUACUUUGAACUGAAACAUUUCAAUCACUAUAUUCCCAUCCAUCACUUUUAUGUUUCUUCCUUAUGAAGUCUCAACACAUUACCAUUCUUUUCUAAAGUUCCUAAUUGGAUACAAAACUAAAAGUUUCUUGGAAACUUUAUUUUCCUGGUCCACUAUAAGCUUAUUUCUUUUAUUAGUUUAUUGGUCACUGUCAUUCCAUUUAAAUAAUAAACCCUUAGAUUCUUAUACUCUAAUGCUAUAAAGAUGAUCUAAAAGCAUAGUGCAUAUAUGAGGCAGACCUUAUUAAUUAUUAGGCAUGUGAUGUGUGUAUUCCCUAAAGGCAGAAACAUGAUGUAGUUCAAGUGCUUUGCAUGAUCUGCACUUCUCCUUCACAUGCAUGAAUGAAUGCCUGAAUUCUCGUUCAAAUGCUUAAGGAAUGAGCAACAUUUCCACUUUGCGAUCGUAUUAUUAAUCGUCAUCAUACGUAAUUAAGUGAUGUAUUCUUUCCUUUUUCUACAAAUAAUAAGUUAUAAAGGUAGAAUUCAAGUUCAGAAUCUUGCGAUCGAUCAUUAAAGUCUUUAACAGCCAAACUAACGAUCAUUUUGAUCCCUUUUUUUUCUUUAUUCCGAUAUAUACUGUGAUGAAUUAUCUUUGGAGACAAUCUUUCUGAGUUAAGAUACUGUCAAGAGGCAAUGGUUUUAGGUCCAAUUCAGCCACUCCUCCGUAUCAAAGAAGGAAGCUACUGAAGUGAAGCUGAAAUCGAUGUCCGGCUGAAAACAAUCACUCCCGAUCCAGUCUUCCAUGGACGGCAUAUCGAGCAAGAGAGUGCUGUUGGGAGACAUGCUAAAACAGACAGCCUCGUCUUCUUCUCCUGGUACUAGGGGAACGCCGUCAAGAGAAACAUCACUUUGAGGAGCUUUGGAGGGGCUGGUGGGUUCGGCCGUCGUCGAUUCAUGACGCUGGUGGUCGAUUGGAGCUGGCAGGAGUCCUUGGUCCUGGUGGAAGAACGUUUUGGUGCACCUCUGGGCCUUGGUUUGGACGACGGAUGCAUCUCCAGCUGCUCCCGUUCCCGCCGUCGUCGAAUCGGCCAGGGAGACAUUCAGGAUGGGCUUCGUUUGGGAUGCGUUGCCGUGGACUUUCUUCCCUAGGGUUGUGUUCCAGUAGUUCUUGAUUUCAUUGUCUGUUCGCCCUGGCAGCCUUCCUGCGAUUAGAGACCACCUGGGAAAGAGAAAACAUGGCAUUUCUGGAUGAUCCAAUGUCUAACCACGCUCUUCUUUCAAUGAUUCGCAUUUCACGACAAGGUUUUAGGAUGUUUGGAGGUUGAAGUAGCCGUAAGGAGGAGGAUACCUGUUUCCAAGGAGCUUGUGUAGUCUGAUGAUGAGCUCUUCUUCGUCAUCGGAUAUGUUGCCUCGCUUGAUACCGGGCCUCAGGUAGUUGAGCCACCGCAGCCGGCAGCUCUUUCCACAGCGCUUUAAGCCUGGCAAAUUUGCGUUCAUGAGAGAGAGAGAGAGAGAGAGAGAGAGAGAGAGAGAAGAGUGUGUUGUUGUGUGCACGUCGACAGGCUAUUAGUUGGAAGCAACACAUCAAUUCUAUCCCAGUCUAGCAUAGAAGUGCACCUGCUCGUUUGGGGAGGCUCCUCCAUUUACCGUCUCCAUGAACCUUGAUGUAGGACACAAGUACGUGGUCUUCCUGCGCAGUCCACGCUCCUGUCCUGAGCCCUUCCCUUACGCAGCAUGGCUUCCUUCCCAUCUCUCUCUCUCUCNNNNNNNNNNNNNNNNNNNNNNNNNNNNNNNNNNNNNNNNNNNNNNNNNNNNNNNNNNNNNNNNNNNNNNNNNNNNNNNNNNNNNNNNNNNNNNNNNNNNNNNNNNNNNNNNNNNNNNNNNNNNNNNNNNNNNNNNNNNNNNNNNNNNNNNNNNNNNNNNNNNNNNNNNNNNNNNNNNNNNNNNNNNNNNNNNNNNNNNNNNNNNNNNNNNNNNNNNNNNNNNNNNNNNNNNNNNNNNNNNNNNNNNNNNNNNNNNNNNNNNNNNNNNNNNNNNNNNNNNNNNNNNNNNNNNNNNNNNNNNNNNNNNNNNNNNNNNNNNNNNNNNNNNNNNNNNNNNNNNNNNNNNNNNNNNNNNNNNNNNNNNNNNNNNNNNNNNNNNNNNNNNNNNNNNNNNNNNNNNNNNNNNNNNNNNNNNNNNNNNNNNNNNNNNNNNNNNNNNNNNNNNNNNNNNNNNNNNNNNNNNNNNNNNNNNNNNNNNNNNNNNNNNNNNNNNNNNNNNNNNNNNNNNNNNNNNNNNNNNNNNNNNNNNNNNNNCGUGCCACAUGCAAGGAUUGGUGUUCAGCACUCCUACCCGUUGUCAUCCCGUCCCCGUGGAUCUUCUUAGUCGGCAAGAACAGCGAUACCUGCAACUUCUUGUCUUUCCCCACCAGACGCUCCUUCACCUACUCCCUUCUCCCUGAGCUCCACGGCGUGCGGUAUGUGGGCUCUCAAGCUGGUUGGCUAGCAGUCUACAAUGAAAACCUGGAUGUCAGCCUCAUAAAUCCUCUAACAGCGGCUCGAAUCUGCCUCCCCUCCUUCCUCACCCUACCCAAUUUUGAGCUCGUCGGCGGCAGCUGUGUCCUUCCUCAUCUCAACCGAAUCUCCCGUUUUUUUGUUUCGAAAGUUAUCUUCUCCGCAAAUCCAACUACCCAUAAUUACAUCGCGGUGAGUCUCUAUGGCACUCCCCAAAUUGAAAUCGCCUACGCAAAAGCAGGCGGAGACAAGUGGAAUCUUCUUCAGACGACAUCGACUCAGAAUCGUUCAUACGAGGAUAUCAUGUACCACAAUGGGAAAUUCUACUGCAUAACAGGUGAAGCCGAAGUCUUCGCUUUUGACCUCAGUGGAGUUUCUCCCACCGUGACGGUGGUCGCCGAGAGAACGUCACUCGGUUUGACAUAUUUCGACUAUCACAUUCCUUGCUUCGGUGUCAUACAAAUUUACGGCAAAUACUUGGCGUGCUCGAGCACCGGGGAGCUGUUCCUGAUUUUUAGGCGCGAAGUUCACUGUCAUGAAUCGCUGGGAUGGAAGGGUAUCAUGGUUUGGAGGUACAAUCCUCAGCGUCAGCCAUGUUGGGAAGCUGUGAAGAACUUGGGGAAUAAGUCCUUGUUGAUCGGUAUCAACAACGCUAUAUCGAUUUCUACCGAGAAUUUUCGAGGUGUACGACGAGAUUGCGUCUACUUUAUGGAGGCGCUGGUCAGAACCAUAGUCGAUGACCGGCCCGAAUUCAUUCUUAGAAUUGGAGUGUUUGAUGUGGAACGGGGAAUGUGGGCGCGGGCAAACUAUCAGUUAGAAUCACACUCGCAGCCACCCAUCUGGUUCACUCCCUCCAUGCUGUGAACCAAGAAACGAGUAGUUCUUGCUCUUAUUUGACUUACAACUCCUACUACUACAUAUAGAGAUGAUAGAUACAUUACAGGCCACAGUAACUAUAUCAACUUGUGCUUUGAUAUUGUGCACAAGAAAAUGUUUUGCUUGAUUUAUGAAGUUGCACAUCUGUUUUACAAGUUUGAUAUGACCAUAGAAGAUGAAAGCAAGUUUUCCUUCAAGAGGAAACAACAUAAAGAAACAUGUAGAUGCCUUUUGCUCUUAUAUGAAAUUUUGAUUUUGAGUGAUUUCUUUAUGGCCUUAUCAGUCAUCAUUAGUUGUGGGUAUCACUAGAAUUAGUGAUUGAUUUGAGAUCCUAUACCUGCAGGUACUAUUUGAUGAGGUUACUGUAAUGAAUUAAAUAUGAAAGAAUUACAUCAUCUAAUUGGAAAUAAAGAAAAAUAGUUACUUAAUACCACAUGUUGCUGAAGACAGAUCUUACUUUGAAAAAGAUAGUGACUUGUGAUGUGUGAAUGAUAUUAUGCAAUUUGGUGAAAAAAUAAAGGACCCAAAAUCUUGAGAACUGCAGGAGAAGAAUUUAUCGGAUGAAAAAUAUUAAUGAGAUAAAUCAAACGUGCAUAUCCAUUUCUUGUCGCACCUUAUAUUUUAUAAAUAUUAAAAAGAUAAUUAUCGAUACUUGUCUUACCGCCUUACUACACUGUCGCUCUAUUGUGAUCGUUUCCGUCAAUCGUCUCCACCCUGCUAUGACUGUCUCAUUGCGCUACAUUGUGGGCUCACCUUUGCCACCAAGAGGUCCCGUAGCGAGACCUUCGUUGUCGUCCUCGUCACCUUCGUAUUAUUAUGAGACCAAAGUCAUCUCUACAUAGCCACAACUAUUAUUUGUGAAGCCCCCCUCCACAAGGCCCUAGCCUUGCCCUCGUGAAGCCUCCAUCCCCAGCAUCUACAUCCCAUGUUAUUGUUCUUAUCAUCCAUUUGUUCUCUAAGGACAAAGGAUAGGGAGGAGGGGAUGGGGUGGUCAUUGACGUUGCAAAAGGUGACGAGGUAUGGUCGUCCGUGAUGCCCAUAGUCUCACCCUCGACUUUCCAUUGCACUCUUCGAAUGCAUCAUGCCUUAUCUCCUCUUAUACCGCCAACUCUCGUGCCCUCUAUCAUAGCUUUUUCCCUUCACCCAUUUUCAACAAAUAUCUAUUCUCUUUUUCUCUUGUGAUCUUCUCCCUAUGCACCAGCCUACCCUUGCCCACUUUCACCAUAGUACCAUGCUCACAUCCUUCAUCGUCAUCACCACAUCUAACUUCUACUAAAGAGCCCAACGAGGAACUAUUUGACCUAAGAUUUUGGUCCUCUCUAACAAGCCCUCGAGCAAGAAGCACUAGGGACCAUCAACAUCACGAUCGACAUCGAAGAAUAAUGCACUGGGGCCUCUUUGCCACCCAUAAGAACUACUAUCGACUCGCCUCCAAGCCAUUGGCCAACUCAUAUACUUGUGCUUCGAUGAGCGCUCCACAAGAGGUGGCAAAGGGAUUUUGUGGAGGGGCAUCGGGAAUGGAGGUGGUGACCAUGUGGAGGGUUGGAGGUGACAUUGCGAAGGUGACAAAGGUGACAACGAUAAUGACAAGGGCCUCACAAUAAUAGAGAUGACUCGUAACAUGACGAGAUAGUGGGGAGAGGCGAAGAUAACCACAGUAGGAUGACAAUCGAAAAGGCGAAGAUUAGGAGUAAUCUCAUCUUUUAAAAAAUAAGGGAUAUUUUAUGAAAUAAAAAAAAAGCAGAACACUCUAUAAAAAAAAAGUAAAAACUUAGGGUUUUUUUUUUUUUGAAGAAUUUAUCCUUCUUUUAAAAAAAAAAGAUUUUAUAAAUAAAAGCUAAAUGAGUAUAAUACAAUCAUCCUAGUUCCCAUCACACAGCAAACUAGAAAAUAUCAAGACAGGAAUUUAAUUUUUCCAUCCAAGAGCAAUGAUAUUAUCUGUAAGUUGCUUAGUUUUGUAAGAGUAUAUAAGCUAAACCUAAACACAGAGGGAUAAAUAUAAAUACUAAAACUAGAAGGUUUUAUACACGUAGACAACUCUGCCGGCAACUUAAUUCGCUGCAGCUCCACGUGGAAUACACCUCAAUUAAUAGAUACGAUCCCUUUUUUUUUAUGGCUUUCAGCUUUGAAAGGGCAAUUAUCCUUAGCAACUGUUUAGCAUUUUGUAUUUUGAAUUAAUAUAGCUUUUGCUUUAUGAACCCCCAAAAAAAAACAAAAUACCGUCACCAACAGCAAACAGUAAUCUCACACGUCUUAAAGCUUAAAAUCUCACCUUCAACACUUAUCUUUUGUCAAAUAAAAAAAGUCUCGUUUUCCUUCAGUAUUAUCUGCUACUCUACAUUAAACAUUAUAAUGGAACACUUACUACUUGUAAAACAAUAAUUCUCGUUAUCAUUAGCCAUUCCAUUUUACAUUAAAUUCAAAAUUUGCAGAUUAGCGAGGUCAACUAUAGAAAAUAUUGGAGACCUGAAUCAUCCCCUUUCCACUCAAACAAACAAAAAGAAACUUGGUAAUAUGCAAGGUUUUGUGUGUAAGCCAAUCUAAGCUGUAUAUGUUCAGACUUUUCCUCUUAGCAAGAUGUAACAUAUAUCAUCCUUCUGGCACAAGUCUGCUUCGAAGUUAAAUUGCAUCCGUUUAAGGUAGCAUCGUUUCUAUUUUUAUAAGAAACCGGACAUGAUCAUUCAAAGAUGUGCUGUGCAAGCCGCAAUAUUUGCCAAUGGCUUCAUGGUCUUACCUAUGUCUUGUAUCUAGAAUUGCAGAUACUGGAUAAGACAUACCUCAGGUGGCUUCAGUUCCCUCCGUCUUCAAUGUUGUUUGAUCCACAGCCUGGACAUGUGCACUUCUUCUGCAAGUCCUCCCCAAGAGAAGCAUAUACCUUCUCCAACUCAGAUGUCUGCUUUUUAUAGUUAGGGAAACAUUCUGAAAUAUGUAGCGGCCUCUCCCUCUUCCAAUGGUUGAGUUAUCAUCAGGUUGAUAGGCACUACUGCAUGUUGUAUAUAGAACAUGCUGCAUACGCUUGCUGUGCAUGUUAACAUAAUCAUAAAACCAAACCAAGAAGGAUAUUCAGCUAGUUCCUGCAGCUGCUUCGUUUCUUCCAUGAUGGCUGUCACAAGAAACCAUCUCCUUUCAACAUGGGCAAGCUGUUCACAAACCUGCAAGAAUACACGUAAGAUAAAUACUUCCAUUAUUUAUCAUGUAUUACAUGAUUCAGACACCUAACACAAAAUUUAAUGGCCUAGUUUAGUAAAUUAAAAUCCUAGCUUUGUUUAUAGAAGCUUCAAAUAUAAGUAGCAGACUCCCAGAAACUUACGAUAUCUUAUGUCAUAACAAGCAUCAUCAAUUUCAAAUGAAAUAUGAGCUAGAAAUGUAGAAAUCAUCUGCAAGUGGACAGACUCGAUAUGCAGAAGCAAUGACCAUAAAGCCACCAGAAACAUUUUAUAUAUCAUAAUGAUUGAACCACAUAUUCAGUUGUUAAAUCUGUUAUGUUUCUCAAAAAACAUUGGAGAGUUGACAAGAUAAUGAGAAAAUUUCCCUGGAUAUUUCUUGAACUAGGAAAAGCGUAAGAUGACAUAGGAAAAUACAGUCUAACAUCUCUUGCUCAUUAGAUGACACCAAUGGCAUUUGGACUAUGAGAAGAAAGUCAAUAAUAGUUAAUCUAGCAAAUUUAUUCAUUUAUAACACUUGCUAACCAUGAAGGUUAAGCAGAUAACUAACCAGUUUCAAAAGAGAACAUAAAAGUACUGAGGUAAAACCAUUAAUCAAGACCAGGUUGCAAAACGAUAUACUGGAUUGAUGAUGAUGUCGCAGGUUAUUCAAUCAUCUGAAUUAGUAAAAAAAUAUACUCUAGGUUGUCUAAUUAUAAAUCCUACAACAAAAACAUGUUAGAACCAUAAACGAAAGUUUUGUUGCUGCCUAUGAUGAGAUAAAUGAACCAAGCCCAAAUAUGUUAAACAGAAAAGCUAUCAUUCUCGUUAAUAGCAAGAAUGAAUGGAGGGAGAUUAGCAUCCUUGUUCCACAUUGAAACAUCAAAUUCUUUUGAAGCAACCAUGUGCAUGAUCUAAACAGAAAACAUGUAGUACCAGAGUCCAAUCUAUAUGUUAGAGUUGAAUGCCAGAUAUCUAGUACACUUGUGAGUAUCAAAAGGUCUUCUAGAAAGAUAUGGAAAGAAGAAAAGAAGAGGAUACACUCUACUUAUCUUUUCAUAUCAUGCCUGGUCUUUUUUAUACCAAUUAAAUGUCAAGUUAUAGAAGUAUUCAAAAAUGAAAUUUCUCAAUGUUCACCCAUUUUGAUAUAGCAAGUACUUUUAUUUGGUUCAAAUGUAUUUGGGCUCAUCUAUAACCAUAUAGUAUAUGUUUUAGUACAACUUGAACUUCAGUCACCACUGAAACAGACUCAUUGGUUUUGGAAACAUCUGAAACAGGAGAUGGGCUACGUUUUGGAUAUAACUGCUUUGUGAGGCUGUAUAAAUGACAUAAAGGAGGAUUUCGCUAAUCAUCAUCAUUAUAACAAAAAAAAUCAAAUACAAGUCUAAUAAUUAAUUAUUUUGUUUAAUAUUUAAGGUCUCAAACACAAAAUAUAGGUCCACUUGAAGCCCUUGGUCUUAUUUUAAUAUUAUUUAUUUACAUGGGCUAAUAUUGUGUUCGUUUUUGCCAAACACUAUAUGUGUUUUUUGCUGUUGGUCUAUAUUAUUUAAAAUCUGAUAAUUUAAAAUCAGCAAGCUGGACACCCAGUAGUUAACUAAAUUCUUGGUCUGUUGGUUGGAGCAAAGCAAGUUGAUCGGUUGCCCUCCUAAGUGGCCUUUUAAACUAGCAGAUGGGUUGCCGUUCAUAUAUAUUCAUUCUGCCUAGCUAAGGAGGCUGAGUGCCCACUCCAGGAACUGAUCACAUAAGAGCACGCUUUUUAUGAAAAAGAUAGUAAAGCUAGAAAAUCACCUAGGAUUAAUGAAAGUCUAAUAUGAUUAAAUUACGGUAUGUUUGCUUUAUAAAAGCCUUUUUACCUUGUUUAUAAUGCUCUAUUGUCUUUUUUGCUGAUUUACCAUUAUUUUCCAGCAAUGAAGAUAGGGGUUCCAUAAGUACUGAAAAUUACAAAAUUUCAACAAUCUAGAACUUCAAGGAAAAACAGACACAGAGUGACUAGCACAGAUUAGUAUAGCAUGCACAUUUUUAAUCUUCUCAUUCAUGGGAAUUAAUACAGAAAAAAAGAAAAAGAAACAAAAAACUGACCUUAUCACGAUUAUGUCUUUCUUUUUCGUACUCUGCUUCCAACUCAUGCAUCUGAGUGCUGAGGCAUGUAAUGUUAUCUUCAAGACCUUUUAGAAAGCCUUGCAUAUCAAGUAAUUUUGUGUUUUAGAGUCUGUUUUGCCUGUUUGAAUGUUUACAAAUAUAUAUACCAGAUUAAUAGUACUGGUAGUUCUGUUGUUUGAUCAUGAGUUUGAUCACAGAAAGUAUACUGGCGAACCCAGUUUAGUUGGCAAACCUUGGCAGCAGGUACUACCAAGCUUUAGAUAAAUAAAUAAUAAGCUAAAUAUUUCUGGUUAGUCAGUGCCCAAACAUCAAAGUAGACUCUACUGAUAAAUUUUCUGCAUUGGUACAAGACUUACAAGCUCUAAAUUUCAAUUUUAUAUGGACUUGAUAAUUAUGCUUUAUCAACAAAGUUGUUCCCAUAUAGAUGAGAUAAAAGCAGCUAUUUGUAUUUAUUCAUGUUCAUUUUAAGACAAUGGCAACAUAAUGUAACAUUGUGUUAUAUCCUUACUUUAAACAUGUGUUGGGAGCAUCACUCUGCAGGGUAACUACCCAGCCAAAUGCAUAGGUUGGCCCAAACAAAUGAUGAGGUAAUAAUGAAUUUUCAUUUAAGUCAAUUACAUUGCCAUUUUCAAUUUUUUUUCAGGCAACUAGACAAACAUAAGCUCUAUAAUAAACCUAUUUGUUCUGGAUAAGUUUACUUUAUUUGGCCUCAUUGCGAAUGCAUGCAUGGCUUAUUAUGCACCUUUGAUAAUUAUAUGUUCAGUGAAAAAACAAAAAUAGUUUAGUUUAGGAAUUUUCAAGAUGUUUUAAUAGUCAAAAUUAAUCAUAUGCAUCUGAAGGACUUCAGAAAUUGUAUCUUUCAUGAAACUUUAGUAAACAAAGAUCCAGAAGAAAAUUUAUAAGAAGAUCUGGAAGGAUUUUACCAGAUGAAGGGUUCAGAUCUAGUUAUAAGUUUACAGGUUGUUUUCCUUGUGAAGAAAGACCAGAAUAUAUCAGAUGAAUCAAAUCACAAAUGAAUUCUGAAUUCUGUAACUUUUCGGUAUUGAUCUUGAACACNNNNNNNNNNNNNNNNNNNNNNNNNNNNNNNNNNNNNNNNNNNNNNNNNNNNNNNNNNNNNNNNNNNNNNNNNNNNNNNNNNNNNNNNNNNNNNNNNNNNNNNNNNNNNNNNNNNNNNNNNNNNNNNNNNNNNNNNNNNNNNNNNNNNNNNNNNNNNNNNNNNNNNNNNNNNNNNNNNNNNNNNNNNNNNNNNNNNNNNNNNNNNNNNNNNNNNNNNNNNNNNNNNNNNNNNNNNNNNNNNNNNNNNNNNNNNNNNNNNNNNNNNNNNNNNNNNNNNNNNNNNNNNNNNNNNNNNNNNNNNNNNNNNNNNNNNNNNNNNNNNNNNNNNNNNNNNNNNNNNNNNNNNNNNNNNNNNNNNNNNNNNNNNNNNNNNNNNNNNNNNNNNNNNNNNNNNNNNNNNNNNNNNNNNNNNNNNNNNNNNNNNNNNNNNNNNNNNNNNNNNNNNNNNNNNNNNNNNNNNNNNNNNNNNNNNNNNNNNNNNNNNNNNNNNNNNNNNNNNNNNNNNNNNNNNNNNNNNNNNNNNNNNNNNNNNNNNNNNNNNNNNNNNNNNNNNNNNNNNNNNNNNNNNNNNNNNNNNNNNNNNNNNNNNNNNNNNNNNNNNNNNNNNNNNNNNNNNNNNNNNNNNNNNNNNNNNNNNNNNNNNNNNNNNNNNNNNNNNNNNNNNNNNNNNNNNNNNNNNNNNNNNNNNNNNNNNNNNNNNNNNNNNNNNNNNNNNNNNNNNNNNNNNNNNNNNNNNNNNNNNNNNNNNNNNNNNNNNNNNNNNNNNNNNNNNNNNNNNNNNNNNNNNNNNNNNNNNNNNNNNNNNNNNNNNNNNNNNNNNNNNNNNNNNNNNNNNNNNNNNNNNNNNNNNNNNNNNNNNNNNNNNNNNNNNNNNNNNNNNNNNNNNNNNNNNNNNNNNNNNNNNNNNNNNNNNNNNNNNNNNNNNNNNNNNNNNNNNNNNNNNNNNNNNNNNNNNNNNNNNNNNNNNNNNNNNNNNNNNNNNNNNNNNNNNNNNNNNNNNNNNNNNNNNNNNNNNNNNNNNNNNNNNNNNNNNNNNNNNNNNNNNNNNNNNNNNNNNNNNNNNNNNNNNNNNNNNNNNNNNNNNNNNNNNNNNNNNNNNNNNNNNNNNNNNNNNNNNNNNNNNNNNNNNNNACUGCUCCGUUGUGUCAUUGCUUCCUCCCCUCUGUACAGAACUUCCUUUUCCUCCUCCGUUUCUCUUCCAUGACUCCUCCACUUUCCCUCCUUCGCUCUCCAACUCCUCUUCCUUCCUCUUCCUCCUCCCCUCUUCUCUCUCUCUUUCUGUUUGGUCACUGGUGACCAAAAUGUCAGUGUACCAUAUGUUAGUAUGCUAGUACAGAUGGGACCCGUGCCAACCCAGCCAGUGAUUGGUAUAAGUCUCACACAGAAACUAGAAACUUUACCUUCUUCCCUUCUCCUUCUCUCUCUCAUUUUGUUUAGUCCGUGCUGACUGGUACACUAAUGUACUAUGUAUCAGUAUGCUAACAUAUACCUAACCCAACCAAUCCCACCUAACUACCAGUAGAGGUCUCGAACCAAGACUUAAAAUAUUGACCAAUAUAAUUGCAAAUGCAAAUAAUAAAAGUAAAAGAAAGCCCAUGUUUUAUAAAGGAAAUUUUAAUCUAGUUAACAGAAUGGAAUGUCUAUUAUGCAUUAUGACAUAACAUUCAACAGAAUACACACAAGUUGGCUUUGUCAUUGCUACAUUGUUGCUUAACUCCAUUAUCUGCAUUCAAUAAAAUAUACACAAGCUGGCUUUGUUAUUGCUACAUUGUUGCUUUACUCCAAGACUGAGAAAUUAUUGUCUUAUUUAAGCUUCCAGAUCAUAGGGCACAUAUCAUUGCAAAGCAUCAUUACAAUGUGGUUUUUGCACACCCUCAAUAACAAAUUGUAUUCUCUUGGAUUUAUCAAGAUAUUUGACACUACAGAAUAGGUUCCAAGUACUUGAACAUUGGUAAAUGGACCAGAGGAAUAAUAUAGGAAAGCUUACAGAAAAUUGAUUAGGUCCUUUGUAGGAUUACAUCCAAUAGGAAAAACAAAUCUGAAGGAUACCGACAAUAUAUAGAAGAACUUUGGACUUUGGACUUUGGACUUUGGUGUUGCAUAAACUGGAUUAAUUCAACUAUAUUAACACUUAUUUUGUAAAUCAGGCUUGAGAGUUUGUGCUCAUCUUCCUUUUUGUCGUAUCUGUAUGUACUGAAAUAAACUAUACUUGAGAUAAAAAGGCACAAGGGAACUCUAUCAUAGUAGGAAUUUUUCGGAACAGAUACCUGAAGUUACAAUCAGCAUUAUUUUAUUCUUAGAAUCAGCAUUUUGUAAAAUAGCAAGAGCAUCAAGAAAGAAGAGGGAAUCUAUCUCCAGAAUAAAAAAUUGUCAGAAACACCAUUCAUUAAUAUAGCAUCGAGUUCUGAAAAAUCAUCCAGUGGUUAUCCAGAUCUAAUUCCAAUAGUCCCAAGAACUAACUCCAAAGAAACAGAGUGCUGAUUGUAGCUGCCAGACCUUGGUGGGCUUAACUGACUAAAGCUAACCCACAGCAGUUCAUCAAUCCUAAGUGCAAAAUGGUCCAGAGUGGUCCGUGCUGCAGCCAGCAGUGCUGAUUUUGACCAAUCAGAACCAUUUCUAGUACAUAUUGGCUGUUCUCAUCAGCAUAGCAUAUGAGAACAAUUUCCCAUUUGAAGUUUUCUUAAUUUUUUCUUUUCUUAAUUUAGUAAAUUUUCAGUAAGACAAACACAAGGAUCAAUGGUGAGAAAAUAUUCAUGUAGCUGACUCCAAAUGGUUGGAAAUACAGUUUGUUCUACAAGUGGUUGCUGUCCAGUAAGACAGAUAUAUUCAUCUACAUUUAAGACUUGUGAUAACUUUGUAGUCAUGUUUACUGACGUUUUCAAAAUAUAUGGCAUUUUACUAGUUCGACUACUGACCUAUCUUCCCUUGGAUGAAAUUGUGUGCUAAACAUUUUGACUUUAUAGUUCUUUUUAAUAUUUGACAUUGCAAGUAAUGAAUCAAAUAUAGAAUCUGUGCAAAGCUCUAUUGACACAGGAUCCAAAUAAAAGUAAGGGGCAAGAAUGGACCAAGCACAUUAAAGAUGUAUAGCUAGUCAACUUCACACGAAUGUUUGGGAAGCUACACCUUCUACAGAAGUAAAAUAAUAUGCCAACAAUGUGAUAAAUCAUACAGCUGUUUUAUGUAGCUGAAAUUUUAACCGAUGUGGCCAAGAUGAAAAGGCAUGAGCAAAGGUCAAAAUGUAAAAAUGCCUGGAAUAGUGCAAAACUUAGCUAAGGAGUUUGGAACAAAAAGAUCAUAUACAAGUAAACAAAUAAGAAAACUAAACAAAUGAAAGUAAAAGCACGUUGGAAUAGACCUUAUUUUCUUGUUCAGCUCGCACAUACUGUUAACAAAUUCGUCUCUGCAUCCACAUAAAGAUCGUGAUUGAGUUUAUACAGUUUUUAGUAUAUCGCACAAGAACAAAAAACUAGUAUUACCGCAUGAAACGCACUUCACUCUGUUCACCGAUGCCAGGUGGAUUAAGAAGAUCAAAUAACAAGGUCAAAGUUCGAAAACAAAGAAUGACAAUAACGAAAGAAAAUCUAACAACAUUUGAGAGCACGAGAGCGAUUCUCACCUUGAGUGUAUCCAGAUCAGAACGGAGCUUCAAUAUCUCCUCCUGCAGCAGAGAAAUCCUCGCCUACGCACGAUAGUUACUAUUAGAAAAGGAUUUACAAGAUCAAUCGGCAACUAGAAAGGACGCGUAAUCAGAACCUCUUGCGCAUGGAUUGAUGCACCAAUCAUAGAAAGCUGAACCUGCGAUCCCCUCAGCUCCUGCUCGACCAUCUCCCUGGACCGCUUGGCCCCAUCGAGGUCGGCAUUUGCAACAUUGAGAUCGUUCUGAAGUUCGAGGAGCCGCUUCUUACGAUCGGACACCCUAAGCUCUGUGUCGAAGACAUGCGGAUUGAGCGGGGCGCAUCGGAGCUAGAGUGGAGGCACGAGAAGCAUGGAGCGGCCAUAGUGUACCUUCUUGGGAUUUCUCCGAGGCGAAAUUGCGGAUCAGCGAGAGGAGAUGUUUCUGGGAUUCGCCGGACGCCAUGGCGAGAAGGCGCCCCGAGGGCUCGGAGAUGGCAGCCUAGCUUUUUGGGGAACAGCACUCGUCUCCCCCUCUUUGGUUCGAGCUUCAGCACGUGAAGAGAACGAAGGAGAACAUAAGCGCGCAUCGGCUCAAACUCGAGCUCGUUUUUGACUCGGAUCGAACUCAAACACGAAUUGAAUUGAUCGUUUUGACUCAAUAAGAGUUAUUAAAAAUAUUAUAUAGUAAAAAUUUUGGAUGAUAAUUUGAUUAUUAUUAUUUGUUAAUUUCAGAAUAAUCUGGUCCGUCAAUCCAGCUAUAACAAAUCAUUGAUUGACAUCUCAACUCAAAUAUCGGAGAAAAUAAAGUAUCAAUUAGGCAUGUCAUAUUGGGUAUAAAAAAAUAUUCUUUAUUAAGUUUGUUUACAAAUCAAAUAUAUACAAUAAUUUUUUUAGUUAUAUUAUCAUUUAAAACUCACUAAACUUAUUUAAAUACUCAGACUUCUUAAAAAUAUUUAUCAUAAAUUAAAACUAACUUAAUUAUCAAAGGAAUCUUAUUGUAGAUUUUUUUUUACCCUUAAAUCGAAAUAGGAUAUUAGAUACAUAUAUUUUAUUAUGCUUCGAAAUGAAGGCAUGCCAACUACGAUAUUCAUUUAGGAGUCUCAACCAGUGAUACUUGCGUUUGAACAUAGCUAAGUGGUGCUUUGAUUACUUGUUUUUAUCUUAACAAAUAGAUUAGGGGCAAUAGGGAUGCUUUGGCUCUAGUCGAUCAUGUUAAAUACUUUGACUAUUUUAUAUCGUAGUUACACUCUACACAUCAUAGGCAAAAGGGACACAACGAUUAUAUUAGGUGCUCAUAUGCUCAUUUGUCUUGAGUGAAUACAUCAUAAUAAAAAAGGAUAUGUUAGUUUAUUGAAUAUUUAAGAUAUUUUUUAUUCACAAUAGACACUUAUAUUACGUGCAUUUUAAAUAAUUUUAUUUUUCUAAUAGAAGUAUCACAAAGGAGAUGCAUUGGCCAUAAUCAGAUUUUGUUUUUGUUUUUGUCAAUGACAAAUACAUGAAAAUGAGAUGGUUCAAUCCUGUCAUGCACUUCAAAUUAUUUCUUUAUCAUACACAGAUGUAUCACAAGUGCACCUGCUCGUUUGGGGAGGCUCCUCCAUUUACCUUUUCCUUGAACCUUGAUGUAGGACACAAGUAUGUGGUCUUCCUGCGCAGUCCACGCUCCUGUCCUGAGCCCUUCCCUUGCACAGCAUGGCUUCCUUCCCAUCUCUCUUUCUCUCUCUCUCGUUUGAAAGAAGCUUGAUUAGUUGUUGGCGACAUCUAUAGGUCCUCAACUGUACGAGACAAUUUCUCUGAUCACCGUAUGAUAUUAAUUGUGAGGAGCCAUCGCUGACAUUACAGCACCCCUAUCGAGUCGACGUCGAGAAAAAUUCUUACUGUCUGAUAUCACACAACUGCCAAAUUUCUCCUCGUAUGUGGCAGUCCCCCCUUUCCAGAUCCUAGGCGGAUCUGCCCCCCCACUUGUCACCCACAGUCGGUCGUUCGACGACAGCUUCCCUGCUUCCAGUCUCAACCACGGCUACCGCACCAAGUUCCAAGCCUACGGUGCCACGCCAAGCAUUUGUUGGGCCCAGUCAACGCAUUUGGUGACUUUGCAUCGCGGGAGCAUGCACUCUUGGUUCCUCCUUAUUGCAGAAUUUUUUUUUUUAUUCUUCCUCCCUCCUUACCGUAGAAAAGUACCAACACUUCUUUCUUUUUAUUUUUCUUCCUCUUUAUUGUAGAACUCGUUGAUUCUUCCUGCAUUCUUACUGCAAAAGUACUAACACUUCUUCCUUUUUAUUUUUCUUUUGAUCCUUGUCAUUGCUACUUACUUCAACUUGCUCCCACAUAGUAGUCCAUAUCUUCCAUUUGUCUUAAUCAUCCACCUCUGUUGCUCCACUUACUAUUCCAACAGGGAAUUAUAGUACUUUCCCACAUACAAAUCUUAUCUCCAUAAAUGCAGCAUCCCUCAUCCCUUUCAAAUUAUCCAAAGGUGACAACUACGCAUCCUGGCGUGCUCAAUUUUCUAAUAUUCUAUUUGGUUAUGACCUUCUAGGCUAUAUCGAUGGCUCUCUUCCUUGUCCACCAGCGAUGAUCAAAAUCCCAGGAGCAUCCAGUCCAGUAUCAAAUCCGGACCACAAACUAUGGUUACGCCAGGAUCGUCUCAUUCUUCAAGCAAUUCAAGCUUCAGUCAUUGGAUCCCUCGCCCCACUCAUAUCUUCGUGUGACACUACUGUCGAAGCCUGGUGCAAGUGAUGAGGAUAUAAACAGGAAUAACCUUUGUAUAUGAACAAAUACUAGAAGACCAUAAUACGCAACGGAAUUAAAUGGAACCACAAUAAAAUAGAACACCAAGAUAUACAUGGAAAACCCCUUCAAUGUGAAGGGUAAAAACCACGGGGCAAACUAGAGACAAUCCACUAUAAGAAUAAUGAAUAUACAAAUCACAAUCUCUUGCCCUAAACCCUAGCAACAAUCACAAGAGAAUAACUGAGAUACAAGGAUCACGUCACUGCCCACAAUAUCUAAAACCUCCCCAAGUAAUCACAGCAAGAGUCUACUGUAGAUUUGAUCUAACCUGAGAGAACACUGCUAGAUGAUUGAGAACAGUCUCUCUGCGUUGUCCUUGUCUUCUUCUCUUUCUUUCUCUUCUUUUUCUGCCUUGUUUUCCUCCUUUUCUUUGGAAUCUCGUAGCUGUUUUCUUCUCCCACGUUGCUGCCCUAUUUAUGCCUUUUUCUGCCUCCAAAACAUAGCCACCACACCCUCCUAAUGUUAAUUAGGGUUAGGUUAAGAGGGAGUAUGGGUUGUGGGCUGCCCAAGCCCACUAUGGACUGAAUUUGUGGGCUGCCAACCCAACAACCUUCCCCUUCAGCCCAUUAGGGAGGCUGUCCCAUGACUUCUCAAUGUGAAGCCAUGUCGACCAGUUGUCGGCAUAUCUCCUGCCUUUCUUUUGGUAAGGUCUUCAUUCCAUUUGGUAGCAGUACCAAAUCAUUAGUGUGGUUCUUCUGAAGAGCAUCCAUCUCUUCCUGCAUAACAACUAACCACUUCUCUUUCUGCUCACAUUCAACUGCUUCCUGGUAACUCUCUAGUUCACCUGCAUCAGUAAGCAUCACAUACUCAUAUGUAGAGUAUCUUCUGGAAGGUUGACGUUGUCUAGAAGAUCUUCUCAACUGAGGUUUUGUUGGAAGUUGCUCUCCAACUUCUUCUUGCUCAACAUGUCCUGCAGGUAAAUCAACAUCAAGCUCUACACUAUCUUCCUGCACAUCUCCCCCAUCACCUUGAUAUACUGGAAGAAUAACUGGGUCACAAUCUGCUAAUCCUUCUGCAGAAGUAUUGACUGGUGCCUUCUUCUUCAAAUCUUCAAAGGUUUGAUCCUCAAAGAAGACUACAUCUAUGCUUCUAAACACCUUCUGCUUUUUUGGAUCCCAAAGCCUGUAACCAAAAUGAUCAUAUGGGUAGCCAAGAAAAAUACAUUCUUUAGUCUUACCAUCCAGCUUGGGCUUCUCAUUGUCUGGAAUAUAUGCAAAUGCGCGACAACCAAACACUCUUAAAUGCUUGUAGGAAACAUCUUUUCCUGACCAUAUAUGCUUUGCAACAUCACCAUCUAGGGCUAUACAUAGUGAUAAGUUGAUCACAUCAACUGCAAUCCUUAAAGCCUCAUCCCAAAACCUUUUGGGUAGCUUAGCUUGUGAAAGCAUACAUAUGAUCUUUUCCAUGAUGGUGUGGUUCAUCCUCUCUGCAAUUGCAUUAUACUGAGGUGUACCAGGAACUAUCAUCUCAUGUUGGAUCACAUGUGACCUGCAAUAGUCAUUAAACAAACCUGUAUACUCACCACCAUUAUAUGAUAUUAUGCAUUUCAAUUUCCUUUCUGUCUCCCUUUCAACCCUAGCAUGAAACUCUUUGAAGACAUUAAUCACCUGAUCUUUAGUCUUCAAAGCAUAGGCUCAAACUUUCCUGGAAAAAAUCAUCUAUAAAAGUGACAAAAUAAAGUACACCACUUAUACCAAGAACAUCAACAGAUCCACCAUGAGUUAUUGUCCUCAAAGGAUCACAUAUAUCUGUAUAAACACGGUCUAAGGCAUGCAUUUUUCUAGACAAAGUAGAACUAGCAAAUGAAACUCUAUGUUGUUUACCUGCUAAACAAUCAAUACAAGGGUUCAGAUGUAUACCUUUGAGGUUUGGUAAUACCUCUCUCUUUGAAAGAGCUUGCAGCCCUUUCUCGCUCAUGUGUCCCAAUCGCCUAUGCCACAACUCUAUGCUGAAGUCUUUUUUUAUAGCAUUUAACUGCUCAUCAUAAGCUUUAGCCUGCAACCUGUACAAAGUAUGACAUUUCUUUCAAUUAGCUAUAACAAGAGAACCCUUACUGAGCUUCCAUUGCCCUUUGUGAAAUCUGCUAUCAUAGUCUUCAUCAUCUAGCAUUCCAACUGAAAUUAGAUUCAGCCUCAAGUCAACCACAUGCCUCACAUCCUUAAGCACCAACUUGCAGCCUAGGUUGGUCUUUAAAUGGAUAUCAACCAUGCCUAUGAUGUCUGCUGUGACAUAGUUACCCAUCUUGACAACACAAAAAUUUCCAAACGUGUAUGUAGCAAAAAACUCCCUCUGUGGUGUAGCAUGAUAAGAAGCACCUGUGUCAAUCAUCCACUCAAGAUCCUAACACACACAAAAAAAAAUAUCAUCAGAAUGAGACAAAAUCAAAUAAUCACCACCCUGCAUUGUAGCUAUGAUAUUAUCUUUUGACUCUAUAGACUCUACUUCUUUUCCCUUUUUCUUGCUCUUCUUAGGUUGUUUACAUUGGUUCUUGUAAUGUCAUUUCUCACCAUAAUUAUAGCAAACAAUAUCUUUUCUUGAUCUUGACUUGCUUCUACCUAUGCGUGAACUGCUUCUAGACUUUGACCUUCCUCUGUUCUCUGAGAUAAGUGCAUGUGAAUCAUUCUGAGAUGUUGCCAAACUCUUUCUUCUCAACUCCUUAUUCAACAAAUUGCUUGUUACUUGACUCAUAGUGACAACACCAUCUAGCGCAGAAUUACUAAGGGAAACCACCAGUGUCUCCCAACUUUCUGGUAAUGAACUGAGAAGUAACAAUGCUUGCAACUCAUCAUCAAGAGACAAUUUCAUAGAGGAUAACUAGUUAUUAAUACUUUACAUUUCAUUCAAAUGUUCAGCAAUAGAAGCACCUUCUCUAUAUUUUAGGUUUAUAAGUUUUCUGAUCAAAAAGGCUUUGUUGUCAGCUGUUUUUCUUUCAUAGAAACUUUCCAACUUUUUUCAAAGAGAAUAUGCAGAAAUUUCAGUAGAAACAUGGUGAAAGACACUAUCAUCAAGCCACUGUCGAAUAAACCCAAUUAUUUUUCGAUCUAACCUCUUCCACUCAUCAUCUGUCAUAGUUAUGGGUUUUGCACUAUCCCCCUAUAAAGGUCCAUACAAAUCUUUACAAUACAAGAGAUCUUCCAUUCUUGGUUUCCAUAUCAUCCAAUUGUUUCCAUUUAAACUAAUCAUGCGAGAAACAUUACUGGCCUCCAUGUUCAAAUACAAAAUUGAAAUCAUCAAAACCUCAGUGCUCUGAUACCAGUUGAUGGGGAUAUAAACAGGAAUAACCUUUGUAUAUGAACAAAUACUAGAAGACCAUAAUACGCAACGAAAUUAAAUGGAAUCAUAAUCAAAUAGAACAUCAAGAUAUACGUGGAAAACCCCUUCAAUGUGAAGGGUAAAAACCACGAGGCAAACUAGAGAUAAUCCACUAUGAGAAUAAUGAAUAUACAAAUCUCAAUCUCUUACCCUAAACCCUAGCAACAAUCACAAGAGAAUAACUGGGAUACAAGGAUCACGUCACUGCCCACAAUAUCUAAAACCUCCCCAGGUAAUCACAACAAGAGUCUACUGUAGAUUUGAUCUAACUUGAGAGGAGAACACUACUAGAUGAUUGAGAACAGUCUCUCUACAUUGUUCUUGUCUUCUUCCCUUUCUUUCUCUUCCUUUUCUGCCUUGUUUUCCUCCUUUUUUUUGGAAUCUUGUGGCUAUUUUCUUCUCCCACGUUGCUGCCCUAUUUAUGCCUUUUUCUGCCUCCAAAACGUAGCCACCACACCCCUCUAAUGUUAAUUAGGAUUAGGUUAAGAGGGGGUGUGGGCUGUGGGCUGCCCAAGCCCACUAUGGGCUGAAUUUGUGGGCUGCCAACCCAACAACAAGUUGCAAACCACCCUGGCAAAUCAUUCACGAACUCGCAUGCUUAGUCUCCUAUUCGGACUUAUGAAAACAAAACAAGAGGGAAGUACUGUUACUGAAUAUAUGCACAACAUAAAGAUUAUUAUUGAUAAAUUGGCCUUGAUUGUCCAUAUCCUCAAUGUCCUAGGAGACGAGUACAAGGAACUGGCAGCAGCAAUAUGGGCACGUGAUUCACUAGUAUCGUUCGAAGAACUCUACGAUAAGCUGACUGAUUUUGAGAUAUAUCUCAAGCGUGAGGAUAAAUUGUUAGGACCAUCUAUCAUGGCUCAAGUCAAUCAAAAAUCCACGAGGAUGGGCUAUCAGUAUAACAAGACUAUUAACAAAGGUUCGACUAAGAUGCUUUCUGAACCUUUGAGCUCCAACCAAACCCCUCCUCCACAUCAUCAACAUUUCAAUCACGAUAACCAAGGUGGCUACUUCAAUCAUCAGCAGUCCUGGCGCCCUGAACACACAAAUCAAUGAAGAGUUGUUUACAAAUUAUGUGAUAAAGUCGGUCACUCUGCAAAGGUCUGUCGAUCUCGACCCCGACUUCCUGUACAAUCACAUUGGCCUCAACCAAAUCUUACAACUACUCCAAACACUACUGAUCAUAAUUGAAUCGUGGACUCUGACGCAUCCCACCACAUUACCUCUAAUCUACAGAACUUGUCGAUCCACAAUAAUUAUAGUGGACAUGACGACAUCAUCAUCGGUGACGGUAAAGGACUUCUUAUUACUCAUACUGGUUCCACAAUGCUUAAUUCACCUACCACAACUUUUACACUCGAUGAUGUUUUGUGUGCACCUCACAUUAAACACAAUCUUAUUUCUGUUUCUCAAUUUUGCAAACAAAAUGAUACCUCUAUUGAAUUCUUUCCUAACUCUUUUCUUGUCAAGGAUUUAAACACAGAGGUAUCUUGGUCUAAGGUCAUAGUAAGGAUAAUGUUUAUGAAUGGUCGUUCAUUCCACAACUCAAACAGCCCACUGUUUACUCCUCAAUGGCAGCUCCAAUUGAUGUGUAGCAUCGUCGUCUCAGUCAUCCCUCUCUCUCUAUCCAAAAUAAAUUACUUUCUCGUUAUUCUCUUUCUACUCCUACAAAUAAUAGCUUUUAUUGUGAUGCUUGUCUCAGUAAUAAAAAUCAUAGACUCCCUUUUGGUUCUUCUUCCAUAUCAUGUUCUACACCAUUUAAAAUUAUUUAUACUGAUGUUUGAGGUCCUGCUCCUGUCACUUCCUUUGACAAGUUUAGAUUUUAUGUCAUUUUUGUAGACUAUUUUACUAAGUACAUAUUGAUUUAUCCUCUCCGUCAUAAGUCAGAAGUUUCAACAAUUUUUACCAACUUUAAAAAGUUGGUCGAAAACUUCUUUCAAUCUACAAUUAAAAUAGGCUACUUUGAUGGUGGGGGUGAAUAUCAAGCUCUCACAUCCUACCUCUCAACCUGUGGUAUCCAACACCUUAAUCAUCCCCACACACUCCUCAACUAGUUGGUUCUACUGAACGCAAACAUCGACAUAUUGUAGAAACUGGUCUCACGCUUCUACAUCAAGCCUCCAUACCAGCAACCUUUUGGUCUGUAGCCUUCCAAACUGUCAUCUACCUUAUUAAUCAUCUGCCCACUCCAGUUCUCUAAUACCAGUCUCCAUUUGAAAAACUAUUUUCUAAAUCCCCAAACCUUCAAAAACUUCGAAUAUUUGGUCGUUUAUGUUAUCUGUGGCUAUGUCCCUAUGCCCCACAUAAGAUAGCACCAUGAUCUACACCUUGCACCUUCAUAGGAUAUUCUCUUGAACAUAAUGCCUUUCGAUACUACGAACCAAAAACUCAAAAAGUCUUUAUUUCACGUCAUGUUGUUUUUGUGGAGUCUGUCUUUCCAUUUCAAAACCACGAGUCUCCUACAAUGUCGACCACUAUAACAAAGAUACAUCAUUGGAGUAUACCAUCCAGUCUCCCGGUUCAACAGCUUCCCACUCCCUCCAUUCCUUCUCAUCUUCCUUCUUCACAAGCCUCCCCUACUACUGAUAUAAUAUCCUCAGAAUCACAACAACCUUCUUUACCUAGUACCACUGAUGUAUCUCAGCCUAUCUCGACCCCUAUCGAUGCCUCUCCACCACCCAUACUAAUACCACAACUUUCAGUUCCUAGACAUCCAAUGACAACACGCUCAAAAGUGGUAUUUUUAAACCACGUCAGGUUCUCGAUCUGCAUGCUAUCACCAAAUCCUCUCCCGAGACCAGUGAACCCACCACAAUUACUCAAGCCUAAAAAUCUCCUCACUAGCGUAAAGCCAUGUGUGAAGAAUAUGAUGCUCUUCUCUAUAACUCCACAUGGACUCUAAUACCUUUUCAUCAUACACAAAACAUCAUCGGGUGUAAAUGGGUCUUCCGAAUUAAGCGGAACCUCGACGGGUCCGUUGCUAGAUAUAAAGCACGAUUAGUAGCCAAAGGGUUUCAUUAACGACCUAGAGUUGACUUCACAGAGACUUUUAUUCCUGUAGUUAAACCCACAACAAUUCGGCUUAUUAUAAGUUUGGUCAUCUCCAAAGGCGUCAACUUAUGACAACUGGACGUUAACAAUGCUUUUUUACAAGGGACUUUAACUGAAGAUGUCUUUAUGCAGCAACCCCUUAGCUUUGUUCAUCACCAGUAUCCGAGACAUGUCUGCAAAUUAUAAAAAGCCAUUUAUGGACUCCGUCAAGCUCCACGAGCUUGGUAUACUGAACUUGGAUCGUUUAUGAUAUCAAUUGGCUUCAUCAACUCCAAGUCUGAUACCUCUUUAUUCCUACGACAACAACAUGGAAAUACAAUAUAUCUUCUAGUAUAUGUAGAUUAUAUUAUUGUUACAGGCAAUGAUCCCUUGGAGAUUCAGACAUUUUUUAAGCAAUUGGCUGAUCGAUUCUCCCUUAAAAAUUUAGGACCCUUGAGCUACUUUCUGGGAAUGGAAGCAACAUUUACAUCGUCAGGUCUCCUCCUCUCACAGAGAAAGUAUAUUCAAGACUUAUUAUUAAAGACAAAUAUGUAGGAUGCGAAAGAAGUUGCUACUCCUCUCUCUACUAGUGAAUCACUCAAAUUAUGUGAUGGUAGUCCUACCACGGACUCAACUCAAUACCGACAAGUACUUGGUUCCUUACAGUACUUGGCUCUCACCCGUCCAGAUAUCUCAUUUUCAAUAAUAAAUUAUCUCAAUACAUGCACCAGCCUUCUGCUAUGCAUUGGUCUGCGGUUAAACGAAUUUUGCGAUAUUUUAAAGGGACCCUUAAUCAUGGUCUCUUUCUCUGCAAAACCACUCAACUUCAUCUUCGUGCCUUUGCUGAUGUUGAUAUGGCGGGUAACUUUGAUGUGAGAACCUCCACAUCAGGGUAUGUGGUCUUUCUUGGGUCUAAUCUAAUCAGUUGGAGUUCUAAGAAACAAAAGACAGUGGCCCGAUCUACAAUUGAAGCUGAAUAUCGUGCUAUUGCUACUGCUGUUGUUGAACUCAAUUGGGUCAUAAAUCUCCUCAAAAAACUCAAAGUCAGCUCUACCCAUACUCCUACAAUAUAUUAUGACAAUGUUGAAGCUACCUACUUAUGUAUCAAUUUAGUGUUCCACUCACGCAUGAAACACAUUGCCAUCGACUUUCACUUCGUGCGAGAUCAAGUUGUCAGACAUCAACUUCGUGUCUCUCAUGUUGCAUCGAUCCAUAACAGAGAGAUUUUAUCUGAUAACAAAGAGAUUUUAUCUGAUAACAGAGAGAUUUCCUGAACUGCACAGUAGAUGAGAUUUUCUCAACUGUAUUAGGUAAUCUUUCUGCUCAGUUAAAGAAAUCUUAUUUUUCAUUAUGUAAAAAUAGACUUCAUAUUAUACUAAUUGAAGUACUAACGUUAGAUGGCAAGGUAGCCGGGGAUUAGAGGUCGAAGGAGCGGUGCCUAUAAAGCCUUUUCCGAAACGUGGAUGGGUAACAAAUUAAUGACUUUAUGAUUUGUACCGGAAUAUGUCUUUUACUGUAAAGAUAUUUUUAUAGCAUAAAUAAUUCAAAGCUACUCUGCGAUAUUAUAUAGUAUGAUAAAUAUAUAUAUAUAUAUUACAUUAAAUAAUUUAUCUCAAGCCUAAAUUACCCACACAAAGUGGCAUCCUUCGCUUAAAACAAAGUCCGAAAUGUUAUCAGUCGUCUCCUAUUCGGAAUGCUUGUCCUACUCGGAAUCGUUUUCCCAGUUGUGUCCGUCAUCGGAACCGUCUCUAUAUAACUCAUCAACGUUGGUCCUCCGCCACCUUCAACAACUCCUCUGUCAUUGCGAUCGACAUCUCUGUCCUUGCUUCGGUUCCUCGUAGCCACCAAAGGCAGCAGAUGAAGAUAAGAACACUAGGAGCAGAGGCGGAGACCACCAUGGACAGCCCUGACUGGACAUCGCUCCCGCUGGAUGUCCUCACGAAGAUUGGCGAAAAGCUUCCCGUCCCUUACCGUGCCUGCUUUCGUGCCACAUGCAAGGAUUGGUGUUCCGCACUCCUUCCCGUUGUCAUCCCGUCCCCGUGGCUCCUCUUAGUCGGCAAGAACAGCGAUACCUGCAACUUCUUGUCUCUCCCCACCAGACGCUCCUUCACCUACUCCCUUCUCCCUGAGCUCCACGGCGUGCAGUAUGUGGGCNNNNNNNNNNNNNNNNNNNNAAAUACACACAAGUUGGCUUUGUCAUUGCUACAUUGUUGCUUAACUCCAUUAUCUGCAUUCAAUAAAAUAUACACAAGCUGGCUUUGUUAUUGCUACAUUGUUGCUUUACUCCAAGACUGAAAUUAUUGUCCUAUUUAAGCUUCCAGAUCACAGGACACAUAUCAUUGCAAAGCAUCAUCACAAUGUGGUUUUUGCACACCCUCAAUAACAAAUUGUACUCUCUUGGAUUUAUCAAGAUAUUUGACACUACAGAAUAGGUUCCAAGUACUUGAACAUUGGUAAAUGGACCAGAGGAAUAAUAUAGGAAAGCUUACAGAAAAUUGAUUAGGUCCUUUGUAGGAUUACAUCCAAUAGGAAAAACAAAUCUGAAGGAUACCGACAAUAUAUAGAAGAACUUUGGACUUUGGACUUUGGUGUUGCAUAAACUGGAUUAAUUCAACUAUAUUAACACUUAUUUUGUAAAUCAGGCUUGAAAGUUCGUGCUCAUCUUCCUUUUUGUCAUAUCUGUAUGUACUGGAAUAAACUAUACUUGAGAUAAAAAGGCACAAGUACUGAAAUAAAAUAUUGCAGAAAAAGAAGAUGGUCUGUGAAUAAACUAUAGUUGAGAUAAAAAGGCACAAGGGAACUCUAUCAUAGUAGGAAUUUUUCGGAACAGAUACCUGAAGUUACAAUCAGCAUAAUUUUAUACUUAGAAUCAGAAUUUUGUAAAAUAGCAAGUGCAUCAAGAAAGAAGAGGGAAUCUAUCUCCAGAAUAAAAAAUUGUCAGAAACACCAUUCAUUAAUAUAGCAUCAAGUUCUGAAAAAUCAUCCAGUGGUUAUCCAGAUCUAAUUCCAAUAGCCCCAAGAACUAACUCCAAAGAAACAGAGUGCUGAUUGUAGCUGCCAGACCUUGGUGGGCUUAACUGACUAAAGCUAACCCACAGCAGUUCAUCAAUCCUAAGUGCAAAAUGGUCCAGAGUGGUCUAUGCUGCAGCCAGCAGUGCUGAUUUUGACCAAUCAGAACCAUUUCUAGUACAUAUUGGCUGUUCUCAUCAGCAUAGCAUAUGAGAACAAAUUCCCAUUUGAAUUUUUCUUAAUUUUUGCUUUUCUUAAUUUACUAAAUUUUCGGUAAGACAAACACAAGGAUCAAUGGUGAGAAAAUAUUCAUGUAGCUGACUCCAAAUGGUUGGAAUAAUACAGUUUGUUCUACGAGUGGUUGCUAUCCAGUAAGACGGAUAUAUUCAUCUACAUUUAAGACUUGUGAUAACUUUGUAGCCAUGUUUAUUGAUGUUUUCAAAAUAUAUGGCAUUGUACUAGUUCGACUACUGACCUAUCUUCCCUUGGAUGAAAUUGUGUCCUAAACAUUUUGACUUUAUGGUUCUUUUUAAGAUUUGACAAUGCAAAUUCACACAACAUUUGGGAAACUACAUCUUCUACAGAAGUAAAAGAAUAUACCAACAAUGUGAUAAAUCAUACAGCUGUUUUAUGUAGCUGAAAAUUUAACUGAUGUGGCCAAGAUGAAAAGGCAUGAGCAAAGGUCAAAAUGUAAAAAUGCCUGUGAUAGUGCAAAACUUAGCUAAGGAGUUUGGAACAAAAAGAUCAUAUACAAGUAAACAAAUAAGAAAACUAAACAAAUGAAAGUAAAAGCACGUUGGAAUAGACCUUAUUUUCUUGUUCAGCUCGCACAUACUAUUAACAAAUUCGUCUCUGCAUCAACAUAAAGAUCGUGAUUGAGUUUAUACAGUUUUUAGUAUAUCGCACACACAAGAAGAUUAAAAGAAGAACAAAAAACUAGUAUUACCGCAUGAAACCCACUUCACUCUGUUCACCGAUGCCAGUUCGAUUAAGAAGAUCAAAUAACAAGGUCAAAGUUCGAAAACAAAGAAUGACAAUAACGAAAGAAAAUCUAACAACAUUUGAGAGCACGAGAGCGAUUCUCACCUUGAGUGUAUCCAGAUCAGAACGGAGCUUCAAUAUCUCCUCCUGCAGCAGAGAAGUCCUCGCCUACGCACGAUAGUUACUAUUAGAAAAGGAUUUACAAGAUCAAUCGGCAACUAGAAAGGACGCGUAAUCAGAACCUCUUGCGCUUGGAUUGAUGCACCAAUCAUAGAAAGCUGAACCUGCGAUCCCCUCAGCUCCUGCUCGUCCAUCUCCCUGGACCGCUUGGCCCCAUCGAGGUCGGCGUUUGCAACAUUGAGAUCGUUCUGAAGUUCGAGGAGCCGCUUCUUAAGAUCGGGGACCCUAAGCUCUGAGUCGAAGACAUGCGGAUUGAGAGGGGCGCAUCGGAGAUAGCGUGGAGGCACGAGAAGCAUGGAGCGGCCAUAGUGUACCUUCUUGGGAUUUCUCGGAGGCGACAUUGCGGAUCAGAGAGAGGAGAUGUUUCUGGGAUUCGCCGGACGCCAUGGCGAGAAGGCGCCCCGAGGGCUCGGAGAUGGCAGCCUAGCUUUUUGGGGAACAGCACUCGUCUCCCGCUCUUUGGUUCGAGAAGAAUCCAUAAUUAUUCUAAAAUCAUCAUUGAUAUUAUGGAUCUCAGAUCAAACCGGAAAAUAGAGUCCUCGAUCUAAGGUUAAUUGUUAUAGUGAAAGUUGAGAACAGAGUUUUUUUUUUUUUUUUUUGCCAACAUGCUAAUAUAGGAAUUUCUAUGGAUUUACUAUGACAUUUUUCAAAAAACCCCAUAUUCUAAUAUCAAUAUGAUUUAAUCAAUUUUGAUCUUUUAAUCUGAUAUGAUGAAAAUGAUCUAACCUAUUAAAAUUUUUAAGUACUGUUGAAUCUGAAAAAAAGAAAAAUAAGUUCGAUUGGUCAGGAGACUUUCACUUGAGAUAAGAAAAAGUCCCAUAUACUAUAUCUUAUUUCAAUGUGAGGGUAGAAAUUAUUUGUUCUUGCAAAAGAUUAUGUUGGAAUAUAGGAUCACUCACCCCAUCCCCACUAUAUUAAUGUUGAAUGUUGAUAUUGUUUGUUUUAGUUCAAUUAAAUCAAAUAGCUUGCAAUUAACUUGGAAUCUACUCAACCAAAGUUCAACUCACCCAUCUCUUCCUAUAUCCAUAGGAGUAAUAAAAAAUAUCUUCUAUCUCACCUCAUUAAGGUCGAGUCUCUAUGAAAACUCAUACCUUUAGGCAUAACUUGUGUUUAUUAACUCACCCCAUUAACUCUCACCCCAGUAAAGCUAACUUUAGUGCUUAUUAACUUUUAAUUCCCUUACUUCUUCCUUGAUAUAGGACUAAAUAUGUUUGCUCGUGGCAGCGUCCGAUUCGGUGUCCGGCCACAAUCACUUUCCUUCAAAAGCGUGGAGAGAUGAGGUGAUCAGCGAGCGAAGGGUUGGAUGCGAUUUGGCUGUGUGACUCAGCAUCAAGUCACGACAAGGACGAUACCACCAAGUCCUUCUCGCCGUGUGGCUUCCCUGAGUUCUUUAACGCGGACCCCACCAUUUUCUUCUCACGCACUGUCUCUCAACGGUUUCGUUCAUCACGCAGCCAGCGUUGCUUUCCCCCGAACCGUUUGUUCCUUGAGCGAACGGUUACGUGGGGGUUUCGUUACCCGCUGGGGGCCCUACCGUUACGAUCGGUGCGAUUGAUGUCUUGAUUUUUAUGGGCGUGGUUUGGGUGGUGCAUCGUGCUUCGGGCUCGAAGAAGAUGCGAAGGCGGAUACGUCAUGAUCUCCUCCCGUUGAUCGUCACCAUCCGUGAUCUCUACGGACGUGUGGACGGCAGAUCUUCUUUCCGUACAUGGUAUACUAAGCGGCAACGGUUGGAGAUACUCGAGCUAUGGGGCCCGGAUAAGCCUCGCCUGUUCCCUGUGAAGCAUGACCGGACAUGAAGUUCCACGUGGCAAACUAGCGUCCGUUCACAGGCACGACGAUGGACACGCGUCAUUACGGCGGACCGCACGAGGAAGCCUAUGCUUGAAAGGAACAGGACUGGAACGGUCUCGAUUAAUUCCGGCGUUGCGUUAAUUACCUAAUCAUCUAAUUAAAUUAUCGCACUGCUCUUUCUACCUGCAAGGUUGUACACGUUUAGCCACAUGCGUUGCUAUUGGAGAGAAAGAUGGGGACCACUGGUGACCCACCUGCGCUCGUCCUCCGACUUCUACAAAAUUGCAGUCUGACGCUGAGUGGGUAAGCCUCACACGGCAACACUAUUUUUGUAAGAUGAGGCUCCACCUCCGCUAAUGACCAUCCUAAACUGAUUCUUGUGCAAGAAAAGGAGGAUAAGCUUUUUGCUUUUACUUCUUGUUGUUGGUUUUUAAGUCUAUAAAUUGGUGUGCCGACGGCGCAGUCUUCCGUCGCUUAUCCUUUCGGCUAUUUUCUCUUUUUCCUCUUAGAGGAGCAACUGUGAUCGGAGCAUCUGCAUCGCCGACAGAUCAGAACCGUCGCGUUCUUUGGAUUUUCGGUGAAGGUGAAAAGUUGAUAUCGAUCGGACGGAUGUCGAUCGCACUGGAGAAACGGGGCGACAUUGGCCGGUCGGGGCUUCUCCAGCGGCCCGCCUGCUUCCCAAUCUACGAGGUGCCAGAGGCGGCGGCAAGGCUUGCGGUGGCGGGGGACGGCGGCGAGGACUCCUGCAGCUCUUCGUCCAUCGGGAGGAACAGCGACCUCUCCGCCGGUGGAUCGGGGUCGGACGGCGGGGAGGCGGAGGUCCAGAGCAGGUUGAAGGGGCCACUAGAGACAAUGGACGCCCUCGAGGACUCACUGCCCUUGAGGUAUCCUUCUUCAUCUAUGCAAAAGUUCCUACGUUGACUAGCUUCUCUUGAAUGCUUCGGAUUAGGUUCUUGCUUUCUUGGUGCAUUUGGGUGAAAUGUAACGCGGGUAAUGUUUGUGAGAAAUGUUUUCAAGAAACAUAAUGGUGCUGCCUUUUUGUUCUUGAUGUAGCAAAUAUUUCUAGAACUUGUUUAGCCGUUGUUACGAUUAUCGUUAUGAUUGCUUGUUAUGUAUUAUAUUUUAGGGUUUGAGUUGUUCUUUUCUUGAUAUUGCUUGAAAUUUCCCCAGAUAUGAGUUGGAUUUGUGAAUUAGGGCCCUUCAGAAAUUGUGCCUAUCCAACGCUUUUAGAUUGCCCAUUUCUUUAUAAUCAGCAGAUAUCCAUAUCAGUUACUAGUGUCUGAUAUCUCACUCUUCUUUGACCAAUUUCAUUGGAUAAUUCAAGGGCUACUAUUUCAUUUGGUAUCUUAUUUCUAUCCCCCUGGUAUGAGUUGACUUUUGAGAUCUCUACUUAGAAGACAGUUAGCAUUGAACUCUGUAAUACGUGCGAUGCAUACAUCCUGUUGAUUUUUCAAAUGUUACCGUAAGUCUCCUAUACAAGCCUACUACAGACAUAAAAGUAAGGAUUCUCACCCGAAGUCUGGGGUUAUAAUAUGAGACCAGAGGGGCUUUUAUUUGUGAUUCUGGAGCAAUGGAGAGCCUUUUAAUGCCUUCUACAUAUCUUUAUUGUUUUUGACAAAAGUUUUUGGUCCUACUAUCGCUCGCUAAUCAGCUGUGAUCGAGAUUGAUAACCGGAAAACCAUUUUGAUGUUGGGAUGAGUUGGAACGAGAUGCAUUUAACUUUGGGUAGACAAAAUCUUGGAUGAGUUUUGGCAUCAUUUUAUCAACAGGAUUAAAUCUUCAUCUUAUUAUAAUGCAGACAAAAUUUAAGGUUUUUAAAAUGAUUUUCGCCACAUCUACUGAGCAGAAUGUCACUGACAUAGUAAACCAAUCAAAAUGUUGCCAUAACACUUUUGUUUGUAGAGCAUGAGAUGCUAGAAUAGUUUGCAUGUAAUCUUACACUAUGAGAUAGAGGUCAGACAUCAUCAAUUCACUAUUAUCUGAUGCAUACUAAUUUGGAGUUUAGUUUUCAGUUUGUUUUAGCUUAGUUUUUUAAAAGACAUAAUAUAUUUAAUAAAUUAUAAAUGUUGGCUUUGUUAGAAUUAGUUUUAUCUUAUCACUGACAUCAUGGGACAACAAGAUAAUAUUUUAUUUUAGAAAGUUCGAUGAGUUUUGCCAGCUGAAAAUAAGAUUAUGUCCUUGUCAGAUAUUUACAGUAUUGACAAUGAAAUGAUGGAUUUUUUGAAUGACUAAUCCUGUGUUUUCUUGUGAUGGGUGUUCUCCGCACCUUCCAAUCCAGUUUCCCUUUCACUCUUAAUUCGUUGAAUUAAUUAUCUUGGUCUGGUGAUUAAUGCUAUUCCAAAUUAGAGCAUGGAUUUGAGGUUCCAUGCCACUCCAUUUUGCUGCAGUACAUAUUCCCUGUACUUGGACAAUGGAUCUAUUGUGUUUGUUGUCUCUAGACAUUAUUGGAAAAUAUUAUCUUUGAUCUGAAGAACAUUUCUCAAAGAUGACCUAGGAAGAUCUUUUCACUCAAAGGAUUGUGCUAGUGAUUAGAUCUUCAGAGAUAGGUAUAGAUGGCAUGUCCAUCCCUUCAUCAUUGUAUAGGGAUUUCAUUUGGAUUAGCUCUUCAGCUGCACGCCACAUUCUUUUUUCCUGCAUCUUAAUGUGAUGGUGCUGUAUCUAAAAUGCAUUUUAGGUUUCAUUUCUGUAUUUCACUUCCCUACCUAGUCAUUUGCCAUACAAAUUAGGUUCAACUUUGAGGAUUGAUUUUACCAGAUUGUGUUAAUUGAGAUAUCAGUGAGGAUGUUAACAAUAGAUAAGUGAUUCUGUUGCAUGGAUACCUGAUCCAUGCUAAUGUAGUUCAAUACACAUACGGGCAGCAGUUGUGGUGCAUUUGUGUCCAGUCAUGGUGGUAUUGAGAUAAUAUAUUAUUAUUAUCCAUGUUUUUACCAUCAUGUAAGGAAUUAUAUUAAUUGACAUAUUGUUGACGUUACAUACUUUGUGGUGCAUUUGUGUCCAGUCAUGGUGGUAUUGAGAUAAUAUGUUAUUGUAAUCCAUUCUUUUACCAUCAUGUAAUAAAUUAUAUUAAUUGAGAUAUUGUUGAUGUUACAUCCUUUUAGAGAACUGUCUAUUCGGUAGGAUUCUGAGAGAUUUUAUGAAGUCUGCAUUUCUGAAUGAGGCUGAUUAUCAUUACGUACAUUUGAUUUGCAUGAAGUAGAACACCAUGGAUUAUUGUUCAUGAAACAUUUCAUCAUCCACGACAUUGAUGCACCGAGUUAAGGGCAUCAUGCUACUUACUUUGGGAAUGAUUCAAAAAGACUUUGGAACAUUUUAUUGCAAUGGUAGUGACUAGAGAGAUGAACUAUUGACACUUGGAAAAAAAAAAAAAAAGGAGAUAUCAAGCAUAUAAGUUGGCAAUUGUUGCCAUAGUAAUAGUAGGCUUUUGUUUCUAGAUUAUAUUAAGGCCAUAUGGUUUAAUGAGUCAGCAUGCCUUGAUUUCUCUCUCUCUGCAGGCGUGGCAUCUCCAAGUUCUAUACCGGCAAAUCCAAAUCUUUCACAAGCUUUGUGGAUGCCAAAUCAUCUUCCUCUUGUAAGGAUCUUGCAAAAUCUGAAAAUGCUUAUACCCGCAAGCGCAAGAAUCUUCUUGCCUUCAGUGUUCUAUCAGAUAAGUCUAGCAAGCUAGGAAACAUGGAAGGGCGUAUUUCAAAAAGACCUGCCAGUUCCAGCCGAAGCAUGCUAAGCCCGAUCCUAAACAGUGCCAGCUCCAGCAGCAACAGCUUCAGCAGUGAAGAGGAUAAUGUUCUGGGUCAUCUUCUUCCUCCCCCUCACCAUCAGGGCAAAUAUUCUGGCGAUGCUACUUCAGCUACUGCUGUUUCUCUUUCAACUACUCCAUUCGGUUCCUCCCCGAUGAGAUCAUUCUCAGUGACAGAUCUCCACGGCAUCCUUCGUUCGUCCUCGAUUCAGAUUCAGACAAGGGAUGACCACAAAAAGAAUCAGUAGCUCAAAGAUGUCUCUCUGAAUUGAUUUGGUCCCAUGUCCCCUAUUUUUUUGGAUCAUGGGUUUUCAUCUAUCUGCUUGGUGAUUGUCAGAUGGUUGAUUGAAUGUUUGUACAGGGGAGGAAAUUUAAGUUUGUUUUUGCUAGACAUGAGAGAGUGUCAUAUGAAUGGCCUGACUAGGUCUCUAAUUUACAGGGGUCCUCCUGUCUAUCUGACUCCUUGUCCUUGCAUUUAUAUACUUGUUAUGCCCUGCUCUUCCAUAUGCUGCGUUAUCACCUGAGGAAGACCACUGACGUGGAAUGAUGCAUCUGAUGUAUGGUUUAAUUUAAGCUAUACCAUAUCAGGAGGUGUGGUUCAAUUUGCAUUUUUGUUGGUAAAGAAAAUUGUUUGAAAAGAUGUUUCGAAACUUCUAACCUUUGAUGAGUGAUAAAUUCGGUUCAUGAUAGGCAGAUCAAUGCUUUAGUUAUUGUGUAAGUGCAGCUGAUUCAAAAUUUUAACAAGUGCAACAUUUGAAAUUUUGAUGCACAAGGAGAGUUAGAUUACCUGAGUUAUCCAUGCCAAAUGAAUGUCAUUAGCACAUUCUUAAUUGGUUUAAUAAUAUUAUAAACGACAUAUGAAUGUUCGUUGCAAUUCAUGAUGGAUUAUAAAGGGCUUCGCGGAAACGAUAUUAAAAUGUUCUAAUGUUUCCGGUCUCCAAAUGAUACAAUUCUUAUCACAAUAAAAAGUCAUUGAUGCAUAAGAAAUCUGAAGGAAAUGAUGACAUUGAAAAUUUUGCUCCAGUAGGUUGAUUCAAGAUUCUGCCUCCAUUAAUUCGGGAUUGUCAAAAAGAUAUGAUACAUUCUAUAUGAAACCGCAACGCAAAUAGAAGAUGGAACCAUAUCAGAUGCGUAAGAUGAAAGUGGAAAGGAUGCAUGUGGAGGUAACAUGUACUACGAGUAGUAGUGAUAAGUCAAUAUUUUAUCCUUUCGGGCUGAGCAAAAUAUAUAUAUAUAUAUAUUUGAAGGGUCGUAAAUCUUUAGUUCAUCUAUUCUUGAACCAAAGUAAGACUAAAUGUACUUAUCAAUGACUCCCUAGCAGGGAGAGUCAAGGGCUCAUGACCCUUCAAGAGGAAUCCAAUAUCGCGGAGGCAUAAUGUCAAAUACAUCCAAGACAUGUAAGUCAGGAUGAUCCAAUCCUAAAUAAUCUUGGUCAUAAGAUAUUCGAGAGGAACAUCGAGAUAACCGGACAUAUCGAUAUGCUAUAUACCCGUCCAUAUGAUGAAGGUAACUGGUCUUAUAGCUGCCCGUGUGGGGACACUAUGGAUAUAGUAUAGGUGCUCAUUGGAGAAUAAGUUCACUAAUUGAUCCACUCACGGAAUACUGGAUGGUUGAUGAUACCUCAUUAUCAGAUAGCGAUUUCAUCGGUCCUUAAACUUUAGACACCAAGGAUAUCCUAUAUGAGUACUUCAUUCUUUGAUAUCGAACUUAUAGGUAUGAAAAUUCUAGAUCUAGCACAAUUGGUCAUUGGGAGUGACAGUCAAUCUUAUGAGAACAAUUGAGUGACUAUAGAAGAUCAUCCGCUCUCGGUAUCAUAAGAGGAAUAUCUUAUGUAUUCUUUCUCAAGCAAAUCCCUAGCUAGGGUCAUUCGGAUUGAAAGAGAAAGAGUUCUCCUAGAAAAUCCGAUUAGAGCGAGAUUCGAGUAGAUUCCGUAUGGGCUGACAACACCAUAUCAGGUAUAUGAUCUUUGGGAUAUUAGAUAAAUGAGGGACUAUAGAGACACGGUAACUAAGGACAUACAAGUCCAAUGGAUUGGAUUCUCUUGUAUCGUAUGGGGACUACAGCGUAGUGGCCUAGUACAUCCAUAGUCAAUGAGUUGAAUGAAUAAUUCACUGAGCCAGAAGGAGUUCUAAUAGGUAUGACUCACAACCAUAUUGAUAUUGGGCCAAGAGGGUCACACAUAUAUAAUAAGUGUUGCACCGAGUAGAGGUUUUGAAUAUAAGAUAUCCGUUGAAACUCUUAUUUUAUUGGAUAUCCAAUGAACUCCUUAAUUAUUAGAUUUUAUGGAUAAGAUCAAAUAAGAGCCAAUUAAAGAUUAUUGGAUAAAGAUCUAUUAACCCAAGAUGCUUGGAUAAUUGAAUAGAGAUCUAGUACUCAAUAUGACAAGAUUCAUUAUAGUUAAAUUGAUAGGGACCUCUAUAAAUAGCAAGAAACUAAAGGGAAAUAGGCUAGAUAAUUUUUGGCUGCCACCUCCUAUUCUCCUCACUCCCUCUCCUCCUAAGUUGAUAGCCCCAGUUUAGGGUGUGUGGAUAGUAAGAAAGGUCAACCCCUUCUUGAUCAUGUGAUGUGCAUGGAGAGGAAGAUCAUGCACCGAUUUGAGGGGUGUUUUUAUCACAUCAACUAUAUGGAUCAUCAUUAGAGAGGAGGAUAGUUGACCUCCUUCAUCCACUCCUAUAGAUCUAGGAUUUUACAGGGAUAUAUGAUUUCCUUAUGUAACAAAUAUGUCUUGAUAUGCGUGAUUUUCGUUUUGCGUUUUCGAUUUUACACACUAAUCUUCGCACGAUAAUGAAAUAUUUUUUUCUUUGUUCCUUUUCUCUAGCGGUGUCUUCAUCGGUUGAGGAUCCUUUAAGAGUCCUUUUUCCUUUAUUUGGAAAAUGACUUCAGUUCUAGUCAUGUUCAAAGGAGUCGACUUAAACCUUAGGUGAGGUAGCUCGGGUUAGUCUUUUCUUCUUCCCAAUGGUGACCUCAAGGUCAAGGUUUAUGGUAGUCGCUCCUAUCUUGGCUUUUUAUGUCUUCUCAUGCUUGCUUGAGAUCAUUGUCUUUGCGGCAAUGUACUGGUUGACCCUCUAGAGCAUCUUAGGUACCGUCAUCGGUAGCCUCUCCACCAAUGAUUAAAAAAAGCGAGAGAGCUUGAGCUCCAUCAUGAAAGCUUGUAUUACAAAUGACAAAUGAGCUUCUUGCACACCUCGGAUCUCAUUAGUGAAUCGAACAACAAAGUCAAAGAGUAUUUUUUCCUCCCCUUACCCGAGUCUAAGAAGUAUUACCACUAAUAGCCUCGGGCAUAUAUUUCCGAGGAAGUAGAGCUCAUACUCCUUUACAAGCUGAGCAAAGUAGUCGACCGGGAGUGACUUUAAGAAAGUGUACUAUUCUUAUACUAGGCCUCUUAAUGUUGUUAGGGAGGUACGACACAUCAAGAAGUUUGAGGUAUCAUACAAUGACAUUUGGUAUGGAAGACGAUAGUGUACUCUAUUAAGUUGGUACUAUCGUCAAAAGCCUCUAAUGAUGGGAGGUGAAAGUUUAUUGGGAUUAGCUCCUCUUGGAUGUUCCAAAUGAAUGAGGAUCGACUUGAGGUGGGGUCAUCCGGCCUUUCCCAUUUGGAUUGUUGAAAUUCUCGUUGCAUCUUUUUUAAGCAUUAGUCCAUUUGUCGUAGCUGAAUUCUUAAGGAGUCAUCCAUCGAAUUUGCUGACUAGGUCUUGGAUUUAGGCAGAGUAAAAUGAUAGUGCAGUAGUGCACUAAAUUCCACGGUUGGGGAGUGGGGCACUCUUUUGGUCGAUAGUUCUACGAGUCUUAGCCAAUCCUGAGAUGUUGGCACUACAUCGGACAGGGGCAUCCUAGUGAGUGUCGAGGUGUCGAGACUAACGAUCAGGAUUGAACAAGAGGAGGAGGUAGCCAUUGCAGUAGGUCCAAAAAAGCUUACAACCACACAUUAGUGCUCGUUCGGAAUCAUAUAUAUUAUUUAGUCACUAUCCCAACUCAGAAAAAGUACGUACAACUUUUAUUUUAGUGGAAAAAAUACGUCUCUUUUAGUCACUAAGAAACUAUUAACUGAAAACGUAAUAUUUUACUUAUAUUCAAGGAUCGUAGGUAAGACAUAAUGUGUACAAUCAUGACGCGUGAAUGAACGUCUAUUAUGCAUAUACAAUGCUUUCUAUUAUGUGUGGCCCCGUCAAGUUAGUCAUAUUGUUUGAAUAUUUUAUUUGAGAUUUGUCCUUAUUACAUGUAUAUAUUUAUGUAUUAGAGUUAAUUCUCAACUUAUAUAGUAUAUGCUUCUUUGUAUGGAAUGAUAACACAUUGCAUAAGCUCCAAAAGCAAAGUCAAUUUUGUUGGCAGCAUAAUGUUUUAAAUGAAUUUAACUUGUAGAAUUAUAACGAUUCUAAACCGAGAAAGAGUAAGAAAAGUGGGGAAAUGGUAGAUUAAGAACCACAUUAGGAGAAAUUUCAUGAAGACCAGUAAAAGCAAAGCUGGGUUUUAAUAUCUAUCCUUGUAUGGUUUGGAAACAGCAUUUCCUUGUAAAUUUGAUAAAGCAUAUCAACAAACGAAACCUCACAUUAUGUUAGAAAUAUUAAUAAUACCUUUAAUAUUCUUACCAUCAUAAUAUUUGGUUCCAUUUUUAUGGCUAAAAAAGAAAAUAACUUUUAUCUUUUUUUUUUCCAAAAAAAAACUGAAUAUAUUACUGUCUAAAAACAUGAACACUAUGCGAGGACCUCCAAAUUAGAGAUGUUUUGAAAGAGUAUGCAAAAUGUGCUAAUCAAUUACUGCUCUUAUUUCCUUCCCUAAAAACAUGACAAAAUUUGCAUUCAUAAAAAUAGUCAGACAAAUGCCAAAUACUCCUAAACAAAGUCAGCAGUCUCCAAGGUGGAUCCUCUUCUUCAUUUAACGCCUUGAUAAUGAGCUGAGAGUCAACUUCCACCUCUGACUUGGGAAUGCCAUCAUCACAAGCCUUCUGCAUCCCCCAUUUAAUCACCAUCAACUCAGCAGCCAGUUUGAGGCAAAAAUUAGCAUCCAGCCAUCACACAGCUCACCUCCCCUCCAAUCUAUAAAAUGACCCAUCAGUGUUGAGUUUAUAUCACCCUAUGGUAGGUUUAGAUCAGGUUACAUGCAUUCUGCUCACAACACUCACGCAAUAUCUGGAGAAUAAAGUUUUCAUUCAUUUAAGAAAAGAUGAUCUAAGUACAAUUCCUUUGUUCAUUUUUAUAGGCCCAUACAUAAAGAAAAUGGAAAACAGAAUAAAUGGAAGAAAAAAAAAAAGGCUAAUCAACUAAAAUAUAUUUUUUAUUAGGAAACACAAGUUUCUACAUAUAGCCUUCCUUCCAUUUAGCCUGAUGGUUCUUUCCCUUUUUUUUCUCUUCUUUGUCAAUCUAGGAAACAAUGAUAGAAAUGCAUGAGAUAAUUCAAAUGGCCUCUCUACUAUUUUUAUUUUUAUUUUUUAAAGCUCAUCGCAGCGAUUCAAUUAUGUUGAAAUUUUUCGUAGGAUUUUAUAAAAGAAAUAACUUAUGAAUUUAAUAUCCUAUUAGAAACAAUGACAACUUAACUUCUAUCAUGUAUAGUUUGGCCAGGCCACCUAAUAGGUAUAUGUUGUUUUCUUGCAUGGAGUAAAUUAGGUCAUGUUACUAAAUUGGUUUAUAAUGAAAAUGGAAUCAUGACCUGCUAUUAUUUAUUGUAAUCUAAGAAUUUUUUUUUCAAAAUGUAAGUAGUGAAGACUAGAUUCGAAUCCAAGACAUUGCGAUAAAUUAUCAAAAUCUUUACCAAUUAAGUUGAUUAAUAUAUUCUAAGUUCAAAAUUUAUACUAAUAUCUUUCCAAGAGAUAUGAGAUGUAAGCAAAAUUCAUACUAGCUAACACCUUCAAAGUUUUAUAUGUUAGGCUUGAAUGUUUAGUAAAGCGACAAUAGGAGUUUAAAUCGAUUUGGUUUUACUUAAUAAUCAUGAUUUAUAUUUAUUUUCCUAUUUAGUUUAGGUUAAAAAAAUUAAGAAUACAAGUUAAAGAUGGUAUGCAGUUAUCAAUUAUUUUAUUAUGAAAAAAAUUAGCAUUAUAUCUUGGAAGAGACUAUUAGGAUCGAGUCGACACUAAGAGGAGGGUGAAUUAGUGCAACGGAUAAAAACAGACUUGUCCUCUUCUUAAAGCAGCACUAGGCAUCGCUAAUUGGGAGAUCGGUAGGCAUCCUCACUUUUCCUCGACACCUUGCUAUGUUUCAUUAGUCUCCUUUGGGUGAUAUAAGAUUCUUCUAAAACCUUUAUACAUGUUUCAUGCGUAAUAUAUCAUCAUCGUUCGUCUUCUUCAAUCUCUCUUGCGGAUUUGGAGAGUAGAUGGGAGGUGUAGAGGGACUUCUCUUACGUUUCAUUGAAGUCAUGUGGGUUGGACUAAAUUUGGCCUGAUACAAAAGUCAAAGAAGUGUUUUGACUUCUUGAACCUUUGUUUGAAUUGUUGUUUGACUUUGGUUCAACUCAGACCUGAUUUCUACUUGUGGGCAUUAUAUAUUGAUUUAUGCCAAUUGUGAUUAUGCAUAUGAUUUCGUGACUUGUAGAACAUUGCAUUUAUUGUGGAACACUUAAAUAGAUAGCAAAUUUUGAGUCAUAUUAACAGAAUUAUUUUGGAGUGGUAUUCGAAAUUAGAAUAUGACUGGACUUUUAAUUGGUACAAAAACUGGUAUUUAAUUCUCUUAGGUACAAAAGAUUAAUGGAGAAGGCCAACAUCAGCUCUACUGUCACCUCAAGAAGUCGAGAGGAAGAACCACAGGUGGAGGAAGGAAUCACCACAGAGAGACCAGAUUGGACAUUACUACCACUCGAUCUCAUAACAAAGAUCAGCGAAGAACUUCCCAUCCCACACCGUCUUUGCCUUCGUGCCACAUGCACAACUUGGUAUCAUGCUGCAGUCUUGGACAUGGAUGUCCCGUCCCCAUGGCUCCUCAUACCCGAUCAUGAAAGUGAGCAAAGCGACUCUUGCACUUUCGCAUCUCUCCCUACUGGCCUCUUCUUCACGUACUCCCCUAUCCCCGAGCUUCGUGGCACACGUUGUGUUGGUUCUCAUGCUGGUUGGCUUGCGAUCGCCAAUGUUCACUUGGACGUCAGCCUCCUAAAUCCCUUAACAAGGUCUCAAAUCUACCUUCCCUCCUUCACCACCCUACCUACUGAUGAUCUCAUGCUUGAAUGUGACGUCUGGUCUAUGGACAAUCCAGCAACUGAUGUGCCUGCUUAUAACCCUUUUAAAGCAUUCCGCGAUCGCUUCAUUGGCAAGGUUGUCUUUUCCUCAAAUCCUACUAUCCAUAACCACGUCGCGGUGACACUCUAUGGUGCUUAUGGUGAUCUUGCCUACACGAAGGCAGGCAAAGAUGCGUGGCUUCUUCUUAAGGAACCAUCAACCAAGGAUCAUCAGUAUGAGGAUGUCAUGUAUCAUGAUGACAAAUUCUACUGUCUAUCAAAUGAAUGUGAAGUCGAAGCUUUUGACCUAAGUGGAGAUUGUCCCACUGCGGCACUCGUCGUUGAGAGAUUAACAUUUAGUGUUACAUACUUUCACGACAUACGCGGCUCCAAUCUCAGCUGUACGUAUAAAAAAUACUUAGCACGCUCGAGCACAGGAGAGUUGUUUAUGUUUCUAAGAUAUAUAAAUCAACCCGUUUUACCGAAUGAAAUGGAACUGCGUAGGCCAAAAAAAUUCAUGGUUUUGAGGGCUAAUCCCGAGACUAACCCUUGUUGGGCUGCUGCUACAAACGACUUGGGAAGUAUGUCAUUGUUCAUUGGUACCAACAAUUCCAUGUUGGUAUCAAAUGAGAAUUUACCGAUAGUACAUGGAGACGGUAUCUUCUUCAUCGAAUCCUACACAGUAGCAUUUGGCAAUGGCAUUGAACUACUCACUUCUGAUGUUGGAUGGUUCAAUUUGAAAGAAGAAUGUUCGGAUAACUACUAUGCAUCAUCUUGUCCUCAAUUCGACUUGGCAUCAGUCAUCUGGUUCACACCCUCACUACAGUGAUUACAAAAGAAAAACUGGUUCUGGUUGUCUUUGAAUAACCUAUUACUGAAUGUAGAGAUAUGUUGAUUGAUCAUUAUUCCUAUGAACAUUAUUAGUCUAGAGUUGAUUAACCAUCUCGAUGUUAAUUCAUUUAACUUGUGCUUUGUUGUGGGCAAGAAUAUAUUUUGCUUUAUAUUGGAAAUCAUAUUUGAUUGCACAAAGUUUCAAUGCCCUGAUUUGCAUGUCUUGAUGUGGCGUAGAAUAUGAAAUCGUAGAUACAACACAUAGCAAUUCAUUUUCCAUUAUGGAGAGACAACCUAAAGAUACAAUGGAACAUUGAGCCCGGAGCUUUGUUUAGGAUACUAACUAUACCGAUCCAUCAUUGUCGUUUUAUUGGAACUGGACUUCAUCAUUGGAAUUAUUUUAGCACUUAGAAAUUUAUGUGUUAGUCAAUAAAACUAGACGACUACUUAUCGCAGUUAGAGAGAGAGAGAGAGAGAGAGAGAGAGAGAGAAAGCACUUACGUUUUGAUCCUUUAAAAAUUAUGGUAUGGAAUUGAAACAAAGACUUGCAUGAUCGAUCGAAUACAAGAAGUCGAUGCAGAAUUCUAGGUUGAAAAUUUGGAAAAUUAGACCAUGUAGUAUCAAUCAAAUUCAAAGAAUUCAUAAAAGCAUCAAUGGACUUGGGACUGAGGUCUCUACAAAGUUUAAAUGGUAAAAGACACUUAGGCCAUUAAAAAUAUUAAUAUGUAUAUUAGAGGAUAGAUUGAUCGGUGGAGUUUCAUUUCUUUAAAAAAAAUUGUAAGGCGAAGAUGAGAAUUUUGAAUUCAUUGCUCUUUUUAAUGGGUCUCCUUGUGAAGUGCCAAGCUUAAUUUUUAAUUAUAAAAGCAAAAAUUAAAUUAUCCAGGUGCUUUGAUUGCCUCGAUUUUAUUCAAAGGGUUUUGAAUUUAUAUAAAUUUAACCUGCUAAAUUAGUAAGAAAACUAGAGUAUUUUUUAUCAAUUUUCUUAAAAAUUAAGAAAAUUAAAAUUACUCAACUUCGCCUACUUCGUAAAGGGUAUCAUUCCAUACAUCAAGCCAAGUAAUAGCCUUUGCCUUUAGACUUUUGGAGCAUUCAAAGUAUGUACUUCUUAUUUAUAAUUGAUUACUAAACUUCCCCUCUUUUUUAUUGUCUCUUUUUUUUUUAAAGAGAAUUAUUGCUUUCAAGGGGUUAAAUUUUGUCUCAUAACCCUUUCAUAGAUUUAGCCGAUUGUACUAUAUUUUUUUAUUUUUUUGUUAUCUACUCCUCUAAGUAAUAAAGGAUAUAAGAUACUUUAUACUUCAUUCCUUAGUCGAUCAUCAUCACUUCAAUCCAAAGUUCAUCACUUUGGAUUAUCUCAAUAAGAAUUUCUUUGACAUAGGCCUUAUGAAAUUCUCUCACAACUAUCCUUUUAUUUUAUCUUAGUAUUUGGAAUUUACUAUUAUAUUCUCUACUGCUUUGGCCCUCAACUAAUGUGUUCUCCUUUCAUAAAAGCAAGAGAUCAGGAACAACUAAGAAGUAUUACCUAUGUUAUACCAUGAUAUACCAUUAAGCUCAUGGCCCUAUUUCCAUUACUUCACAUUUGCAUCUUUUUUUCUCUAUGAUUGAUAGUUAUUGUCAUUGUGGUCGAGUGGCACUCUUUUUGGAGUCCACAUUCAAUCUAACUGAUGGAUUACUAGUAUAUACUUAAACAUACUACCCCUUGUCUACUAACGCACACAACCUUCAUCUGAUGUAAUUUUUAUGCAUGUAUCGAAAACCUACCUCUGUAAGACAAUGAUAUUCACUCCUUAAUUAUAUAGUCAUUCUUUUAAUGCAAAUUCAAUAUAUACAUGGAAGAUUUGUUUGUAUGAUUUCAUAGUACUUAUCCCUUGAGUUCAUAGUUUUUCUUAAACUGAAAAUUUAAUACAUGCACAAAAGAUUGAAAGUCCCUUGUCUGAAUGAUCAAGUCCCUGAUUAGACUUGUUAGUGUGUUGCUCUAUCUCAAAUUAUUCCAUCAUGAUCUACUACCCCUAUGUCGCUUCAUGGUGAUAUCUUUGUUGAAUUUUAGAUUUGAUUGUCAAACUACUUAAUGAAUUUGAAGAUCUAAUCUUUAGAGAAGUCAAGCGACAUAUGUGAACUUUGACUCAUAGUAUCAAUCACUAGAGUUGUAUGUUAUUAUUUUGGAUGAUUGAAAGUUAUAUUGAAAGAUCGAAUAUUAUAUAAGAGAAUUGGAUAUCAUAUCAGAGGAUUGGACAUAAUGUAGGAGAAUCGAAUGUUAUGUUGGAGAAGGAUAACUCGACAUAUCAAAAGGUAAGGCAAUAUGCCAAAAGACUAGAGGACAUGUCAAAAGAUUUAACAAUUCACCGAAAGAUUUAACAAGUUGAAAGAACCAUUGAUGUGUCGAACCCUUGGUCAAGUCAUUAAUACAUUGGUUGAGUUAUUGAAGCCUCAGUUGAGUCAUCGGGCCUAUACACAUUCUUAAUUAGGUCAUCAAUGAGUUGUUAUUUGGCCUCAAAAUGGGCUUUUAUGAGGAUAGGUUGCUUAAGCUAGUUUUCGUGCUAUUUUGGGCUCUUACUAGGCUUUAUAGCCUAGGCCUAGCCUAGGUGGUAGUAUUACUUAGAUAGGGAGUAGUAUCACCUGGCACAUUUAGAAUGGUCUAGACAAUGUUGAUUUAGUGGUUUGAUGAUAAUGUUGAAAGAAGUGAUAGUAAUAUCACCUUGGAACAUUUCUUAAGAACAAGGUUCAUUAUAUUAUAGUAUACAACUCAGUAUGGGCAAUAUGUACUAAUCCAACAGGGGAUCAGUAUGGGUGAUGCAUUAGCAUGCCCCUAUGUACCAUGUUAAUAUGCUUGGUAUGACUCUGUAUAGCUCGAUACAUAUCGUACUAAUAGCUAGUCGAUACACUAGCAUGGACUAGUAAGACAAACCGCAAGUACUUUUUCUUAAUUUGCUCUAUAUUCUUAGAACUUUUAAGAUUAUAGAUGCCCUAUUUAAGCUUGGUUGGUGGAGUAUCCAUCUUGAAAAUUUCAAGUGCUAAAUUUCUCUUUUAGAUAUUUGAGUUUCUUAUAACUUCUUGAGUUUGAGUUGUCUUUGUAAUUAAUAUGGGAGCUUUGACACAAGGAAUCUGAUGACAUAUUAUACUUAUCUAUAUACCUUGCCUGAUCAAUAUAACAACCAAGUUAUCAUCCUACAAUGAUCAUCACUCGGUACCUAUAGGGACAAUGACUUGACUCUAACAAAAUGGUCUAUAUUAUCAAAAGAAUAACUUGUUAUCCUUAGCAUUUGCACGAAAUACCUUAUUGAUAAUUGUAACAUUUGACGAUUCAAGGCAUAACAUCCUACUUAACAAUAAUUGAAUAUUUCGCAUAAAAGUUUGUAGAGUUAAUCCCCAUUAUGAUUUAACGACUACCCAAGCAUACCAAAAAAGGCCCCCAUGUGCAUUCUUGACUAUAUCUAAGAAAAUAAUCUUAGUUAUCUCUUGAAGCUUUCAAUAUUCCCUAGUAAUUUAGGUAUCUAAAGUACUUUUAUCAGACAAGCCCCUAUUGUAGUUUUUGUAGGACCUUCUAUGAAUCCUUCAUCUUUGUAGGGCCUUCAAUUUGUUCUCUCAUUUUCUCAAUAUCCAACCUGUGAUAAACGUAGAAGUCAUACCUAAUUUAGAUCUAAACACCCCAUUUAUCAUACAACUAUAAUAUGAUUUAUUAGUAUAUUAUAGAAGGUGUGAGUCAUUAGUGGUUAAGUGAAGGCUUUUUAAGCCUUAAAAGGAAAAAAGUAUAAAAGGUUAUUAAUCUUUACUUAUUAAAAGAAAAAUUACUAGUAAAAGCUGAUAGAGGAAUCACGAGUAGGAAUAAGUCAAGAAAAUCAAAUUAUUAUGCCUCUCUAUUGUUUUACCCGUGCUUUUCUCUUAUGUUUGUUUACUUAUUUUAAUUAGAUUUUAUAUAAUUAUUUUUUAUUUGUUAAAAUUUUAAAUUUUGUAGAAGAACUAAUCACCACUUUUAUAGUGCCACUAAGAUCCAAUGCAAAGGCCACCAUUAUCUCAAUACAAAUCAAUGAAAGCAAAGCAAUUUGAUUUAAACUCAGUGAAAGCACUAAGUAGUAUGAGUGGAGUCUGCUGAAAAGAUGAAAUAUGAAGUGGAAGCACCUAUUUCAUAGUGCUAUACUUAGAUAGAAGUCAAGAACUUUUACACUUGUAGAGGCAAUUGCAAAACCAUAUGAUUUCUUGCUUUUCUUGUUUUAAUGAGGUAAGAAUUAUCUCACAUGCAUCGUGUCUGAGUCAAAAGGAGCCUUGAGGCACAUGCAUAUGAUGUUGAUGAUGCAUUUUGGAGUACAAGGUAGGUUGAAGGGGAGUGUUUAUAUAUGUUUGCAAAGGGUAAGUCUUCAUAUAACCUCAUACAAAUCCUUAGGUUCUUUCGAAAUAAGUUAGUGAAAGUAAACACAAAGACAGACUAUUAUAUCAUUCUAAAAAAGCAUAACCUUAUAUCACAUAAGUAGAUAUUAAUUGAAAACACUCUGGUAAAUACAAUAGAAAGAUAGAUUUCGAAAAUUUAAAACGAUCACACGACAAAAGAGUGAAUGCAGCUUGGUACUCAUAAUUGAUGCUCACGAAGGCACAUGCAAUACCGAUUGUUAGUGAUAUGAUGACCUAUCUUUAGAUACUAUCGCAAGCCCCAUAAAAUCUGAUGCCACCUAAAGGGUUUUAGGAUAUUAAGAUAGCUAACAUUUUACAUCGCAUUUCUGCACAAGAAAAUCCUAACAAGUUUAAGUCGGGGGCUUUGUUUAUGGGAAUUUUUAUCUCUAAGUGUGUUACGAUUACAAACCAUAAAGAUCAUAAAAUUUAAUCAAACUUGAGUUAUCGAAGCUAAUUUAGGCCCCUUAUAUAUAUAUUCUGUAAGACACAUAUACAUAGAAAAGCACAGACAUUAACACCUUUGGAAACAAUCUAUAACAACAUGCUAACCUACAAAUUCUGUAAAGGGCCUUUGUGUUAUACUAAGAUUAUUCCAAAACAAGUUAGCUAUGGGAGUAGUAAAUCCCAAGUGGACAGACACAUGAUCACUAAUAAAUGGUAAAAACACCUAUUUACUAUAUUAGUUUGAUGGUGAUAGGAUAAAGAAAUACAUAAUUUUGUAUUCAAAAUUUUUCAGAAAUAACAUAUGAAUUUACUUUUGAUAUAAAAAAAAAUGGUGUAUGAUAGACCACCCAACCUAACUUUUCAUAUGAAUAGUUUGGCCACAUAAUAGGAAUCUACAGUUUUCUUGCAUAGAAUAAAUUGGGCAUAAGGAAAGUUUUAUAUAUUAGGUCCGGAUAUUUGGUAAGGCUAUAUUAUGAAUUAAAAUUGAUUUCGUUAUAAUUAAUAAUUAUGAUUUAUUUUGUUUCCAAUUUAGUUUAGGUUAAGGAUAGUAUGUAACUGUAGAAUAAUUUAUUGUGAAAGAAACUGAGAUUGUCAUUUUUGGGAGAGCUACAAUAUCCAUAUUAAACGUACCAUAUGGCUCCUCUCUUCUCAAACCAUCAUAGGGAGAAAACACAAGCGAUAGGAGAGAAGAGGUAGGGAUCCUCACUUUUGUUAGUUUAUUAUACCUUGCUAUGUUUCAUAGUUUCCUGCUUUCAUAUCAUGACAUGCAUUUCAUUGAUACCUUAUCAUCCUAUUUGAUGACCAAUAGAGAAUAUAUAUAAUAUGCACAAAUUGACCUAUUAAAUGGAAGGGAUUCAUUAUAAAACUAUUUUUGAUGUAUUUGACAAGAUGAUUAUUCUAGGAUGGUUUUGGACAUUCUGUCAAGCAUGAAUUUGUUUAUGAUUAUUAGCAAUUCUUAUGUUGAUAUUUUGAUUUAAGUCUUUCCUUUAUAAAUUUAAUUUUAUAAAUCAAUAUCGGUGAUUGUGCCAAUUAUGAUUAUACACAUGAUUUCAUGAAUCACAUAAUGUUGCAUUUAUUGAGGAACAUUUGGAUGAAUAGAAACAAACGUAUAGAGGGAUUUUGGGGCCAUAUUUAAGACCUAGAAUUCUCCUUUAACUAUUUUGUCUCUAAUAGUAUAUUAACCGAAUAAUUUUGUAGUUGUAUUCGAAAUUAGACUUUUGAUUUUUUCUCAUUCUUAUUCUCCACGUCCUACAAAACUCUCAAACACGAAAGAUUAUUGGAGAAGGUCAGCAUCACCUCUAUCGUCCCCUCAAGAAGUCAAGACGAAGAACAAUUGGUAGAAAAAAAAACCAUCGUGGACGUCAAGACUCGAGACUCGAUUGUUCUAACAUCCCCACAGAAUGUCCUUACAAUGAUUGGCAAUCAAAUUCUCGUUCCACACAAUAUCUACUUUGGUGCCACAUGCAUGACUUAGUAUUUUAUCUAUUGGGCUAAUCAUUUGUUAAAGAAUAGAUCAAAAUUUAACUUUUUAAGAGAAUUCGGUCAAAAACUUAAGUAAUUGAAUCUAAAUCUAGUCAAAUAGUUAAAAUACAGUAAUAAUCAAGUUUGAUCAACUUAUUUGAUUAUAAUAAAUUAAAUUAAUCAAUUUUAUAAUUGAGGUUACAAGUUUAAAAUUUUUAAUUUAUGAAGGAUAAAACUAUAAUUAUAUUAGGAUAUACGAAAAAAAUAUUUUAUUUAUGAAGAAUAAAAUUAUCAAAAGAACAUAGUUAGAAUUAAAAAAAUUUAUAAGGACAAACCUAUAAUUUUAAAAUUUUACCCUCAUAGUUGUAGCUAGUUCCAUCGCGUCCAUGUAUGUGGGUCGGUGAUGCAGUGAUUGCCCAUUGUUUACGUGAUACCUACCACCCAUGCCUGUAAUGGGGCGACUGUCCUCAUGUAGUCGAUCGAAGACCACGCCGACAGAAUGCCUCCGUGGUGCACUGCUAACCAAGCAUCGCCAAUGAAUCGUCCCACCGCGUAGCCAUGCACACGCGCUGACCGACAACCCCCAUAGUCAUCAUGGUACGCGAUUAUACCAGCACAUCCUGUUGUACAGACAUUGGGAACCAUGACCUUCAGCAUUCAAUUGAUAUUAGUCACAACCAGCAAGCUCUGCCAUAGUGGUAUUGCUGCAACCGCCACUGGUAGCGAAACUGUUGUAGGCACCAAACGUAGUGGUACUGCUAUAGUCAUCACACCCCAUUGUGCUUCCACUGGGUACACAGCUACUACUAGUGAUUCCUUAAUGAUACUGUUAUCGAUAGUAAACUGUUAAUCGUGGUCCAUCAAUCAAGCACAAGGAACCUCACAUUGCAUAGAAGCAGAUGAUAAGACAAACUAGAUAGAACAACAAAUCAACACUAUAGGUGAUUUGUUCAUGCAUUGUAAAUAAAAAUCAAAUAACACCUUUUUACAAGCAAAAUAUAUUAACAAAUGGAUCUAAAGUAUUUGAUUUUACAAACAUGGCUUUGAUACCCAUCGUGAGUAUAAAAACCAUCAUUAUGCUACUAUUAUAUGAAAAACCUUAAUGUUAAAAUUUAAAAUUAAAUAAUAAUAUAUUAAAUUUACAAUGUAUACCUUUCAAUAUCAUUUAGAAAGUUUUUAUCUGAUUUAUGGGUGCACCAUCAUUAAAUCCGAAAGUUAUAACGAUGUCGAUCUAUAAGGAGAACUAGACUCGUCUUUUUCUCUCCUCCUAUCCUUCAUAAGACUGCUAUGAGUGAUGGAUUUAAAUAUUAAAAGAGAUUGAGAAUAUAUCAGUAAUAUCAAUAACUAGUUGUAUUGGUUGUACUCAUCCCUAUAAAGUCAUGUUCUUUUAUAGGUGAGAACAGAGGAUUUAGGAUAAAUAAUUAGGAGAGUCCCUCCCAUCAAUAUCAUCCUUUAAGGAAUCCUAUCAUAAUUAGACUUCCUUUUUAUUGAACAAUAAUCAUAAUUAAAAUCUAAUCAUACUCAUUAUACAUUUUACCUAAUUAGAUAGGAUCACAUAAUCUAAUAGGAUAAUAUCAUUAAAGGAUCAUUUUUACGGGGAUGUCACGUAUCAUGAUGGCAAAUUCUACUGCUUAACAAAUAAGUGAAGUCCCUUUUAAUCUACGUAAAGUUCUACCCAGUGUGACGGUGUUGUGAGGUGGUUAUCAAUUUGUAUUCCCUAAUCUCUCCGAUUGUAAAGGAACAACAUCAUUAUUGUACUAAGGCCUACCAAUAUUACCAACUUUAUCAUUGUACCAAAGGUUAAUGUUUUUUGUGCUGUACUUGGAACAAAAAGAAGUUUCUCUUUAUUUUCUGAAUUUGCAUCUGUUUGAUCGAAGUUAGAAGAUAGAAGGGAAAUGAUAUGGUCCUGCUUCAAUUAUCAAAUCAUAGAUACAACACAUUGCAAUUGGUUUUGCUGUAUGGGGUGGCAACAUAAAGACACAUAUGGAUCACUGACCCGUUCUGCUCAGAAGCAGUGGAUGCCUUUUGCUCCUCUCAAAAGUAUGUGUUUUUGAUAGAUUUCUGUAUGUUCUUACCACACAUCAUUAAUUAUUCCAAUGACUACACUACCCUUGGAGUCUUAUUUGGUGAGAUUAGUAACAGGAAAGAAAUGAUGAGAUCUAUCUUGUCUCUAUAUACUUAUUAUCAUGCCAUUUUAUUUGGAAAAACCACUGGCAAUCAUCAUUGGAAUUAUUUCGACUCUUAGCAAUUUAUGUGUCAAAUAGCUACUGUUUCAUUUAACUCUGGUUAUCCUAGUGCUACAGGUAAAAAAAGAUACAUAUAUCUUCAAACUUACCUCAGAAAUUAUAGCAUAGAAUUGAAAUGAAAACUUGCAUAACAUAUCGAAUCCGAGAAAUGGAUGACCAAAAUGCUGGGUUGCAAAAAUGAAAAACUAUACUGUGGCUUUAUAACUCAAAUUUUGGAGAAUUCAUUGAGGCAUCAAGAGAGAGACUUUGAUUAAGGUCUCUUCAAAUAUUGUAAGUUGAAAGAUGAUCAGGUCAUUGAAAAUAUAGAUAAGUAGAUUAGAGACUGGAUUGAUCGAUCUAAUUUAAUUUGUCUUUAGAAACAUGUAAAUCCAAGUUGACAAUUUUGAAUUCAGAAUGUUUUUGGAUGGGUUUCUUUGUGUUAUACCAACUAGCAUGAACAAUAUAUUGAGUAAAUCAGACAAAUUGAGUAUGAUAGUAUGAACAUAUCUUAUAUAGUGUGAACAUCACCCGAACAUGGGUGAAAACAUCUUAUAUUCAUUGAGUUGAUUCAACCCGGUCCACUUCUCCAGAGUUGUCAUGUUUAAGAAUUAGAAUCUUGCAAUGGUUUGUCAUUCUCUCUAGGUGAUUUGAGAACUGUUUUAUCUUAUUAUGAUGCAUUGGGUUCGGUCGAUUCUAAGAUUAAGUUAACUUGAAGACGAGCCGAACGUAUAGUCGACUUGAAGACAUAUCGAACUUAGAUAUGAUCGGCUUAAAUAUGUGAUGGACUUAAGGAUGUGAUCGUCUCAAAAGAUAUAAACGAUAGAAAGUCACAAUCGACUAGAAGAUGUGACCGAGUUGAAGUUAUGAAAUAUUUGAGAGACACGACCAAGUUGAAGAAACAAUCAAUUUAGAGAAGUCGGUGUUGAUAUCAGUAAUGGUAGUAAGGGGAGUUUGUGAGUGAAUUAGUUCUAGUAUAAAUUUGACAAUCUUCAAAGGUUAAAAAAAAAAGGAAAAAAGUAGAGAACUAAUAUAAACAAGUAUGCGAAAGUGAGGUGCACAAAUAGAAGAUAGACACACCAAUUCAUAGUGAUGAAGAUUUUCUGACCUAUGUCGACAUCAAGCUUUCACUAUUUAUCUUAUUUCCAAUAUGUGAAUAUCAAUUAUCACUUACAACUUUUUCUUCUUCAAAACUUAGAAGUUUUAGACUUAGAACACUCAAGCUUUUACAAAUGUUUCGACACCUUCCAUGACGUAGCAAGCCUAAUAAAACUCAAAGCAAGUUUUUAGGAGAAGAUUUUCAACACUUGAAGAGCUCAAGGAUCUUUUUUUCUGCCAAUCUAAAAAGGAUAUUUAUAGGCGCAAGAGAUCCUAAAAACCUAUAAGAAUAAAGGGGGUAAGAUACUCUUUACCAUUGUCAUAUUAGGCAGUAUCACUGUCGACUUGAGUGGUGCCACUACUUGGCCUAACUGUCACUACUUGCCCUAGCAGUAUCAUCGCUUGAGCCUAUAUUAGCUUAGUACAAAAUCCAAAAGCCUUUUGGUUCCAACCCAAUAAUAAUAUAUUUUAGCCUAAUGACUCGACAUUCAAUCCUUUGUGUGUGUGACUAACCCUUCAGCACAAAGAUAUAUUCGACUCAUCAUAUGAACUUCUGAUUUAUUCGACUCAUCAAUCUAUCCUUCCACUCAACAACCUCAUCCUCCACAAUGUAUGCACCUUUAGUUAUUUAUGGACAUCUUGUUAUUUAUAUUUUUAUUCCAAAUUUCAAUUUUAUAAUUUAGGAAUUAUUUAAGGAAACUCACUAGGUGUUGGAAUUUGAGUAUCUGAUGUUGCAAAUCAAACUUAUUACAACAAUCUCUAUGUUUAAUGUUAUAAUUGUUUUACAAUUUUGGUUGUCUGUAAAGCUCGCUUUUUAUAUAAUCUGAUCAUUCCAAAUCUCAAUUAUGUUAUGAUUUUGCAGAAGUGUGAUUGGUUCUGAACUAAUUCACAUUGAAAACUGUAUUGGAAUCAGCAUACCAAAUCAUCAGUUAAUGAAAAGAACUGAAUUCAACAGUUUCCUGAUUGAAUACUGGUUUCCCGGUUUGCAUGGGAUUUGAGUUAAUGAAAUAUAUCCUAAUUUUCCCAAGUUGAUCCCGAAUCCAUCUGAAGUUGGCAAUAAUCCUAAAGAUCAUAGAUAGAUCAUUUAGCCCAAUAAUGGUAAAACAUCAUUAUUUCAUCCAUAAAGAUGACUAUAUUUAUCUUUUGACCCGAAUGAUCUCAAAAUCUUUUUCUUAACACAAAUGGCACAACUCCUAGCUCAAAAACUUAUCUAAAAGGGCACAAAAAAAGUCAAGAAUUCAUAGCUACUUUAUGGGUCCCAUAUCACUUAAUUUUUGAUAUUUAGGGGGUUCAUGGGAUCUAUAACUCAUAAAUGAGUAUAUAAUUGGGAUUGAUAAAGUUUUUUCCUCUACAAAUAACUCCUUUCUUUCAUUUUAAUUUUUCUUAUUUUUCUAUAUUAAAUUAUAUAUUAUUAUUUUUAAGGUGAAUUAACAACACCCGAUGAAAAAAAUAUAGUAUCACAAUUAAUCUCACAUCAAAAGUAAAUUAAAAUUAAAAUUAAUUUGUAAGUGUUUAAUGAGUGUACGACUAUUAACUUCGACUAAGUAUUUUUAGUCGAUUUAGAUUCAGUGAAAUUAAAAGACUAGUUAUAUUAGAAUCGGUUUGACAAUGACUUUAUAUGGUGAAAAAAUUACUUGACAUGCAUCAUACAAUAGUUUUGUGGAUGGACAUAUCAUUUGUAACAGUGCUAACCAAAGGUUCAACCUAAUAAUGAAGCUCCAACAAAUGCAAGGAUAGUGCAAAUUAAAUUUCUAUAAUGCUUAUGCUUGGACUUAAUUUGCAAUUGUAAUUCAUGAAUGGUCUAAAGCUUUCCCUCAGAGUUAGGAGAAGACUUCUUCAGGAGCCAAAAAUAUAGGCGAUUAAAAUGGCUAAACAAAAGUACAGAUCGACAUCUUGUUACAAAGAGGACCGAGUCACAAGGAAAUGGGAAACGAUCGUCCACAUCUUGUUUCAAACAGGACCAAGUCACAAGGAAAUGGAACCCAUGCAUGGCCUCUGGUUUGCUUGCUUUAUCCAUUCUCUUCCCCCCCCCCCCCCCUCCUUCCCUCCCUCCCUAUAUAAACACCCCCCUCCCUUCAUCCGUAAUCGGCCUAUCACAUCAGGAGCCAGGGCUCCAAAAUAAACAUCCUCCUUUCACUCCUUUGUAUCGCCAAUUUGAUGCACAGGCAUAUCUCGGAAUAAAAGAAUAAAAGAGAAGAUGUCGAAGGCCAUCUUCGGUGCUGUCUCGGCGGUCCUCCUCGUGGCCGCGGUGAUCGGAGUGGUAGCUACUGUUGUGAGUUCGAAUCAUAAGACCGAUGCUUCUGAGGGUGAUGGUUCACUUACCACCACGUCCAAGUCCGUCUCGGCCUUCUGCGCCAAAACUGACUACCAAGCCGACUGUGAACGCACCAUUGGUUCUGCCAUCAAUGGCUCUUCCUCCCCCAAGGAAGUCAUCCAAGCUUCUUUUCAGGCGGCCAUUGACGAAAUCCAAGCUGCCUUCCACCUGUCCAACAACGUAAGUUUGAAGGCGAAUGACCCGAUGAACAAGGCUGCGUUCAACAUUUGCCGGCAGCUCCUCGAGGAUGCCGAUGAGGAGCUCAAUGCUGCCUUCUCGGAGACUCAUGACCUUCAGGGUCUGGCGAGGAGGACCGAUGACAUCAAGACAUGGCUCUCGGCCGUCAUCUCCUACCAGCAGACCUGUCUCGAUGGCAUCACCGAACCGGAGCUCCAGUCCACCAUGAAGGACGGUCUAAGCACGGCCACAAAGGUCACCAGCAAUGCCAUUGCCAUUGUCGAUGAGCUUAGUUCAUUAUUAAAGUCCUUCAAGAUCCCGAUUAACAUAACCAUGGGCAGUCGACGCUUACUGGUCGAUGAGCAAGGGUACCCUUCGUGGUUCUCGGGCCAUGACAGGAAGCUCCUGGCUGCCCAAGCGCGAGGCCAGCUGACCCCUAAUGUGGUGGUUGCUAAGGAUGGGAGUGGAAAGUUCAAGACGAUCAACGAUGCCGUUAAUGCCAUGCCAAAGGAUUACUCUGGGCGGUACGUGAUCUACGUGAAGGCUGGGGUCUACAAGGAGAAUGUCAUCGUUGGCAAGGAUAAGGUGAACGUCCUCAUGUACGGUGAUGGAUCAAGGAAGACAGUCGUGACCGGGAGCAAGAACUACGUCGAUGGCGUGCAAACUGUUGAUACCGCGACCUUCGGUUUGUGCUUUCCUUACUUUCCCAUGUUAUAUAUGCUUCUACUUUACUACUGCACUACUGCAAUAGUAUAGAGCAGAAGGAAAGCUCAUGUUACUGGCAUUCCCCAGCUGCCCUCGGACAAGGCUUUAUCGCCAAGUCAAUGGGGUUCAGCAACACGGCCGGAGCAGAGAAGCACCAAGCUGUGGCGCUCCGCGUGCAGUCGGACAUGUCAGCCUUCUUCAACUGCAGGAUGGAUGCGUACCAAGACACCUUAUACGUGCAGGCCCACCGACAAUUCUACCGCAACUGCGUCGUCUCCGGGACGAUUGACUUCAUCUUCGGCGACUCCUCCACCAUCCUUCAGAACUGCCUCCUGGUGAUGCGACGCCCGAUGGACAACCAGCAGAACAUCUUAACGGCUCAUGGGCGAUCUCAGGCGAAGGAGACCACCGCGCUGGUGAUCCAGAACUGCCGCAUCGUCCCGGACAAGUCCUUGUUCCCGGAGAGGUUGAAGUUCCGCAACUACCUUGGCCGGCCAUGGAAGGCAUACUCGAGGACCAUCGUCAUGGAAUCUACCAUCGGAGACCUGAUCCAGCCUGAGGGUUGGAUGCCGUGGGACGGAGC
RNAcentral lists this long non-coding RNA (95911 nucleotides) under Musa acuminata (dwarf banana). RNAcentral describes it as "long non-coding RNA (MACU_LNC005518)". Lineage: Eukaryota; Viridiplantae; Streptophyta; Magnoliopsida; Zingiberales; Musaceae. The record is from RNAcentral.